This 102602-nucleotide long non-coding RNA is filed under the name Brassica rapa (field mustard). RNAcentral's name for it is "long non-coding RNA (BRAP_LNC006078)". The record is from RNAcentral. Lineage: Eukaryota; Viridiplantae; Streptophyta; Magnoliopsida; Brassicales; Brassicaceae.
GAUUUUGUCGGUGAGUAUAACAAAAAAAAAAAAGAUACGAAACUAUGUAAACAAAGUUACAACAUCUCUGUGAUACCCUCUCACGAUCAACAUCCUCGGGACAUUCUCCACCAGCAAAUCCAUAUACUCCAUGUAGAAAUACGCCGGGUGGUUCAACGGAGGCGGCGGGAGACUAACCAGCACCACCGCGGCCAUCCUCGAGUAACUGAGUAUGGUCGAGUUCAGUUUCAGCAUCGUGUAUAGAAACUUCUCCACUUGCUGCUCAUUCACCACCAUCGCUUUCCCAUUCGCCAACCUUGGAGUCGAACCUUGACUCUUUAUCUCUCCCAAGUAAUCCGAGAUUCGUCUCUGCGCAGCAUCAAAAGCCUCCAACGAAUCUUCUUUGCUGUUUCCCUCUGAUCUUAUGUCCCACGACUUCAUCGUCACCACGAUGACUUCCGCUUGCAUUCUGAGGUCGUAGAGGAACUUCUUCACGUCGGCUUUUAGCGCUUCGGCGUCUGAAUCCUCUUCAGCUAUGCAGAAGAGUUGGAUCUUGCAGCUCUCGAAGCUUUCUUUCGUCAGAAGAAGCUGAGAGAGAAGAAGCAUGAGACCACCGUCUCUCACGAUCCAGUACAAGUCGAUUGUUCCGUACUGUCUUUGGUACUCGUUGGGCCAUUCCUCUAACCCUUUGAUGAUGACAACUCCUUUGUUUGCUGUGAUGCAGUCGUUGAUUAUCCCAACAAACGUGGAUGGGAUCUCUGUUAGAUUCUCCCGUCGCCAGAUCUCGGGGUACCGCAUCACGACGAUGUUGGGUUUGAGAUUUCCGAGUCCCAUCGUCUGGAUGAUCCCACGGAAGCCUUCGGUCAUGUUUGGAGCUACAACGAUUUCAGCUACGCCUUCGCAACGCUUGUACUCAAUGUAGGUGGCUAGUUGUUUGCAAGCUUCCUUUGCUUCUUCAGCGCAUUCAUAGUAGUCGCCGUCUAAUAUUGAUACAAAGAUCGACAUUCCACGACCUUUUUUCUUCAUACAGUUGGCAAAAUCAGCCAGCUUAGGGUGGCACGGAACAUUCUCUGGGAGCUGUCCCCAUGGUCUGCAGAAUACAAGGGGGAUUGGAUACCAGUUCUUAGGGUGCACUUGAUCCGCUGCAAUUUGGAGAAAAGAUAAGCUUAGAUUAAAUGGACCAUCUAAUAUUUGAACCUAUAAUAGUUAAGGCAGGUUCAGGUGUAACAACAGAUAGAUAAUGCAUAUUAUAUAACCAGUUUGGUGUGAUGACACUUAUGUGGCGUACCUCCGAGUGAUCUGAGACUACGAAGGGCCAAUUGAAAAUAUGCACUCUUGAAACCAUCUCCCCAGUCUCCGGCCUUUCCUUUUAGCCCAACGUAUUUGUAUAUAAGACUUGCAAGCGCAAUGGCAACCACAGUGAAUGACCAAGAAAUCAAGAACAUGAUCACUGCAACCGUAGAGAAAAAGGGAAAAUCAACAAGAGUCUUUCAUAAUAAAACAUCUCAGGCUUCAGGUGAGACAAGCUAGUUACAAUUUGUUUUAUAGGAUAAUAGGAAUCGACUACAAACAAAGACUAUACAACAUACAGUCUUCUCCAGCAAGUAUUUGAAAGUUCAUACCUAUGCAAAGUGAGGCUCCGACAAAGGAAAGGCUCCAGUGAUGGUAUUUCCACCGUGGACGCCAACUUGGAGCAUCAAGUAGAUCGAGCAGGAAACAAGACAAGUUUACUCCCGCGUAGCAUAAAAGAUAAAACAUAGUCACAGUCGGUGUAAUAAGAUCCAGAUUUCCGAUAACAACACAUCCGAUGCAGAUCAAUGCUGUGAAAAGCGUCGCUAUGUGAGGUUCACUAGUAUCUGCAACUUUAAAAUAAUUCAGGAUGGGGAGAAUAUCAUCAUUUGCUAUAGCCGCGAGCAACCUUGGGGCCCCUGUCAGACUCUGGAGAGCAGCCCCUAAGGUUGAGAGGAUGAUGCCAACGUGAACAAUGAGGGGGAGAGGCCAAGCAACUGUGGCAGUAAGAAGCCUGCAAUAGAGAAAAAUUACUCUCGUAUGAAAAGUUUUAAAAAAAUUCACGAGGUGUUGAAGCGCUAAAAGAACAGGUCUCUGCGACCACUAUCAGACAUGCUUAAUUUAUUCUGACAUAUAAACUAAGAAAGUGCUGCUUUCGUAGGCCCCUAGUAGUUUUGUUUAGUACAUUCAGAGCAUAAAGCCACUUUUACUAUCUUUCGAGUUUAUCCAUGCUAAACACACCAGAUCGGCUUUGAAACCAAAAUAAACAAAGAAGUCACACGAGUAACACCGUUACCUAUCAGUCAAAAGUUUGUCACGGGUAGCAACAGCUCCAAAAAACAGCACUGAGAUCACAUACAGUAAGGUGGUUGACAGAGUGGCAGCCAAUGUUCCAACAGGAAUUGAUCUUUGCGUGUCUUUCAGUGAAGCUGAUCUAUUUGAACCAGCCAUAAUUCCUGUUACAGCAGGGAAAAAUAGACCCACCAACUCACUGAAAAGUAACAAAGAGAACGGUAAAUAAACUGAACAAAUAAACUUUUUUUAAAAACUAGUUUUACUAUCAUAGGCAACAAAAUUUCUAGAUGUGACUCACUUGAAACUCCAGUAUGUGCCUCCAAGUGGAUCAGGAAUUCCCGCAUUAUUUGUCAUCUGAUAAGCAGAACUCCAGUUAUCUCUAAAACUUUUUAAUCGCAAGCCCGUGAUUCCAGCUGUUCAGAUCAUAACAAUGGAAAGGUUAACAGUUUGGGGAAAUAUAUCUCCAUGCCUAUAUCCAACAAUAUCCUGAAAUGGCUUACUGUCAGGAUCAUCUGUUUUUGCCAAAAACAUCCCAAUGAAUAUGCACAAGAUAGAGAGCAACACGGGUAGUAGGAAAGCAGGUGCAACCCGAUUAAUCAUCUUCACGCCGCCAAACACAAUGAAGCAUAGAAGUAUAGUCACAACAAUUCCAUAAAUCUGCAAGUCGUGUGAGCUUGGGCUUUGUACUGAUUCGGCAACUGCAGUUCCAUUAACCUUGGUGAUAGUUUCUGCCAUUAGAAAUGACACACAUAUAAGUGGCUAAAUGUGACUAAUAGGCUAAAGAUUUUGUCCUCAACAAGUAAAGGUUUUGUCAAAUAGAACUCAGAUUUUGGCAGUCAAUAAUAUAGUUCUUAAUCCUCGAUUGCAUAUAGGCGUUGCCAUUUCCAACAAUUGAUGAAACAAGUCUUUGACUUCAAGACUAGCAUGAAUAAAGUAGUGAUCGAAAAACUGAUAAAUUACUAAGAGUUGUUGGAUAUCCUAGUACCCCUUUGCUUUGGUUCACACAUCACAGGUUUCAAUUCUUACAAGUUCCACAGUAAUACCUCUAAAAAUCCCAGCAGCAGGGAACGCUUUUAAAAAAGUCUCCACAGCACCCAAAACGUACCUACAUUGAUAAGGAAGAAAGCAGAUAAAUUAGUCAUUCGAAGCACUCGGAGACCAUGUGAAACUGAACAGAGCACCAGCAACUUAAGAGUGUUGAGCUUAAGACUUUCUCUAAGAGAAUCUAUUUCAAAGGAUCCAAAAUAUACACUUACAGAGCUCCAGCAACUGCAUUGCCAAGGAAGAAGCAUAAACCUAUGCUAAUCCCAACCUCCGGACCAAGAGCACGACCAAUGAGGUAAUAUGGUCCUCCACCCUGGAAGUAAAGUAAUGCGAGUUAUUUUCGGAAUAAACUUGAUGUCCUACAUAUUGUUCUAUCACAAAGGAAAGAGAGAAGUAAUAGGGGUGCUAAGUAUGGACCAGAAACCCAACGAAUGGAUGGAUACAUUUUAACUAUGGUAAAAGAAAAUUUCGGGUGAUAUUACAGAAAAAUAAUUACCUUCAUUGCGCCAUUUGUCGCAAUAGCACUCAAAGAUAUUGUCGUCAAAAAUGUACAUAAUCCACACAGCAAUACCAAUACUAGGCUUUGUCCGAUACCAGCCAUGCCAACAAUCCUGAAAAUUAAACAGAUUAAGACACGCCAUGGUGACUUCGCAGAUUGUUGUGCAACAUCAAGGAUUUUGCAGUCUUACCAUGUGAAACGGAUAUAGUAUAUAAUUCCCAAAAUGUUUUGCAAGCAGGGAACGAAAACUCCCAUCAUUGUACCCAUCUUGAGAGCAGGCUGCAAGAACAUGCAGAUAUUAUAACAUCGUGGAAAAUCAUAAAUGCAGUGAUAGUCAGUAAAAAUGAGUGCUUAAUCAAAGCAGCCUGGCAGAAAAAUCAUCAAUUGUGUGAAUUAGAAGCUAAUGGAAAUAGGAAGAUACCUUUGGGUGCCCUUGCAUGAUGGAGAUAUCCUCCCCAUCUCUAGGGCUAGAUGGUGCUGGAAUUUGCUCUCCUGUCAUGCUGAAGGAAAUAUUCAUCACAUUACCACAUGUAACAUUAAGAAAAUAUGUGUUUGACAAACUGCUGACUGAAUAAGCAAUGCAUAGUUUACGGUGAAAGAUGCAUUUACACAUUGGGAAGAUGAAAGAGAGAUCCUCAUUUCGUUAUAUAGAAAGAAAAAAAUACAAGACACUUAUGAAUUCCUAAGAGCAACACAAGGCAAUAGAAAGCACAUCAGUUGUAUUAUAGAAUCACGAAUUUUAUAAAUAGUCAAGGGAAUCCAUAAAAACGAUUCAAAAAAAAAAAGCAAGAAACUUGUAUUCAGUGACUCCCUGUUUCAGCUCAGACCAAAAAGACCACCAUGAUUAAUGAAAGCAAGAUACCAUUUCCAGUAAAAUUCUAGCUACCACUUAAUGCAGUAAAUGAAGGCUGGUUCAUCAUUCUAAUGUGCAUUUCUACAUGAAAACAACAAUCAAGAUCGCAUGUACCUCUUCAAACCAAGAAUGUUCACAAGAGAAUCAAAACCAAAUAAUUCCAGCUUGGAUUCCUUCUGAUGGCCAUUGACUCCAUCUUCUGGUAUAGGACCCUCCCUUGCACCAGCUCCCAUCUCUCCCGGUGCAACUACUCUUAUGUUCCUGUCAAAAACCUACAAGCGUGAGACACUCACCAUGAAAAAAAAAAGUAAACAAUACUGAAUCAUUCAAGGUAGACUUUAGAAUAUUCCAAUCACACGAUUCUUAAACACUACAACCAUCACUGCUGAUUUAACCAAAUUUGCAUCCCGUUUCUACUAAUCAGUACAUGUAAUCGUUAAUCAUCAUCAUCAUCAUCACCAAAGAGAUGAUCAAUACACAUUCAAAACUGUGCUACAACACCACAAGGAACACAAUCAUACUUGAGGGUGGAAGAGGAGGAGGAAGAUCCAGGAUCGAUGGAUGACAUUUCGACAACCGCUCUAUCGUGCGCCCCCACCGGCCUGUAUUUUCCUCCGCCGAGUCGCGGGAAUUCCUCUUCGCCGGCGGCUUCUUCAAUGUCGCCCCUAUCCAUUUCUCUCCGCCGAAUCUGGACAGAUCCGUUGCUCCUUCUAUCGCAAAUGAGAAGGAUAUCUCGUCGGAGUUAGAGAUCGGCGAGUUUGAAUCUGACGAGAAAUGAGAUCGAUACUCAUACGCAUUAACGGAAGAAAUAAAUAAUAUUAAAAUGAGGAAAAAUUAUUAUAAACGGAUGAAAUUAUUACAAAGAAGUUAAAAUUAAAUUACAAUUUGGGUUUUUUAAUGAGAAAAAGACCAAAAUAGCACUAAAUGAUGUUUUUGUUCUCAAACUAGCACUCAAGGCCAAAAGUCACAAAAAUAGCACUCAAGAGGUGGGGUUUAGGGUUUAGAAUUUAGGGUUUAGGGUUUAGAGUUUAGGUUUUAGGGUUUAGAGUUGAGAAGUGAGGUUUUGGGGAUAAGAUUUCAAAUUUUGAAAAAUAAAAAAAUUUAAAUUUUUCAAAAGAUAAAAUGCUAUUUUGGUCAUUUUAGUUUUUUUUUUUUUUUUUUUGAGUGUUAUUUUUGUGAUAUAAACUUAGAAAGUUGCUAUUUUAGAGAUUUGCCCCUUUUUAAUUGGUAAAGCUGGCGGCUGAAAUGUCCUUUGAUUUCUUAACACAAGUCUGCAUAAUAGUCUUGGUCAGUUCAAUUCUUCUAGAUUUUUUUUCUUUUAAUUAACCACUUAUUUAACUCUAGUUUAAGCAAUCUUCACUUUAACAAACCAACUUAAGUUAACUACUUACGUUUACAUUAAUUAAAGGCUUCUUAACUUGCUUCCCCAACAAAGAUUAUUCAAAAAAAAAAAAAAUCUUAUGAGCUAUCUUCAUCAAUAAGAGAGGAAAAACACGUUUCAGACCAUUACUGUGAUUGUUCUUGUUUUGUAACUCUUAUUAUCGUCAAAGCAAUUACAGAUUGCUCUUGUUUUUUUGUUGUUAAUUUCCUUAACAAGUUCCAAUAAUGACAAUAAAAUAGUUCGGUCGUCAAUCGAAAAUAACAAUGUAAGCUCUUUCUUCUUCCUUAAAAGCUAAACCGUGGGAAAACUUUCCAUUGUUCACCUUUCAGAACUAAUACUCGAAGCCUUCUUAUGCUUUCCGCGACGUUCUUUCACAUCCUUAAGCUUCUCUAUCUUCACAUUCUCACUGUUAGACUUCGACACAGACCCUUCUUGAGCACUGCACAUUUGAUGCGACUUCAGCUUUAUACCAAACCCAAGUUUCUUAGAAACAUUCUCCCACGUUUUGCCACCACCACCAACCUUACUCGUCUUACCUAGUUUCUCAAUCUCCUGUCUCAUAUUCGAACACUCUUUCUCCAACUCGCAAACCCUCAUCCUCAUACUGUCCAUCCCAACUUUCAAGACUUGAUUCUCUCUUACUGCACUUGCCCAUCCUCCUCCUUCUGUUGAUCCUCCUGCAAACCCGCCGCUUCUUAACUGUCUUGACCCGCCAUCGAGGUUGUCUGAAACCAGGAAGCAUCCAGCUACAGAGGUUCUAAGCUGAAGCUGCUCAAAGAAGAGGACUUGGACUAUUACUCUUAGAGGUAAUCUCUCGUUCUGCGCCGCGUGUGUGCAAGCUUCUAAAGAGAGCUUCUGGCAGUCUAACAACCUGCAAAGAUUCUCUCUUUCUGCUUCUGCUAACCAUGGAUGAUGCUGCAAAUCAUCAUAUGAAGAAAAGAAACAACUUAAUAAGUCUUUGUUAAAUAAAACACUAGAGUUGGACAUUAGUUUUUUUGGGUUGGUUUAUUCGGUUUUGGAAAAAUACUGCCAAUGUAAACCGAACUAUAUUUUGGUUUUCUUUGGUUCGGGAUUCGGGUUAUUCGGAUAGGUUUUCGGUAUUAUUAUUUAUCCCGAACCAAAAUUUGUUUAACAUAUCGGUUCAUUCAGUUAAUUUGGUAAAAACAAAAACUCGGUUAUGUAAAUUUUAAUUUUCCGGGUUUAUUCAGUUUGUUUCGGAUUAUUUCAGUUUAUUCAGUUUAUUUGGUUAAUAAUAUGUUUCAAACUGAUCGGUUCUUGCUUGCCGAACCGAACCAAAAACCGAUUAAAAUUUUAAAAAUGGGCAGAUCAGUUUAUUGGUUCAACCAGAUGUUAAACCGAAAACCGAAAAUUUUGGUUCGUUCGGUUCGGUUUACUUCAGUUCAGCGCUAUAGGAAAAAACAAUUAUAGUAGAAGAUUGAUGGUUGGUUACCUUUAAGUAAAUGUCUAUUGCGCGAUAUAGUCCAUCAUCCAAGAGCCUAGCACACUCAGGAACAGAACCAGCCAGAGCUUGAAACUUCGGAAGCUUGAGAUUCACAUCAGGAGCCACUUCAGCAAGAUACCCAUCCACCAGCUUCGCAACCGCCGUCAUCGGCGUUAUCCUCUGCGGUGAGCCCAUCAAGUUCCCAUCAUCCACCGAAGAGCAAGGAGAGCCAACACCACCACCAACAGUCAUGACCUGAUCAGUACCAAGAAAAUGGUCCAAGAUCCUCUGCACAGAGUCAACAUCGUAUAGAGUCUCCAUCGUGUGAGUAAAGCUAGGCAUCACAAGAUCCUCCAACGCCGCUUGGUCGAGCUGCAUCCCUAUCCUCUUCUCCAAGUUGGCUAUGCAAGUGGGACUAGCCUUCAGAAUCUUGGCGACUCGGAGCAUGUCGACGAAGAACUUGGUCGGGACUAAACCUUUUUGCAUGCUGAGAAGGUCUUGGAUCUCUUCGAGCAAGUGCUUUUGCUCUUCUUCGGAGAGUACAUUCCCUGAGCUGCUGAAACGACCACUAGCUUCAGGUCCUCCACGGCGUCGUUUUAAGCCGGGUAAGUGUUUUCUUGUGUAGUAAGUUAACGAACCGGCUAUGAUGUCUUCUCUUGCGCCUCCUCUGGAGUCCAUGACUGUGAUGAGUCUUUUAAAAAGAGGAAAGCUAAGCGUGGAGGCGUCCUCGUACCACCAAUCUGAGCUAGUGUGUUUGAGUCUAGCCCCCGUGCUUAUCCCGUUCCAUAGCACGCUGCCACCUGGACUAUGCAUGGGGUCCACGACCGGCCAUCCGAGAAGGUUCGGGUCUGUUGUUGAUGCUCUCGCGGCUAGCGACUCGAUGCAUUUCUUGGUGAUGUUCAACUCCUCUGCGUAGUGGGAGACCUCGCUGCAGGUUUGGAGGGCUUUUAUUGAGUCUUUCCAGCUUUUGAGGACGACUUGGUUGAGGAAAGAUUCGGUUUGGGAGAUUAGGUUUCCUUCGGCGUGGUCCUCAGUCAUUUCGAGAUGCUCAGCUGCGCAUCUGAGGUGUACGACGUUGGAGGCGGUGAGUUCGAGUUUUACACCGUAGCAGAACUUGGCGAUAAGCUCGAAUGUUUUGUCUCCUCCGGGAAGAUCAGAGAUUUGAAUGAGACAUUUGUCAUCAUCAUCAUCCCCUUGUUGUGAUGCCUCUGCGAUGUUUCUUUCCAUGACUCCACUUCUAGAGAGCAAAGGAAACUGCACAUAGCGUAGAAUCAAAAGCCUAUAAGAUAUCUUUGAUACAUGAUAUUGUAGAAGACAAUAAUCAUUAUAGAUAAAGGCAGCUUAACAUUGUGUUACAAGAAGACUAGUGUUGUCUUUGUUUAAGGUAAUUAAAUUUACCUUGUGGAGAUGGAAAGACAUCUCUCCAACUUCAACGACAAUGUCACUUGGAAGUCCAGUUGUGCAAAACCUGCAAUAAUUGAGCAAAGAAGAAUAAGUCAGAGAAAGGAAUGCUGCAGAGCCAGUCAAACUAGGAGGAGAAUCAAGAAGAAGCAAAAACUAGGAACAGAGAUGCAAUAUAUAAAAAAAAAAAAGGAAGUAGUGAGAGAACAAGUGAAUAUACCAAGCCUGGCCUUGUCUCUGGAAAGCAUCAGAUUUGGAUCCCAGCUUCAUGCAAGCCAUAACUUUCUCUCAAAACAGAACUCAACAAAUAAACUACAAUAGCUAAGCCUCCAAAAAUCCUAACGUACAACAACCAAACCAAAAAAAAAAAACUGCUAAUUUUCUCAGAAAGAAAGAGACUUUAGAUCUAUCCCUUAAUACCCAGAUCAAUUUCACUCGGACAUUUGAACAAACACUUAAAAGCUGCCUCCUUUCUUCACACUCAGUAGCUCACAUUAAUCUUCCAGAAAUUAAAACCUAAAGGCCCAAAAGAAUCACACGGAAUGUGUAAUGAUAUAUAGAGAUCCCCUUGGCCAAAACCCCACUAAAAGAAACUCAGAAUCUUAAAUAAUCUUAUCUGUAACACCAAAUUCAAACCUUUUCCCCCAGCAAAGUAAUGAAAAGAAAGAAAGAAGCUGAACCCCCAAAAACCCAGCUAGACAAGAACAGCUAAGCAGAGAAGUAACUUACCAGUUCUUGUUGCUUUAUACGAGAAUAUACAUGUAAGGGGGACCAUAUAGCCAAUUGAUUGAUGUCUGGUAAUAAGGAAAAAGUAAAAUUAAAUUAAAUAUAGUUAAUAUUUUUGUGUUUUUGUAUUGGUUGCUUUAGAAUAUAGAAACUUUAUUUUAAUCCAUAGUGUAAUAAAAGGUGGACAUUUGAAAAUCUCGAAAUUUAUAUUAGAAGAUUUUUUUAAUUAUUAUUAUUAUGAGCACAUGCACUUGGAGGGUCCUUCACUCCUUUGUAUCUUCAAACAUACUCAUUGUGUUGAUUCUUGAAAUUAGCAAACAUUUUUGUUUGUAGCUAAAAUUACAUAAAGUGUGAAAGUUUGAUUAAUUACGUCCUAAUCUUUACUCAAAGAAUCCAAUCCUUCUCGCUGAUCUUUGGCGUGCGAGUAAGGUUAUAAUAUGCUCACUCUCCGUAGAGACCAUUUUAUAGAUACCAUACAAAGUAUAUGAUUAUGAAAGUCAUACAAUUUUUAUUUUGCAGUAAAUAUGGGAUUUUAAUAAUUUUUUGUUAAUAUAUAGUAAUUGUUUGUAAUGUUUUUGUUUGCUAAGAAAUUGUUUGUAAUGUUUAUUACAUUUUUGUCUUUGCUUUCUAAUUUUAAAUAGUUAUCCACAUUGUAACUUUAAAACUACCUUCAAUGUUAUCUUUUAUUUUAACUAUAAAAUAUAUGAAGAAAUUCUCCAGUAUAUUUUAUACAAAUAUAAAGAAAUGUUAUUAUUUUUUGAUAUAGGGAAAAUAGUAACCUUUAUGUUAAAGAAAAAAUGUAUUUAUAUAUAACAUCUAAAGUUAAAUGUAGAAUUGAGUUGAAAAUGCCCUAAAUAAUUUGAAGGGGAUUACUGUAGCUGGGAAUUCGCUUUGCUGAUCAAAAUUAAGGAUAAGUGCGGUCAGUCGUUAUAAACAUAACGCUAUACAUAUGUUUAUAUAAAAGAAAAAGACAAUGUAAUAUGCUUAAAUUUCGAAACCAAUAAUGCGAACUUGGCGAAGUUAGAAAGACAUUAUUGACAAAAAUAUUCCUCUAUUAUUAGUGACUGACUGAAUGUGAUUUUUGUCCGUACUAUCUAUCUAAGCAUGUGAUUGAAGCUUCCUUGUCCGACGAAAUUGGUUUUGGCUAUAACCAGCAUGGCCACGUGAAGAUUAAUUGAACCUAUCUCCAGCUUAUAUCGUUGGUUUUAAGUUUUGCAUUUCUCAACUCUCCACUAAAAACUGAACCAACAACUUCGAUAAAUAAUAAGUUAAUUACUAAUGAUUAUAUCAUGCUUUAAACUGUGCCCUGGCGACGAUUUUAAGUAAAACAUUUGAAAAUUUGAAGUUUUGUCCGGGCUUCUAGCCGUGCACUGACUCAAGAAUAAACCAUGUGUGGUAAUGAUGAAUCUAAAGAAUUCUAAUGAAACUCUUACGUGGCAACCAUUAGGGAGAGCCCUAUUCAAAUUCCAUACAUAUGAUUCAUAAGUAGGGGGGAAACAAAGGAUUUUAUAUAUUGUAAAGAUAAAGUAAAUUAUAUUGUGGCUAAUUUCAUUUUAGAAACAGGGCAAAAAAUAUCACAAAAAUUCGUUUCAAAAAUCAGCACUUUUACAUGAAUGGCAUGUAUAAUGCUUACAGUCUAUAUAUACGUUUACAUAGUUAUUACUUGCUGGCCUACACCAAUCUUUGUUUUAUUUACAAUCAAAAUUAAAUAAUGUAAGCUACUGGUUACUAAUUUUGUCAUCUUUGAGUUCAAUUUGGCUGCGCUGUUCCCGUGGAGGAUGAUGUAGAAGUAGUUGUCGAAGUUUCACUCUUAAUAGCAACCUCAACGAAUUGGGUUGUGACUUGUUCCCACUUGGUGAUUGUCGUCUUUAUCUCUGCUUGUUGUUCUGGUGUGCAUGUCAUUGCUCCUCCUUUCUUGCUUUGAUUUUGGGUUACAAUUUUAGCGUAGAUUGCAUUUAGCUCUUCCAUAUUCUUUAUCACUUCUGCUUGGUAAGUUUCCAUUGACUUCUUUACCUGUCGAUAUUACCAAGAAAAAAAAAGAAUAUAUGUAUAUAGACGUUUGGUUAUUAAUAUUCUAAAUGAAAUAUGCAUUUUGUAACGUACUUCUGCUGAUUUGUUUCCAAUUCUUGAACGAAUAAAUUGCAUGGCAUCACCUAUUUUCCCAACAGCACCUUUGAUCAUACCGAACAAGCCUCCUUUUUUCUUAGGAGAAGAAACCUUUGCGGAACCUGUCAUGGUACUCUUUAGCUUCUCGAAAAAUUGCUUGUAUUCCUCCUUCGGUGGACACUUCUUCUCUAGGUUCAUUAGGAAUGUCAUAACUUGUUCGGAAGUCUGAGUCUCGACUUCUGUCACUGUCACUUCCGUGGUCUGGCUAGUAGUUUCACUUCUACUUGAAGCAGUGUUCGUGUUACCUUGAGAUUGAUUGUUUGUAUCCGUAGAGGGAGUUCCAGCUCCAGGGUUUGAACCAGCUGAUGGCUUGUUUGAUGGACUUCCAGUAGCGCUUCCGGAGUUAGGACUCGAAGAGCCUCCAGUGGUACCUUGAGAUUGAUUGUUUUUAUCCGUAGAGGGAGUACCUUGAGAUUGAUUGUUUGUAUCAUCCGUAGAGGGAGUACCUUGAGAUUGAUUGUUUGUAUCCAUAGAGGGAGUUCCAGCUCCAGGAUUUGAACCAGCAGAGCCUUCAUUGUUUGUUGUGCUAACUACCAUAGUGUUUGUGAUCUUAACAAUCACAGUCUGCCACUUCAAGAUCCCAUCUUUGAUUUCUUUAAGCUGUUCAGGUGUUAGUGUCGUGGUUUCUUUCUCUUCUUUCUUGCGGCCACCGAGAAUUCUACCAGCCAAGGAUUUCAUAAACUUAAAGGUUUCGAUAGCUUCCUGUUUCUCCUCUUGAAUUUCACUCUUUAUCUAUUAUGCAUAAUAUGCAUGAUGAAGUAAAUAAAAAAUUGUUUAUUAGCCUCGGACCCUGAUCGCUUAGAGCAUCAUGAUUUUAUGUGAUAAUUUGUAUGUAAAAUAUUAUGAAAAACUUAUAUGUAAAAUAAAAACACAUAUAACUUCUGAGUGCGAAAAGAAAUAUUAAAAUGUCAGAAAGGCACUAAUUAUAAUAACCUCUUUCACUUACCCUUCCAAUAGCAAAAGAGGCUAUGGAUUUGAGGAUGCCUGCUUCUUUGGCCUUCAUGUCAGUAUCAUCUUUUUUGCCAAAUAUUUUUAGUGGGCAAACAUACUUGGCAAAUCCUCUAAGUUUGUCGAAGAACAUUUUGAAUUUGCUUGUUUUAGGACAUUCUUUCUCGAGGUCCCCCACAAAUACCAUCACUACGUUAACAGUGUAGCCUUCAACGUCACCCACCGUCUUCGGAUCUUCAAUCUGUGGUAAAGAUGGCUUCAGCUUCAGAAAAGCUGAAGUCACGUCUAAAAGGGUUACAGAUGCAAAUACAAGUGUGAAGCAUAACAAUAAAUGAACUCUUGCCAUUGUUCUUUAUCUUUUUCUUUUUGGUUUUCCUAAAUUUUCUAUAUCUUACGAGGAACAAAGUAUGAAUUGAAUGAUUUGAAUUGAAAUGGAAUGGAAUUAUUAUUUUUUGUUUUUAUAGGGUUGUUUAGUGUCCUAUGUUUAGAAUCGUUGAUCCUAUAACCAUUGAGAAUUUGGUGGACUAAGCAAAGAGUUUAAUGGUUCCUUACGUUUCAUAAAUCAUUGAUUUUAUACCACAGAAACAAAAAGACAUAAGUAACUCAUCUAAAAUAACAUUUAAUAAAUUUCAAUAAAUAUAAAUAACAUGUUUUAGUAGGAGAUUUAUAACAUGUUGAUUCCCAUUAUAUCAUGUUUUCCAGUGUUUUUUUUUCUAGUAAAAACAGAAAAGAAUAAUUUGCCCCGUAAGAUUAAUCAAAAUGUAUUACCAAUCAGAGCGUUGUUAUCUCAUUAAUUACUGUCGUCCGUCUGCCUUUAAUUUGUCUUCCUCCACUCAUCACAUAAUCUAAAGAUUCAUUUUCUCUUGCCAACAAUUCACAAUAUUCUUUUAACAAAGUUGAUUUAUAUCCUUCAAAACAUUACCACCCAGUCUUUUACUUAUUUAUCUAAAUUUUAGAAAAGUUAAAAUUUUAUUUAAAACUCCGUGUAAAUUUGUUUGGCAAAGUAUAUACACACAAUGAAAAUUAAUUAAGAAAUGAUGAAAAGUAAAGAAAAAUAUGCAUGCAAUGUUCUUUUUUUUUGGACAAAAUGCAACUAGUGAUCUUAUUUACACACAAAAAAAUAAUGUUCUUAGGGCAUCUCCAUCCCUACUCCAUUUUUUCCUCUAAAAUGGAGUAAAAGUGAAUAUGGAGUAAGGAAUGCUUCAACCCCACUCCAUAUCUCAUUCCAUAAUGAAAUUUACUCCAUAAAUGGAGUAAUCUAUUUUUUGUUUGUUCAUCACUUCAUUAUGGAGUGGGAAAUGGAGUAGGGUUGGAGCAAUUUUACUCCAUUUUCACUUUUAUUCCAUUUUGGAGUAAAAAAUGGUGUUUUACAUUGGAGAUGCAUCUCCAAAAGAAACUCUAUAACUUCAAAUAUAGAGUUUUUUGUUCUCCAAAAAUAAACUUCAAAACUUUAAAUUUAGAGUUUUAAGAAGUGAAACUUCAUAUUUAAAGUUUCACAACUCAAAACUCUAAAUUUAAAGUUUCAUCUUUUUAUUUGCAUAUUAUCUUAUAAUUAAUUAUACAUCAUUUAUGAUUAUUACGUAUUUUCUCAUUCAUAGUUUUAAUCUUUAAUUUUUUUAUAUUUUAAAUAUUUCAAAUUUAUUUUUAUAAAUUAAAAUUUUACACAUAAAAGUUCUUUAAAAAUCCAAAAUAAGAUUUAUAAUAUUUUAAAAGUAGAAUUAGACAACAAGAAUAUUACAAAACAAACUUAAUAAAAAAAUUUAAGAAGAUAUAUACAUAAAUACAUAAUUAAUACACAAAUUUAAAUAUUACAACAACACUAAUAGUCUAGUAAAUUUUUUUUGGAACUUCUAAAAUAUUGUCCAAACAAAUUUUGUACAACUGAAAAUGGAGCAUUAAUAAAAUAAUUUUAUGUAAUAAUGUGGUAUUUUUCUUGUAGUUAAUAUUUAAUUAUGUAUUUCAAUUUAUAAUUUUAUUUUUAGUAUAAGAGUUUAUUAAUUAAUAUUAAUAUAAUAUUUUUAUAUAUGUGCUAGUUAUCUGCAAAAGUUUUAUGGAUUUAUAUUAAUUAUGAAAAAUAUAAGGAUCAUAGUGUAAAUUAUAAAUAAUUUUGAAGUUAAAUUUGAAGUUUUGCUUUUGAAGAAGAUCAUUUUGAAACUUCAAAUAUAGAAUUUGCAAAACUCUAUACUAGAGACUCUUUUUGGAGACGCUGUUAUUCCAUAUUACCAGCAAAAAAAAAAACAGUGUUCUUAUUUCUUAGGAUUCUUGAAAUCUUUAAUUCAUGUGCUUCGAUAUUCAUUUGAUUUUUCAUUUCUUUAUGCUCAUUGUCCACACCAAAAAAGCUCGUUGGCUUUUACAUCAUGUUCCUGCUUUUUUUCGCUGUACACUCGCCCCCGCACAGCCACACACACAAGUCAACCCCAGUUUUUUUAAAUCCAAAUUCUUUGUCAACAAAAAGAAAAAUCUAUACUCUACUCUACCUUAGACAUAACUUUAAAUGUACGGAAAAGUUUAAGAUGUCUUAGAUGGAGUGAAAUCGGGAUUUUAAUUUGAACGUUUGUAGUUGUGUAUAAAUGUGAAGGCAUUACUACGUGUUCAAUUUAUUAUGAAUGUAAAAGUAAACUGCAUGAUGAUAAAUGACCUCGCGUUUCUAGACACAACAAAAGUUGUGAAAAAGAAACGAUUUACAAAGUCCGAACAAAAUCAUUAAUAGAUGUUGCAUACGUUUGCUUGCCUUUUAGACAAAGGCGUGAAAGUCCAUUAAGCCACACAUGGGAAACAAACUCACUACACGCCUCGGCUUUCGCAAGCGUCACGCUUUUUACGUCAAAUACUUUAAUUUUUGGCUAAAGCGAGGAGCCAAAGAUGAAGUAAAAACCAAUAAAUGAAAUAAACUUGCCACGUGAUAGCAAAAAAAUCUCCGUUGCCGGGACUCGAACCCGGGUCUCUCAGGUGAGAGCCGAGUAUCCUGACCAGCUAGACUACAACGGAUUCGUGAUUGUUAGCCUGAAUGAAACUUUAAUAGAAACAUCCUAAAGAAGUCACUUGUACAUAUUGAUAGCAAUUCUUGUGGACCUAAUAUUUAUUUGUAAUAUAUAGUCUCUGGUAAGUCACUUAAGGUUUCAGCAUCAGAUAACUCUCCCAACAUUGCCAAAACAAGUGAUGUCUUACCUUCUAUACUACCUACAAUGGCAACCAAGCUUCCACCUGUUAUCUCCAAAUUGAUAUUUGGCUUUAUUUUCUAAGAGAUAUAUAUUAGAGUUUAUAACAUAUAUAGACACUUGUUGAGUUUUUAUUACAAAGAAGAGCAGUUGUUGCUACUAGGACACUUUAUGUUGGUGAAAGUCUUCUUUGUCCUUCAAAAAGGCAAACCAGGUGUGGGCAUAUUUGUAAUAGAUCAUUUGUUUCUGGUUAUUCUGGUUCGUAGAUUUAAAAUUCAAAACCGAUGGAAAUUGAUUGGUGGAACCUUGGAGCAUAUUUUAAUUUAGUUAAUUUUCUGAGAUUGGGCCCGUAAAAAAGUAAAACUAUAAUAUUUUGUUUCAACUUUCCCAAAUCUGUAAACCUAAUUUUACUUUCCGGCGACGAGUGACGGAGCAGAGACGACGGUGUACAUCGACGGAGAACAAAAGGCUAUAACGAUCAAGCAUAAGCGGUGUGGCAAAGACACAGACGACAGUGAGUUCAUGUUUUUGCUAGAUUGAAGGUUACUUUUGUUCUUAACUGCAAAGCGAUUAACACAGUCUAAUGCGUUCAAUCGUUCCAGGGACGAUGAGAAAUAAGCGGACAUAAAUGGGGGGGAGACAAAGGUUAAAUCUUUUUCUCGUUUCGAAGGCGUUCGGGUUUAAGUUUCAGAUUAAGGUUUGGUCUGCGAAAGGACUCCAAUUUGGGAGUUAUCUAAGAUCGUUGAUGUGUUUUGUGAAUUCCGGGUUUUGUGCUUGAAUGUAGUGAAGAGAUGGAGACGAUGAGUUUCAGUUGUACCGGUGUGGCUUAGGCGUUUAGGGGGGACUUUUGAAGCUAUACCGGUGUGGCUUAGGCGUUUAGGGGGGACGACGAGCUGAAGCAGCUGAGUUAUGUCAAUGAGAAGCUCCCACAACACACAAGGUUGGCGGAGGUGCAAGAGGCUGAGCAUGAUCCUCAGGUAACUAUUUAUACACUUGUACAAACGUUUAAGGUUGUACACGUAACAUGUGAUGUACAUGUGUAUAACAAGAACAUAUGUCUACAUGUGUACUUUGCAUACUAUGCUUAUAUGGUUUGCGGUUGAGUUGUAUAUUGAUUUUACUUUGGUUCGCCGUGUUUUAAUGUUUGCUACUGACUGUGCAACCUAUGGUUGGUUUUGGCGGAGGUGUAAGAGGCUGAGCGUGAUCCACAGGUAACUAUUUGUACACAUGCAUGAACAUUUAAAGUGGUACACCUUACAUGCGAUGUACAUGUGUACAACAAGAAUAUAUGUGUACAUGUGUACUUUGCAUAAUGCUUAUAUGGUUUGCGGUUAAAGUGUGUAUUGAUUUUGCUUUGGUUUACCGUGUUUCUAUGUUUGCUGCUGACUGUGUAACCUAUGGUAGAGUGUAGGGAGGACAAGGAGGAUGGCUGGGGGGAAUUUGACAGUGAAUAUUUUGAUCAUAAAGUUGCCAACAUGGUUGAGCUUCUGAAGGAUGAGCACAAAUUCAGAAACACAUAAGUGAAGAGGCGGUGAUGCAUGUGUGUCUAUAUAGAUGUGUACAAGCAAGUGUGUGCAUGUGUACAAGCAAAUGUGUACAUGUGUACAAGUGUACAACACCGAGUGCUUACACGUGUACAAGCGAGUACAUGUACAAUUUAUGGCAUGUACAUAAGUAGUUUAUUUUUGACAUGUUUGUUGGUGUUUAAGGAUGAAUAUUUUUAGAUGCUUUGGGCAUAUAAUGUAAAGUAUCAAGAUGAUUGUUGAUUCUAAGUAAAACUUUUCGCAUUGAUAUGUAUUUUUGUAGUGUACAUAUAAGCUAAAAUUGUACAAAGUAAUGACUAAUGUAGAAAAAUUGUAAGAUCUCUCUUUAAUCAAAAACCAAAAAGUUCACAUGUACACAAGUUCAGUUAUACAAUGAUUUCUAUAUACACCGUAUAAUUUUUCUACAUUUACAAAUUUAAGUAUUUGUAAGGUCUAUAUUAUUAAAGUAUACACAUGUAUUUCAUUGUCCACAUAUACACCAGUUCAUCGGUACAUUUAUUUGAUUUUAACAUAUAAUUGCAAAUUUGAAUAUUUUAAGGACCAAUAUUAUCUAAUAUCAACUAAAACAGUCUAAUAUAAAGUAGUGUACAUAAUAUAUGGGUGAUUUUAAUGGUUUUCACAAACAUGUACAUGUACACUUAGAAUGUACACAUGUACACAUGUCUAUAUGUACGCUAUUUUUUAAUAAUUAAUUCAAUAAUGGCAUUAUCGUAAUUAUGUCAUCUUCUUCCCUAGUUCCUUAAGGUUACGAAUUUUGCAGAAAAAAUUUGGGGGUUCUUAGGUCAUUGGUAGGAACAAAAUGAAUGACAACCUCAAAUCAUUUGACUUGGUCUUAUGCUCUUGAUUUCAUGCUGAUUUGUUAGAUGCGUUUUUCGGUGGUAAAAUGAAACAAGAUGAAGAAGGAAAGGUACAUAACAGCACAGAAAGCUUCUCUGUGACCGGAGCUUGACGGUGACAACAAGUGCAGCGGCUUGGGUAAAGAAGCUCACCGUGGUUAGGGUUACCGCAUUCGAGCUCGUGUGCUCGUGACUCAAUCGUAUUCGCGACAUAGAAUUUUGACGAGGGCUCCGAUGGUUUUAACGGCGGCUGAGAUUCACAGAGGAAAAAGAGAGAGAACAGAUCUUGACCAUCCAGUAUGUAAAUAAAUCAAUGGCUUAUAACAAUUCACGUGACUUUAUUAAUUGAUACAAGUUUUUUGUUUAUUUAUAUCUACAUCUGCAAAUAAAUCUCAGCCGUUGCCAUAUAUAGGAGAUCGACGGCUAGGGUAAAAUCCCGCCAUAAUAGCCAAUGGGAAGAAGCUGUGUACUUGGGCUGUAACGAAAAGAGGGUAAUGUUAGUUAAGAAAGAAACUAGAUCAGACACAAGCUGUUAGGUAAAGUGUGUUUGUAUAAGAAAGUGUCCUAUGGUGUAAUUAAAGAUUGGAAAAGUGUCCUAGAGUGUAAAUGUUUCUAUAUAUUAACCUUACAGAAAGUUAUGUACUGUAGAUCUUAGAAACUUGACUAAAUUAAAUUGAUUUUUUUUUUGCUGUGUGUACAUAAUUGGAUUUAAAUGGAUAUAUUGUUCCGUGUACUACAAGAAACAAGGAAAAGACAAGUUCAUCAAAUGAGACCUUUAGGUCAAGUAAUGUAAAGCCUUUCUUCCUCUACAUCUCAACGUUGUCCCAGUCAAACGAUCUCCCCUCCAAGUUGUAAUCCUGGUGUUGCAUUCUGUUCUUCGCCAAUCUGCUCAUCACCGCAAGCCCUGAAAGUGUAUAAUACACACAUAAUCUUGGAUCAAGAAACUUCAAACAUUUCUAUAUCUAGUAGCAGAGAGAUCUUACACAACAACGUUACCUUCAAUCAUUUUGUAAACAGAUGGCCACCAACGCUCUCUAGACAUAUCAUUUUGAGUAAGAGACUCUUCAAUCUCUUUAUCAUGUUUCCCUUCGAGAACACCGCGUAGUGUAACUACAGCGUCUUUCGUUCUCUUCAAAAUACUGUCAUCAUCUUCGAUUUCAAGGCUUUGAAGGUCGUUGUGAGAUGAAGUGAGACUCACAGCCAAAGCAAACUGAGCAGCUGCAGCCCAACGAGAAGACGCUCGCCAUUUUCUCUGACCUUCUUCUAAAGGCUGCGAUGAAUCAUCACCAUUAGCAUCUCUGUUACGUUUGUUUUCAAGCACUAUACUACGCAAGUACUCAGCAUUCGCAGCUCCUGUGCUUUGAACCAUCUUAGAGAAUGAACUUUCUCCGUUUGAAAGAAGAUUCUCCGGUGUGCUGAACUCCUGAACUUUUCCAGAAUCAAGAACGAGGACUUUGUCACAGUCGAUGAUGGUAUUGAGACGAUGAGCGAUGAUAAGCAUUGUGCAUGACUUGAACUCUUCUCGGAUGGUCUUUUGGAUGAGAACAUCGGUUCUAACGUCAACAGCAGCAGUUGCUUCAUCAAGGACAAGUAUCUUAGAUCUUCGCAACAGUGCACGUGCAAGACUCAACAACUGUCUCUGUCCAACACUGAAGUUCUCUCCUGCCUCAGAUACCUGACCAAAUAGACUUUGAGUUACUCUAAUAAACACAAGAGACUUUCAAAAGAGUAAAACAUUAAAGCAAUAUUCUAAAAAUCGGUCUAGGUGGCAAAUCAGUUGUGAAAUGAUUUUCUUAAAUUCUGAUUUAUGCGAUUCAAAUCAACCGUUAUAAAUCGGCUAAAAUUGGUCUAAAUCUGUUUAAUCAAGUAAUAAUAAUGUUAAUGCAAAUCCAUAAAUUUAUCUAAUUGCUUUUUGAGAAAAAGACCAAAAUAGCACUAAAUCAAGUUUUUGUUCCCAAACUAGCACUCAAGGUCAAAAGUCACAAAAAUAGCACUCAAGAGAUGGGGUUUAGGGUUUAGAAUUUAGGGUUUAGAAUUUAGGGUUUAGGGUUUAGAGUUUAGGUUUUAGGGUUUAGAGUUGAGAAGUGAGGUUUUGGGGAUAAGAUUUCAAAUUUUGAAAAAUAAAAAAAUUUAAAUUUUUCAAAAGAUAAAAUGCUAUUUUAGUCAUUUUAGUUUUUGAGUGCUAUUUUUGUGAUAUAAACUUAGAAAGGUGCUAUUUUGGAGAUUUACCCUUGUUUUUUUGUAUAUCUAAUUUAUAUAAUUCAUCAAAAAAUUCAUAAUUAGACACAAAAAACUAAAAUAUCUAAUAAUAUAUCUAGGUGUCGCUGAGACCCCAAAUAAUCUGUGUAGUAGCUAGUUCUUUACAAAGAACCUAAUUACCGCCUAAAGUUUUAUUGAACGUUGUGUUAAACUAAGUACCUCAGCAUCAAGACCAAGAGGGUUCCUCCUGAUGGUAUCUUUCAGGUGAGCCCUCUCAAGAGAUUCCCAAAGAUCAGCGUCGUUGUGUUCACCAAACGGGUCAAGAUUGAACCUCACAGUACCUAGAUAACAAAAAGACACAUCAGUUAUUGACUUAUGAGAAAAAACAAGUACCAGAAGCAGUAUGAGACGUCACGUACCUGAGAAAAGAACAGGAGCUUGAGGUAUGAUUCCAAGAACUUUACGUAGAUCCAUCAAGCCAAACUUGCCAAUGUCGCAUUCAUCGAUCAAGAUCCUUCCCUUCUCCACCUCCACGAUCCUGAACAAGGCAUUCAAAAGGCUUGACUUCCCAGCUCCUGUCCUUCCAACGAUUCCCACUUUAUCCAUCGGAGAAAUGAAGAAUGAAACACCAUGAAGCACAGGAGGUAACUCAGGACGGUAACGAAGAACAACAUCUUCGAACUUUAUAGAACCAGAUGAUGGCCAUCCAGGAGGUGGACGGUUGCUCUCAACAACCAAUGGAGCCUCCGAUGGUAACUCUAUAUAGUUUCCAACACGCUCCACCGAGUUCAAACUGUUCUCAGCAAGACUCGCGAGUCUAAGCACAGCUGUUAACGAGCUGGUGAUACUCAAAGCGUAACUGAGUAGCAAACCCAUCGUAGAUGCAAACGCUUGUUGAUUCUCUGCUUUACCAUUCUGCAUGACGGCUAAUGAAGCAGUUAACCAUACCAUGAGACCUCCAAGAAAUUCCAAACGGAUUCCUAGCCACCGAUUUGCACCCAUGUUUACGAGAGUGAAUCUGAUGUUAUUAUCCAUUGAUCUUCCGUUUAUUUCAGCCAUCCGGUCGUAUGCUUUGUAAGCACGGAUACUUGAUAAACCAUUCAACGCCUCUCCAAAUUGAGCGUAAACAGGCGAUCUUGAAACGGAAUCCAUACGUUUAAUUUCACGAGAUGUGUUCUACAAUAAGGAAAGAAUGGUUUAGCACACACAACACUAAUCAGCAGUGUUCUAAAAAUCGGUCUAAGCGGCCUAGUGAUUUCUUGAACGUUGCUAAUAAGUAUUGCGCUUAAAAGGUAUGUUUACCUGGUAGUAGAGAUAAGCUCCAUAAAACACGACCAAGAGAGGCAUGAUGGCCCAAAGGGAUAGUGUGCUGACAAUGCCGAUUAAGAUAACAGUUGAAAGAAGCUGUGCGAUUGAACCCAUGAACAUGUUAACAAAGACUGCAACCGUUCUAUCAAUAUCACCCGUAUCUUUUGCAAAUCGAUUGAUUAUACGUCCUAAAGGAUUGGUUUGAAAGAAGACCAUUGGAGCCCUUAGUAUGGAACCAAGCAUAGCAUCAUGCAUCUUCUUAGCUGCAUAAAGACUGACCAUAAUCAACCAAUAUGAAUUGGUCAACGUCACAAAGACCUGAAACCAAGAAAAAUAAGUAUGUCUUUAAUGGUCAGUAAUACUCUCUCUUCUUCAAAAAGAUGUUUGAUUAUAAUCCAUUUUUUGUGUUUAACUGCUAAUAACUUUUAUCCCAUCAAAAUUCAAUAAAAACAAUUAAUUUCUACAAAAUUUACAAUUUAUUAUAGUAUAAUCUAAUAAAAAUGCAUUGAAAAUAUAAAAAAUGAAUAUUUUUGAAACAUUUUUUUCUAAAACAUGAAUAAGUUUGAAACAGAGGGAAUAUAUUAGGACUCAAUUUUUAACAAAUAUUUACCAAAAGCAACUCAUACCUGUCCAAAGGAAAGAACCGCAUAGAUAAUAUUGUAGAAGAGGGGUCCAUGACUCUUUGGAGUUCCUGCAUCAGUCCACUCACUCAACCAAGUGCUGCUUGACACUCGAAACACUUGAGUCAAGACGUAGCAUACAAGGAGCAUCAUCACCACCCAUCCACCUCCAAGUGCAUCUCGGUACCUGGAACAUGGUAGUAACACCUCAAUAGUCAUUACAAUGACCUUCAAAAACACUCAAAAAAAAAAAAAAAUUCUUACCUCUUCAGGACUUUCCAACUCACAACUCCAGUUUCACGUUCUUCUCGCUUAACUAGCACAGAGGUUCCUUCUUUGGAUUUCUUUGUCUCGAUUCCAUCCUUCUGCAGAUUAUUAGUGUUGCCGUUCUCAACUGGUUUUACAGACGUUUGAUCUGCUUCAGCUUCUGAAUUUGCUUCAGAAUAUUCUUCAACUUUUCCAGCAUUUUCCAUUAAUCUUUGGAAUAAUGGGCCACUGUGGGAUAGUUCUUCGUAUGUUCCUUCCUCUUUUACUGUUCCCUCAUGGACAAGUAGAAUUUUAUCCACUUGUGAGAGGAAGUGGAGCUGGUUUGUAACAAGAACUCUCGUUUUGUUCCCUAGUUCUCGUUUUAUGCAUUUCUCAAAAACCUAUAACAGAAAGUUUCAAAGAUCAGAUAACAAUGUUUUCUCAAAGCAGUUAUAAGGAAGAACAAAACGUUAGAGUCCAAGAACCAAUGGCUAGUUUACCUGUUGACCAACAUGCGCAUCAAGGGCACUUAAUGGGUCAUCUAAUAUGCACACAUCUGAAUUUGAGUAGACAGCUCUAGCCAUAGAGACCCUCUGCUUUUGUCCCCCACUUAUGUUAACACCCCUUUCUCCAAUCUCCGUGAGAUCACCACCCUAUCAAUCAAGAGAAAGAAGAGGAAACAAACUUAGAUAACUGAGAACUAGAAAAGAGAAGUCCAUGCUACCAACAUAAUCGAUGCAGUUAAUGUCUGUUAACGGAACUUACAGGCAGUAACUCAAGGUCAUGCCUCAGUGCAGUCACAUCAAUCACCCUUUCAUAUUUUUCUUGGUCAAAAGGAGCCCCAAACAGUAUAUUGUCACGCACCUACACAAUGUAAAAACCAUUCAUCAGCUCAGAUUGCUUAAAAUUAAAUACUGGUGAAACUAAUCAGAAUCUGCAUGCAAACAUAUCUUAAAGCACAUAAGAACAUACUGUUGCGUUAAAGAUCCACGAAACUUGAGGAACAUAAGCGACUGAUCCUCUAAGAGUAACUGUCGCAUCAGAUAAAGCUGGAAGUUCUCCAAGCAUAGCAGAUAUCAGGGAGGUUUUUCCUUCUCCUGUACUGCCGACUACUGCAACUAGGCUACCAAUAGGUACAUCCAAGUUGAUGUUUGACAAGGUUGACCUAUCCGCCUGCAUAUGUAUAUUGGUUGCUCACUUUUUGGUAUUUAAAUGAAAAUAUGUAAUAUAAAUAAAGUGAAAGAGGAAAGGAACACGGGAUCAAGUAGACAAAUGAGACCUUUGAAUCCCAGGAGAAGCAUCCGUUCCUUAUUGAGAUAGCUGGCUGUCCAGGUUCAAUGGGAGGAUUUGGUAAGAGAACUCUCUCUUCCGUCGAUAACACCUCUUCCAAACGUUUUAAGGAUACAUUAGCAUUUACUAUCUACAAAAGUCAAAUAAAAAGAGCAAUUAGGAGCAAUUAUUACAAAUGAUGUCACACUAUUGAGCACCAGAAAUGAAAACAUGAGGAAAUAACCUGAGUUAUAAUGUUUGGAAGCAUGAAUAAAGGGAAGCGAAGCACAGAGAAUAGUGAAAGGGAUGUAAACGCUCUUGCAGGUGUGAGCUCUCCUCCAAGCAAUGAGAACACACCAAAUGAAACAACAGUCACCAGAACAGGAAUGCUGUUUAGUAUGAACAUAUUGAACUGCAGACAAAUGGAAGACGACCAAGAAUGAGUCAGAAAUGUACCACGAAAGAAAGAGGAAACUGAAAUAUAACAGUCUUAAGACAUACCGCUGACAGAAGUUGUGCUUUCCGGAACCAAGAGAGUUCAUCAUCACGAACAGUUUGAACCUUAGACUGAAAACUGUUUUCCCAAGCGUAGCACCUACAGUCAUUUGGUUUAGUGAGUAAGCAUUGCUUCAAACUUCCAACAAUGCAAAAAAAAAAAUAAUAUCAGGUUUCAGUUUUUCAAAGUAUAUCUUACUUCACUGUAUCCAUUGCGGCUAAAAUCUCAUUCAUUAGGCCAAUUCUCUUGUCAGUACGCUGCAACCCUUCUUUUGUUAACUUCUGCGUUUUGCUUAUAAUAACAGUCUGUUUCAACAAAAAAAUAAAGAAAACUAAUCAUUGCCAUUGAACAGAAAGAACCCUUGAGAAGAGAGAACACAAGGAUACAGAUAGGAAAUAAGCAUUAGUAGUAGAAAAGCUUUUAAAGAACCUGUAUAGGGAACAUAAGGACCAGAAACAAUGCGCCAAUGAGGGAGGCGACACCUAAUUGUUGAUAGAGGAGAACCAGUGCUACAAUAAUACGAAAUGGCGCCGACCACAUGGUAUGAAGUGAUUGGCAAAUUUGCUGUCACAGACAGAAGAAACAUUAGUAAAUAACAGUCUAUAUGCUAGUACUAACUUCAACCAAAGCUUAAAUAAAAACCAUUGUCCAAAAGUAACUCUUUCUACAAAUUGAUAUAGAGAAACAGACAGAAUUAAAGAGGUAAAAGGUAACAAAGAUGUAUCACCUGAAGAGACUCAGCAUCAGUAGUCAUUAAGUUUGUUAUUUUUCCUGUUUGAAACUUCUUCCGGCCCUCAUUAGUUAGCCUCAGCGACUUUCGGAACACAGCAGCAAUCUAUCAAGCGAACAAGUCAUCAGCAGAAAGAAACAUUGUACACAAUAAGAGAAGCAGAACAAAGAACACAAUGUAGCAAAAGAAAUAUAACGUGAAACUUCAGCUUACCAGGGCAGACCUUAGCCGGUAACCAACACGCAUCACAUUUUGGAAAUAUUGAGCUUCGCAUAGAACCCCAAACAUCUGAAAAUAUCAACAUCAACAUCAAGCGCUCGAGGAAUCCCUUGGUGAAAGUCUUACCCUAUACUAUCUUAAAUAAAACACCUUCAACAUGCAAAAGUAAUAAAUAUACAAAAGACAACAAACUCCAAGAUUAGCAUCAGCUUCUAAUAAACUCAAAUCAGACGGAAGAUUAAACCCAGUAAAACUGGUGCUACAAUCUGUAGCAUCUACUCUGGCGAAAGUUACAUGAAGUCCUUGAACGAGAGGAGAGACCAAGAAAACUAGAGACUCUGUUUCAUGUCACUUUUAACGAAGAUUGAGAGAAUGAAACAUACAUAUCCUCUAAACUCCAUGCAAGAGAUUGAAAUAGGCAGAGGGGAAAAGGAAUUUUGUUGCAUACCACUCCAACAAAGAUUGAGAUUGCAUAGAUGUAACCUAUCCAGGCUGGUUCAUUAAGUUGCAUUGACUGCAGAAAGUUUUAAGACCACAGUGUGAGAUAUUGUCAGAAAAUAAUAUCCAAAGAAUUAUAUGAUUUUAAAUGUAACCAAGAACGUUAAACACUAAUUUUUGGGCAUAUGAAUAUGGAUCCAUCUCAGCAAAUCCAUGUGAAUGAAAGAAAUAUACCUUUAAGAGCUCAUUCAGUAGAAGAGGCCCCACGAAUUGUGAACAGUCAUUCCCAAUCUGUGAUACAAUUUAGAUCAAAACACAUGAUUAAGAAGCUCCAAACACACCAUUUAGGAAAAUAUAAGACUUCUGAAGCCACAAAUAUUAUCAAAUAAAGAAGAUUACCUUCCAAAACCCACCCCACCAAAACCUACAAAAUUCAGAAGCAUGCUUCCGUAAGGACGAAAAAUAAAUACAUAGUCCUAAAUGAUUAGCACACAAGACUACAAAGAUGAAUCUACUUUACCUUCCUCCAAGGCUGUUGUUUAGUGCUCUCAAGAGCCACGGUUUGGGCUUUUCUAGCUCCUUUUCCCAUGACCUCUGGAAGCUAAAAAAAGGAGAUAAAAAUAUAUAUCAACAACCACACCAGUCGUAGACAGUAGGAGAACAAUUAUUAUUUAUCAAAGAUAAAGAAAAUACCUCCUCAUGAGAGUUUCAGUACGAUCCCAAGUGUCCAGAUGCCACACAUCCUUCUCCGUAAGAGGCCGUUUCGAUCCCAGUGUCAUCAAUGGAUUCAACCAUGAGAAGAAGAUUCCUAUUGGUAAGAAGGUACUUAAUAGUCAAAGUUCAACACAUGUUGAAGAAACUACUAUACAAAAUGUUGCCAGCUUGGUCAAAGCGAUGAUCACUAAGCAAAUAUUUUCAUCUUACAGUCACAACCCAGUUUAUUUCCAGGGAGAACAGGAGGAUAAGGCAAAAAAAAAAGAAAUUGAAUAGACUAUCGAACAACUCAUUAUGUUAAGUGUGGAAACAAUAUUGUUGACUACCAACUCAGCUAGGUAGCAAGUACAGAUAAGAGAUCAGAGAUGUUGUUGUGGUGAUUCUCAUAAUAAAAGAGAGAAGAAUAUACAUAACCAAAUCCACAGGACUGAAAUGAGAAGUACGUAGAGUGACCUACUGUCAAAUAAACUUGCAUGCCUCUCAGGACAUAUCUGUUCUCCUCCGGGAAGCUCUUCAUACUCAUAAUCCUCUAAAGUUUCAGUCCGCAAUGGUGUGUAACCAGGGUAUGGAUCCAGAUUAGGAAAAUACACAAACAAGAGAGUUCCAAAUGCAACCUGGAUUCAAAAGCCACCAAAGACAAUUGUAUAAUCUACAAUCUAAUUUAGAUACAGCACAUGGUAAAGAGAAGUUUGGAGAAUGCAAAAAGGAGUUUCAAUAUGCAAACCUGAACUGCCACCUCGCUUAUGUAAAUAUACAAUUUGAAACUGCAAACAAGAUAAAACAAAAAAAAAAAAGUUAAGCACAUAAGUUCAUCCUGCAAGACCAGGGCAUUAAACUUGCAUAAGACCAUAUAACCAACCUGCCAUAGUACUCCUUGACAGAGAGAACAAGAUUUAACAACACCAUGUCUCCCACAAGAGCAUAAACGACAGCAAAUCUGACAUACCAACGAAGUUCAUGGAUAUACGUUUUAGUUUCAAAAACAGUCAUGACCAAAGCAGAACCCCAAGCAAAAGCUUCAAGAACCAACAUGAACGCCUGCCAAAGAAACCACACACAAAAAAAAAAAAAAAAAUCUUUCAGUAAAAAAACAUAAUGAAGCAAAGCGUAGUGAUGAAGACACACCUCAUAGGGAGGAAACCCAGCUCCAUCCAAAUCCAAGAUUGAGAUCCUCAUGACCAAUCUAAACAAAGGCUCGGCAGUACUAUAAGCAGCCAACAGAGCCAGCAAAUAGCUAUACCAUUUCGAUCUCAAGCAGAACCUAUCCACUUUGUUGUCCUUUGCAGUGAGCCAAACACGGUAAAGGCAGAGAAUCAACAGCACAAGAUGAGAGGUGCCAAGCACGAAAGAAUCAAUAGCACAAGGCGUGUAUGCACCAAAGGCAUAAUCCACCAUCUUCGACCACACACCAUUAGGCAAAGGCUUGCAGUACCAAUCCAACAGCUCAAAACCCAUCUUCUCCCUCCUAAAAGAUCCUCCUCUGCUUCCAAAGCUGUAUCAAACUCAGAUAGUACACAUGACAAGUUACUAACGAUCUCCUAUAAAAAUCUGCAAGAGAAAACAAAGAAAGAGAGUGAUGUUGACAGUUGAUAAAGUGGACUUUUAAUUAUGUGAUUGUGUACUCAAUGAGGAACAUAAAAAACAAAACAAGAAGAUGUGGAUGAUAGUUUAUACACAAAUAUUAGCCACAAAAAAAAAAGCUUUUUAAUCAUUUUAGUGGAGGAGGGAUUCAACUUUUUAUCCCCUUCCUCUGAAUCAUCAUCAAACAGAGACGGGCACCAUAAAGUAAGCUCCUUUCCACUAAAAAAAAAGAUUCUCAAACGUAAGAUAAGAAACAAGAUAUCAUCAAACAGAAGAUGAUAACCUCAAAGUUUCUAACCCCAGAAAAGAAAAAGAAAUACUUUCUAUGUGGCUCUCUGCCAAUGAUAUGAAGAGCAUUGAGCAUUAUAAGUAAACGCAGAGAAAAAAGGAAACCUCGGUAUUAGAAGAGACGAGGGAGAAGAGCUUUUGCUGGUGAUUUGGAGGAAGCCUAAUCUUAUAAACUCGAGAGAGAGAGAGAGAGAUUUUGAGGAAGCAAAACGCUGCGUCACUGCUUACAACUUGCUACGCUAUGAAUAUUCAUAAUUUAUACAUAUAAAGAGUCAAAACUAUUUUCAUAUUAAUCAUUUCAUUUUUAGCUAACAACAAUCACUACCUUUUCUAUCACUUAUUUAAUUUUUUUAAGAGAAACAAAUCGGGUAAAUUAGCUAAAUGUAAUUAUAUCUUAAAAUUUAAUUAAAUAAAUAUGAUCUCUUCUUUUUUGAGCAAAUAUGGAAAAUUCUAUUUAAAAAUUUAUUUGUUGUUCAAUGACAAUAUCAUCAUUUUUUUUGUCGACUAUCUAUUUUCUUAGACUAAGGGUAUGACUGGUUUUCCCGCUACCACCCGCAAACGCAGCUUUUGCGGUUAGUAGCGGUUGCUGGCGUUUUGCAACAAUCGCUCAAACCGCUCUAAACCGCUCCAAAUCGCUCCAAAUCGCUUUGAACCUCAUAAAUUCAAAAGCUGGUUCCAGCUAGCGUUUGCGGUUGCGGGCGUUUGCGGGAGGAUAAAUUUUUUUUUUUUUUUCCAAAACAAUAUAAAUACAAAAAUAAAAAAAUUCAAUAAAAAAAUUAAAGUGAAAUUAUAAAAAUGCUAAAAUAUAUCAAUUAAAUUUUAAUUAAUAUUAUAAAACUUUAAAAUAAAAAUAUUUUCUAUAUUUUUAAAAAAUUUAAACUAUAACUUUCUAAAUAUAAAUUUUAUAUUUAUUAUAAUAUUAUUAUUUUUGAUAUUUUUAUAAUUGUAUAAAAUGUAAAUAUUAUUAAUUUAUUAUUUAACAGCUGCUGCAUUUGGUAGUUAACCAGUCAUAAGUAUCCCGCAAACGCACAAAUUUCUAACCGCAGAACCAGUCGUACAAAUCUCUUAAAACCGCUAGAAACCGCAACCACCCGCAUCCGCAAACUCCCGCAACCGCACCCGCAACCGCUGCGGUUAAACCAGUCAGGCCCUAAGUGUUGGUCAGGCGAGAUGUUCCUCCGAAUAAUGUUUCUAUCUGAUCGUGCUUGAUUUAUAUGGGAGAAAAUAAUAUUUUUGUUUCGAGCCUCUUUCGCUAGUUGGUCCGUCCAACCAUUUUCAUUGCAGGAAAUAUAAAGUAGUCUCGCUUUUUCGAAGUUUUCUUGUAAGCUUUGGAAAGUAUCAAUCUCCGAAGUAAAAGCUGGCCAAUCCAUCGAAUUGGUAAUCAUAUUCAAUAUAUCUGAACGGUCUGUUAGAAGUGAAUUGAGGGGAUCUUCAUGUACAUAAUAGCAGUGGUGUAACAAAGUGAUAUCGUCAGAGCUGAUGAUGUUUUGUGGGUCGAAGUAAACGUUCAAAAAAUCACUUUACGUGUACAUCUCAUUUAGUCAUUUUGGUCGGUUGAUUAAGAGAAGAGAAUUACAUAAAAUGAUUUGAUUAUGCGCUUAUUGUAUCACGAUUAUAACGCAGACCGAGGAUGAUUAAACGCUAAUAAGUGUUUUUGAUGGGGGUGGGCAAAAAAACCAAACCGAACCGAGUCAAACCGAACCAACCAAACCGAACCGAGUCAAACCGAACCAUCCGAACCGAAACUGAUUCAAACCAAACCAAUGUCUAUUUCAAACCAUUCGGUUGAAGAUUUUUCUAACCCGAAUGGUUCGGUAUAAAACCGAACCGAGAAACCGAUGUGUUUUUGUAAUUAUUUAAAUUAAAAAUAUUAGUAAUACCAAUAUACUAAAUUCUAAUACUAGCUAGACGACAUAUUUUCCAUUAUUCAUUAACAUGUAUUCUUCUAACUUAAUAUGUAAUCAUCAAAAUAUUUGAUUUAAAAUAUUUCAUUCAUUGCAUGCUUUUUAAUUUUAAUGAUGACACAUUAUUAAUGAUUUUCUUUUUUACUUUAGUUAAAUUUCAUUUGUUUUAAUUUUUAUAUAUACUUUUGUGACUUUUAAAUGUUUUUGUUUUAGUUUUAUAUUGAAUUUAGUUCACACAGUUUAUGUUUUUAUAAUUUAUGUUGUAAAACAUAAUUUAUCUAAAAAAAUUAAACUAAGAAAAAUCUAAUUAAACCGAUCCAAAAAACAAAUCGAACCGAAUACAAACCAAACCAAAUUAGCUAUAGUUUACUUCAGUUGGAAAAAUACUAGAACCGAACUAAUCAAACCGAACCAAGCCGAGAAAAAAACCGAAAUGCCCACUAAUUUAAUUCACUUUAGUUUAUCAUUUCUUUUAUCUUUAUUAAAUAAUUAAAUUAAAAACAAAACUAGAAAAACCCACGUCUUGCAGAUAGCUAAAGUCAAGGGUCACAGAUUUACUGAAUAUACGUUUAAGGGAAAAAUAUUUUUUUAGAGCGAAAAAAUGAUAACUAUGUCUUUUUAAACUAAUAUCUAUUUUGUGUCAUUUUUGCCCAUAACAUCUUUUAAUAUUUUUAAAAAUAAAUUUAAUAAAUAAUUUUACAAACAAAACAAAUUUGAAAAAAUAGUAACUUUUGAUAAAAUACCAAUAUGAACUUAGUGGUAUUUUUUUCAGUUCAAAAAAUAGUUAAAUCAUAAAUUUAAGAUUAUGUUCUAAAUAAAGUAGAAAUGAUAUUCUACGAAGUAGAAAAUAAAAUUCAUUUUUUCAUUGAAUCUACAACGUUUAGAAUACGUGAUCUAUGUAAAUAAGAAUAUUCUAAAAAUAUUUAGAAUACACAUUUCGCGCUUAACCUACUGAUCUAAAAUAUUUAGAAAUCAAAAUCUACACUUUAAUAUAAAUCUACAACACGUAGAAACCGACUUCUACAGAUUUACUGUAAAUCUAAAACAUGUAGAAAUCAAAUCUACAUAUUACUAUAAUUCUAAAAACCUGUAGAAAUCGAUUUCUACAGAUUAGAUGUAUUCUACGGAUAAGAAAUCAGUUCCUAAAAAUAUGGAAACAAAAUAUUUAGGAAUAUUCACUUUCAUAUUUUGAAAAAAAACGAUUUUUUUUUAUAAAAAAAAAACAAAAAAUUACAACUUUAAGGGCAUUAUUACCAUUUUAAAAAUAAUUAACCUAAUGAGACAUAGAGUAUAUGAGAUUAGUCUAAAGGGACAUUGUUAUCAUUUUUUUGCUCUAAAAAAACAAUUUUCUCUACGUUUAAAAAGGAUCAUCUAUUAAUCCAACAGACCAACAACGCACUUUUGCCACACUGACUGUACUAAGACAAUCUUUAAUCCUAGCACUUCUAAUGGGUUGCUUAAUCAAUUUUUUACUAAUAAAUGAUUAAGUACUCCUCAAGCCCGACUUCUUCGACAACUUAAUUAAACACCUUUCAAGCAGCACUUCUUAUUUUAUUUAGUUUUUUUUUUAUUAAAUCUAAAAAUUAUUAAUUAUCCCGCUUAAACACUCCGGUUAAUGGUGCUCUAAGCUACUGUGGUGGGUGAUCAUGUUGGGAUACUUUUCAUUUUAAAUAAGGAAAGAAAUACCAAAAUAAUCUAUAAUUUUUUUCCAAAUUAUGGCAGAACAAUAUCAGCUUCCGUGUAACGUACUAAGAGCACCCGCAAUGGUGUUAUCCAAAUGGAAUCCUUAGAAAAAAUGUAUUUUGAUUUUUUAAGUAUUAUUAUUUUUUUCUUUUUUAGAUUAGAAAUAAAAAAAAUAUCAACCAAUCGUGAGUCGUCACAUGUUGUAAGGACCCGCAAAUAAUGCAAGGAUUCAUUAAAAAAUAGUCCUUAUUUAGAAAUUUUAAAGAUUGAAUUCUUAACUUUUGGUGGGGUCUACUGAUUAUUUAAUUAUUUUUUUCUUAAGGAUUCCCCUUUAAGGAUUUUCAUUGCGGAUGUUCUAAUGCGGAUACUUUACCUGUUAUGUGGUUUCAGUUUCAAACCUUUCAUUAAGAAGAUGACGGAAGGAUCCGAUAAACUACAAUGUUAUGACACAAGUAACAUUGUUCACAGAAACUACAAAGUUUCUUUUUAACUUCUACGCUUUUUUCUUUUUGGCAAUUCCUGUGUUCUAUUUUAAUGCUCUCUGCUCAGGGAAAUUUUGUUUUUUUAUACAUUUUGAUAGUUGACUUAUUUUCUAGGUUCAAAUUUCAGUUAUGUAUUCAGUUGUAAUCGGAUCAGUUACAAAAAUUAUUACAUACUGGCCAAAAGUUUUGAUUCCUCGUUAAGAUCUUAGAAACGCCUCAACGCUAGAUCCGCUUUUGAAUCCAGAUGUCUGCACAUGCACUUUAAGUUGUAACUAACUAAACUAAAAAAAAAUGAUACUAUGAAAUAGUACUCUCAUUGAUACGAUAGAUUCUCUCAUUACAUGGGUCGAAUAUAUGCAGAAGUCUUUUUCCCAAUGAAAAAUUGUUUGUUCUACUAUAAACCCAUGCUGAUGACAAAAAAAAAAAAAAAAAAAAACCCAUGCUUAUCUCGUAUUGCUAAACCAUUCAGCUACAAGCCUACAAUUUUCCAAAUUUUAUUUUUCGUAUCUGUAUUUGUUCUAGAUAUAAGCCUAUAAAACAAGUUUCGUCUUAGAGUUAUACAACAAGAUUCGCACAUUAUUCAAGAAAAGACUUUACAAAGGAGAUUCGCUUCAAGUCUGUGUGUUAUUCUCUCUUGCUAUAUCAUUUUUACCCGUAUAGUUCAUGUCUAAUUCGAUGAGCCGCCCAAUGCAUGUUAGGUAUUUAUGAACGAAAAUGCUACUUAUCUGCCUAGGACAAAUGUUAGGUGUUUUCUAUCAAGGGAACAAUGCUUUUGGUUCACAUACUUGAAGAUGCGGUCGUUCUAAUUGUUUUAAUGAAAAAUAUAAUACGAGUCAAACAUUAUAAACAUAAAAACUUGAAACAUUGACUAGAUCUCCCCUCAGGUUCUUGAGAAUUUUGUUUUAAAAAUCUACAAGUUUAAAUAGCACCAAUGUUUUUGAGACCAAGGACAACUCCAACUCCGAUGAUGUGACCAACGGUACCACAAGCCAAAGUGUCGGCGAGAGUGAACCCGGCUGGGUCACCCGUUUGUAGACCCGAGUCACGUGCCUCUAGCUUAAGUCCAGCUGUUGCCUUCCUAUUGGCUGAUGGUGCUAGUCCGAAUCUCCCAGCGAACAGCAUCAGAGUCGUCGACGUUACCAUUAUCUAAUUAGAGAGUAUAAUCUAUUAUUGCUUAUACUUAAAUAACGUUUGCUUCAUAUUUGUUUUAGUUACCAGAUUUGUUGAUGAACCAAUGAAGUCACAUUUUGCACCCAAAGCUCCAUUUCCCUUGCGUCUCAUGGGCACAACAGUUGCCUGAGAGCAUUUUAAAAAUAUAACAUUAACUAAAACUUGGGAAUUUUAAACUAAAAUUAUCGUUGUAAUGUAAUAACAACUUCAUACUAUAUUACAAAGUCUCUUGUCAAAUAUGAUCAAUUAAACACAUAAAAAUCAAGUUCAAGGACGAAAUUGAACCCCUAAAAUUUCUAUAUAUUUUUAAUGUUUGUAAGUUUCGUAAGUGUAUAGAAAAUAUCAAAUCACAUUUCAAAAGACAGAAAAAAUGAAAAUUACAAACCAGGCCUUGAACUGGAGCUGCAGAGAUCUUGCUGGCUCGAAGACCAUUGAACUGAGGCAGUGUAGUCAUCACAGUGCUCGCCAUUUUCUUCGAGUCUUACGUGAAAGAUAAACUUUUAAUUUCUAGUGCAAUCUGUUUCUGAUUUGAUUUUCGCAGUUCUUUCUUCUUAUUUUGUAUUUAAAAUUUAGCCAAGGCUCAUCUUGUGGCUUUGGCUACCACAGAAAUGGAUUCGGUUUUGGCUACUCUUUGCUGACGCGUCGAGUGGCUAUUGGCGCAGCAUCUUAACUCUGGAUAAGGCUGUUGUGUCUUGUCACACCGGCAGAUUUUGUUUCUGAACCUUUUCUUGUUUAGGCUUCAUUUGUGGCCCAUUUAAUACUUUUUGGGUAUUUCUUGGGCUUCCAACUUGAGUCCCAUUUGUACGUCAUUUAAAGGAUAUAAUAGACCUUCACAGUUUGCUUGGACAAAGAGCGGCAGCAACUGAUUCAAGGAUCAACAAAACUAACAGAGAGAAGAGAACCAAAACAGAAAAACUGUGGUUAGAACUCAUGUGUUAUGAUAUUGCUUAAGAGAUGUUUCUUCAUUCUUUUUCUGUUUCUUAAGUUUUUUCACUGGUGAAAUGCAAAGACACAUGGUUUUGAGUAAAAAAAAAGUUAUAUUUUUCUUGGAUCCUCGUACUCGUUACAGGCAUCAAACACAUGAAAACAUUUAACAUAUUGACGAACACUGAUAAGUUGAUAAUUAAUAGGGUAGCUUACAUGGUUACGAGUUACAACAACCAAACAACACAUACAAACGAAAAAAUCCUAAACAAACUCUAGAAUCACACACAAUAAUUAAAAAAAAAAAAAAGCUUCUAGAAAAAAACAAACAAAACAAAUCUGUGGGAGAGGAUUCAAAUCUUAAGCAGCUGAUAUAGCAGCAUAGUCUUGGUAACGAGACAUUGCUCCUUUGAACUGGUGAUCAUCUCCUUUGUGAGUGCUCAAGCUAUGCGGAAUGUACGCUCUGAAAACCUCCUCGAGGUCCGGUCUCUGCUUCAGCCCCCGGCAAGCCACCUCUAGAGCCGUGUGUUCGAACCCUUUGUAGAAUUUCUGACGGCACACGUAACCGAAGAUGAGAGAGAUGAAUAUGAGAGGAACCAAAAGAGUCGCCCAAACGAAUAGCUUGGCUCCCAAGUAACCAAACAUAACCAGUUGAAACAGAAACAACGCCGCUAGUAUGCGGGUGUGAAUAUGCGGCCACAUCCUCCCGUAGCUCUCGUACGAUGGAACAUACACUUUCAACGCCUGUCAUAACAGAUCAAAACCAUGUUAUUACAGAUCAAGAUCAGCUGAAAACGUGCUUAAACCUAAUAGGGUUUUAUGAGAAAGUCUUACCUGGUUCCUUAGGAUGAGCCAACCUAAACCAAAGUAGAUAACACCGAACACGAGGAUCAAAGGAGCGAUUACGGAGUAGCAGAAGGUGAUUGUGAGGAUGAGCAUGUCGCUAGGAACCCUAGUCGCGUAGCUCAAGUCUCCUGGAUACCAAGCUUCUUUGACCUCGGCUUCAGUUUUGCAUAGAUACUUCUUUUUCAAAUGGAAUAUUAUCAACGGUAUGAUCCUAGACAGCUCAAGACCAUAACCAACAAAGAACCUGAAAGUUACAAAGAAGAGUUAGAGAACAAGCGCUUGUGUAUAUGUUAUUAAGACAAGAGGAAGGAGGAGAACUCACUUGAGAGCAACGUAUGUCAAGAAGAAAGUAGCGUUCUUAGGGAGACUAGUAGCCAAAACGGUAACGAUGGAGUUUGGUUUCGUCUCAAGAGCCUUCAAGUUAUCAAACAAAGACCCUGCAAGUGUCACACCGAUGAAGACAUUCAACACCGAGAAGUAAAAGUACUUCCCGGAGGCAGCUCUAAUAGCAUGACUCUGCGAAGGAAUCCCUUCUGACUUGGAUAAGAACAUGAGGAACUUAGGAAGCAUCGCCAAGAAGACAAUGAGCGCAAUCUGAGGAAGGUAAGACUGCAAGAUGGUUCUUAUAAAAGCAAUCUCCACGAUCGGUUUAAUGAAGGGAAGAGCCUUCUGGAGAUUCCCAAGAGUGGUGAUCGCAGAGACAAACGCUAUAGGGAUCAUGUAGAACAAUAUAGUUAUCGCAACGAGGAAGUAGAUCAAGUACUGUCUGACUAUUCUGCUGAAGAACUUGAUCUUGAGAUUCUCCCAGAUGAGCUGGCGAGGCUCGGGAGCUUCGGUCACCGUCCAUUUAUCAACCAUCUGGCAGUGUAGUGACUGAGCAGCUAGAGCUGCAGUGACACGGUCCGUGAAGAACACAACCGCUGCGGUUUGCUGCUUCUCGGCGAGAACCGUUCUUUGUUCUGCUUCUAGUUUGGCUACAGACUCGUUGAUCAGCUUUGUGUAAUAGUCAAUGCUGUCUACUCGCUCUCCCACUAGCCCGAGCAAGCCGGUUUUGUUCAUUGGCCGGUUACUGGUGGCUGCAAAGACCGCUUCUGCGCGCGCGAGCUUCUUCUUGUAGCCUUCCAAGUUUUCCCAUAUCUUAUUAAUCUACAAAACAUGAGCCAACACAAUGUUCAAAAAAUCAUUAGGCAAUGUUCAAGAAAUCGUUAGGCUGUAACUAGGCACUAAGGAUUAGUGACUAGUGAGAUACCAAAUUAUUGAUUUAUUUUACACUCCUUCUGUUCCUUAAAGAUCCAUUUUUUAGAAAAAAAAAUUGUUUCAAAAAGAUACAUUUUUUGUAUUUUCAAUACAUUAAUUAAUGAAAAAUUGUACUUUUCAAAAAAUACAAUUGUGUUUAGUAAAAUUUUAUUGGUUAAAAGUUAUUGGAAAUAGUUAAUUAAGAAAAACAAUGUAUUGGAAAAUACAAUUUUAAAUGUUUUUUUAAUAAGUGUGAAAAAACUAUAACAUGAAUCUUUUAGGAACGGAGAGAUAUAUAUUUUACAUUUAUAUAAGAUAUUUUAGGUUUAAUUAUAAAUUUAAUUUUAAUUAUCAUAAUUACAUAUACAAAAAAAAAUUAGAAAAAUUUAUAGAUUUGUACUAACAUUAUUACUUAUUUUACGGAUUUAAACCGAUUUAGAAGGAUUUAAACCGGUUUAAAUCAUAAAAAUUGAAUUUUAUGAAAAUCCGAUUCGGCUAGGACGAUUUGCUGCCUAGGCGGGGUCUAGGUAACCACAUGAGCCAGUGAGUAAGAAAGAUUAAGACUUUAAAGGGCAGAACAAAGCAGGUAGAUAGAUAGAUUACCUUGCUGUUUUCUGUUACGACAAGGGAUCUGUAGAAUGUCUCUGGGUAGAUUUCUCUGAAGUAAGAGUCUACGAACUCUUUCUGCGUCUCUCCGUUAGGUGGGGAAGGUAUGUCCCUAACGAGAAUAGCGUAUUGCUCUGGUAAUACUUCUUCACUAGACAUCAGAGCUUCAGCUCUCAGUGCAGCGACGUGCUUGUAAGCUUUCCAUAACAUAAAAUAUGUGACUACGGAUACCCAGUAAACCGCUCCUAGGAACGCCCACAGCCUUGAACUCCUUCUCUGUUAAAACAGAAUGAAUUAACCUUUAAGCUCAACAACAAUUAUAAAAAAAAAAAUGAAUGAAGUGUUUACUUACAGUGAUGUUAGCCAUAGAUAGAUUAUCAAGUUGGCUAAAGGUUCCGUUACUUGUGGUGUCAGUGACGUUCCUUGAGGUCUUUAAGCUGUUGUCAGUAGCGGAUAAAGGGAGUAGAGUCGGCAAGAGAAGAAGAGCCGACAAAGCAAAUAUCCCAAGAACUGUUUCAUAACAAAAAAAAAAAAACCAUCAGGAACACUCUUAUGUCAAUCUUAUUUAGAGCAACGAUUAAGACACUGAAGAACACAUUCAGAACAAAGAAACUUGUGUCUACUGGGUUCUAAUUUCAAUCCCAAAUGUCUACAAGUAAAGAUCUUUUAAAGACCAAAACUCAAAAGGUACUUUAUUUUAAGCAAAUAUGGACAAAGUAAAACAGAACAUAGCAAACAAGACAGAGUCAGAGACAACAAUAUACAACCAAAAUAAAAAAAGGAAACGUUUUUUUCCCCAAUUGUCUCCAAAGAUGGAAACUUUAUAAGGUAAAAUUAGAAACCCAGAUCAGAAGAGGCGAACCAGUGCUCAAGAAGACGAAGUAGACGGCGGUAUCGACGCCGGACAGCUUAACGACGUCUUGUUCGGUGGAAGUGAAAGCUUCGCGGAUCCAGGCAAAUGGGUUUCGGGUCAAGGAGCUGCCUUCCCAUGGAUCCAUUCCUUUCAGGAUCCGGUUCGGGUAAUAAACCGAAACGUUACCGGGUCUACGAGAGAGCCAGGUGAAGAGGAGCAUGAGCACGACGAAGAUGACUGCUGACGUCCCUAAGGACACUAGAAACGAUUCAAACUCCAUCUACCAAUCUCUGGGGGAAGGGUUCAGAUUUGAAGUCACCGUUUUAAAAAAGGAAAGUAACCGUUUGAUUGCAGGUGAGAGAGAGGAAAGGUUUCUCCUUUUUCUACUUUUGUUGUAUUUAACAGGAAGAAGAAAGGAAAAUAAAUAAAUAAUAAGAAAAUUGAAAAGAGUAUUGAUUGUCUUGUUGUGGAGUUGGCUUUGUGUGUUUGAUGGAGAGAAAUGAUUAAAUGGGAGAGAGAGGGAGAGGUGUGAGAAGAGAGUAGAGAGCGUGUUUAAGUGAGAAGGCCGACAGGUGUUGACGAAAGAGACACCAUUGGACAAGGAUGUGUUAACCCUACUUCAGCGACCUCUCUUUUCUUCUUUUCCUUUUCUUUUCUUUUCUUUUCUCUUCUCUUUUCUGUUACGAAAAUAAAUUCUUAUUUUUGUCAACAUAUAUUAUAAAUAGGACUUAUUUGUCAAAUAACCAAAAAAGAAGGUUAUUUAGCAAUUACUCAAAUUUAAAGUUGAAAACUAAAAUAGUUAAAUGAAGUCAACUAGAACUUGCUUUCAAAGAUUCAUUAGAGCUUUUUUUUUUAAAGAUUCAUUAAUUAGAGCUUACCAGAUGGAUUUCUUAAUAUAUGUAUGUAUAUUGUAAUCUUUAGCAAAUAACGGCAAGCUAUAUCGCUAAUUAAACUUAUAUAGUACUUGAAGACUUGGAGUUUUAAGUUUUAACUGUUAUUAGUGAUUUGGGCCAGUAUUGUGUUUGUAAUUUAAUGAAACACAUCAGUCCAGUCAUUAUUGAGGAAAAGCUUGGAAAACAUUGAAUUGUUAGGGUAAUUGUGGACUAAAAGGAGCAAGAGCUAAAGUCGCAGAUAAGAAAAUUUGUUUGGCUAAAUAUAAAAUAAUUGUCUGGAAUUCACAUGUGGCCGCAAAACUAAAAUUAGUAAAUGGCAGUUUUUUUAGGAAUUACUUGGCAGAAAAUUAUGAAAGACUCAAUGAAGUCGGACAUGGUUAACUUGGUCAAUUAGCUUGAAACGGCACGCUUACAGUUUUAUCAUACAGAAAAUGAGUGGAGAAGCUCAUUUAGCUGAAAUAGCAAGCUUAAAGUAAGUAUGGAAAAACAUGUUCAGAAUGGUACAAUGUUGGAGAGAAUUUGUUUUUUUUUUUGUCUACAUAAUGUUGGAGAGAUCCAAAAUACAAAAGUGCGAUGGUCAAUGCAUAUUUUCAGUCGUUUUUAUAUAAUAUUAUUGGUUUUCUUCUAAGUGAAAUCGUUGAAUUUAUAAAUUGUAGGCUAGCUAUAUGUGUAGUUUGUAUAUUGUGACUUCAAAUUUUUGAACGUGAAAAACUGAGAUCAUAUAGAACAAAAUCGGGAAUGGUGAAUAUAUGAUAUAAAAAUAUAUGUUGGCAAAAAAAACUGGUCAUGUAAUCAAAAACUCAAAGUAUACCUCUAAUUAAAAAGAAACAUAAAAUUGCUCACAGCUUUUUUUUUUUUUUUUUUUUUAAAUUGCUCACAGCUGAAGUUGAACAUUUGUAAACUUUAUAUUCAAACUUAAGUCGAUGCUGGAUUUUUAUCCCGUUAUUGUUCUUAUUCAUCUACAUUUUGCAUUUUAUCCCUCUAUAUAAUACUAUAUACUUCUAUAUUUCUGUUAAACGUUAGACAAAUAGAUCAAAUCUCUCUUGUAAUGCACGUGUAUGGUUUUAUGUGUACAUGACGUGUAAUAUAUACGCGUGUAUAUAGUAAAUCGUCGAUACAAUUUCAAGAAGUCAAGAAAACGAAAAUCGAAAGACGUCGGCGACAUGCUUGAAGUUCAAGAUAAGAGUGAAUGUGACAAUGAUCUGCCGCUAUAAAAUUAGCUCCUAAUUUAAAUUGCUGAUUUGUUUGUUGUAUUUUUUUUUAAGUGACCAAUACUAUUUGGUCCCAAUAUCACUUGGGUCCAUUGUAGACCAAGUAAAUUAAUGCUAAUAAAAUAGCUUUUGGCAUCCAACUGAAUCAAAUUGAUGGCUCAUUAGUCAUUUAUUAGACAAAUCAGUGGAUAAUUUACUAACAAAUCAUCAAUUUGGUGGAAUCAAAAUUUAAAUAAAAAAGAUAUGCGAAUUUGAUAAAGUUGAGUCCUUCACAAGGCACAAAACAAAAAGCCGUUGUCCACUUGUUGCAACGUCGACAUGAACUUCAUUGCCGACACAGAAAAAAACUUAGUGUGGGUUCCAUACCUUUGUCUUUAUUUUAUUAUUGAAAUUCGAAAGGCUUAUCUACAAUAUUUCAGUUAUUUGUUAUUUUCAAAGUAACGCUGUUCACAGAUUCGGUAGGUUUGUUGAUCUGGUCCAAAGUCUUACUGUAGAUUUCCUUUUUCGCAUAAAUGUUUUAUGUUCACGUCGACAUAUACAUAAACAACCCCACCACGUCAUCAAGUUGCUACUUCUUUUUGUUCUAACGAGUCUGCUGAGUGCUGAUGGGUAUGUUCAGUUAAACGGUUUGCUUUGCAUUUACGGAUCGAGAUGACUAAAGUAUACUCCCUCCGUUCCUAUAAAAUGUAUAUUCUGGAAAAAAAAUUGUUUUAAAAAGAUACAUUUUUUACUUUUUCAAUGUAUGAUUUUAUGAAAAAUUGCAAGUUUCAAAAAUUUAAUGGUGUUUAUUGAAUUUCUAUUGGCUAAAAAUUAUGAAAAAUUGUUAUUCACAAAAAACAAUACAUAUUUAAUGAGUUUUCUUAAUAUAUGUGAAAAGUUUAGAAUAUGUAAUUUUUAAAAACGGAGGGAGUAUUUCAGAUACAAAUGAAAGGAGUGAAUUUUUCAAUACGUGGUAUCAGCAAAAAAAGAACAAUAUAAUUAUUUUCUGAAGCCUGAUCCAAUAUCUUAACUAAAGUUUAGCAAACAUAUGAUCACUACUUUUUCAUAAACAAACAAAAAUAUUAUCUAGUCACUGAGUUCAAAAGACAUCACUAGUAAAACUUUUAGUUCAGAAUGUGUGUAAAAAGUCUGGUUAAUAUUAAAAUAGUUAAUUAUAUAGAUAAAUGAGAAUUCUGGAUAAACAUAAUAUAAUCUAUUUAUUGAGAUAAUUUAGAAGGAAAAAUAUUUCAAUAAGAAAGUAAUGGAGUCAAUAUUGUGAAAUGUGUAACCAUUGAAAUUGAUAUCAACGAUUCAAUGCCCCCAUCAAUAUGGAUACAAGCGAAGGAUCCAAUCGAGUUUCAAUAGUUUAAGAGAAUUCAGAUAGAAGAAGAGAAGUAGGUCACGAUUUCAUGGGGAACGGUCUAGCGUUCUUCUAUUUCUGAAUUAUCUAGAUAUAAGCUUGCGACUUGCGUCAUGAGGCAGAGUGUAAUUUUCCAAGCGGUUCUAGAAAACAUGUGAAUUUACAAUCUAUUUUAACCCAUUGCAUAGUCUAUAUUUUAAUAAUUUCAAAAAUCAUUAGAAAAUCAUAAGAAAAUCAUAGGAGUAAACGAACAAUUUUCCUCCCUAACACAAAGUUAAGAAAUCAUCAUGAAUUCCCAACAACUAAGAGUUACAAUCUAUCAUCUGAACUUUCAAUUGAUAUCCAAAAUAAUUUUUAACUUUGUGUGGACACAAUGUUAUAUGAUAAUUCUUCCAAAUUCAAAAAUAUUUGAUCCAACUUUUUAAGAAAAAUAUAUAAAACUCAUAAUUCUGAAGUCACUAAAAUCUUACAUACAGUUAGAAUCUAAUAACAGCACAUUUCACUUUGUAAGCUUCGCGGCUCUAUCAAAGUAAUCUUUUUUUGUAAUCUUACACGAUUAGAGUAUGCCGUUCGAAUAUGUUACAUUUACCCAUAAACUUGUGUUUGCUUGAAAAAAGAGUGCAAAAGUAAUUAGUAAAAUAAUGACUCUUCUAUGACUAAAACUCUUAAAGGUAUAAACGGUAUGGAACUCCAAUCUUCCUCAAAAUAUUCCAACUAAUUAAUUUAGGCUUUAUAAGAACGGCAUACUCUAAUCGUGUGGUUUGUGGAUUAUACAAAUAUAAUCAAACAUAAAGAUCUCUAAACUAUACUAUUCCCACAAUCAUUGUAGUGGAGACGUGACUCCUACUAGUAAACUUUUUUCGUUUGAAUUAUUUGGCAUGACUUGAAAUCAAAGGCAAUAUUUAAUCACACGAAAUCAAGUAUCGUUAUUAUUCCAAGAUUAUACUUAUAUCAUUUCUAUCUCCAUGCUACCAUAACUUAUUCUAUGAGAAUACUAUUAUGAUUAUCGAACUUCGUCGUAGCUAUCUUUAUGAUUCAUCUGGUGAUUCUGGUCAAACAUAUUAAACUCACCUGAUUUAUAGGUUUCAAAGUUUAGCUCGCGAAUGCCUGACCCAAGCAAUUUAUUUUGCGAGACUCGAAAGACAAAAAAUGGGAACGUUUUAUAAUCAAAAUGAUAUUUUUCAGUGCCAGUUUUGAAAGUUAGUGAAACUUAGGCCGUGAUUAGAAAUAGAAGUCUGGAUUAAUCUUCAAUGAUAUGCUUUGCUAGAAAAUAUUAGCUAACGUCUAAUCCCACAACCUGAGAGUUUGCUAGGCAAAUUAUGUUGUGGAAGUAUUGCCAUUCAAGGGAGUUUCUACACCAGAACUACAUCUUCUCAUGGGUUGAAAGAAAUUCUGGCACGACCUUUGAUUUCGUACAAGACAUUUGGAGAACCUAUAGGAUCAGCAACAGAAGAGUCAAUAGGGCUAAGAACAGAUGAUCUCUGCAUCAACAUAAUGAGACAGAAAAGAUCAAGAUGAUAAUACCACAUGAUGAUAGAGACAUCAUGAGCAUAAAACCAAGCAACAUAGGAGGAGCACCAGACAAGGGGAAUAUGUUGUUUGUGAAAUUUGGGAACUAUAGACAAUUUCUUAUGAAUUUUAAUAAAAGUUUGCUUUAGUAAUUUUAAAGUUAUAUAUCAAAGUGUAUUACUUUAAAAAUGUGCAUGAAUUUUAUGUUAAUAUCUGACUUGAGUGACACCAUAUUCUAAAAGAAAAUUUAAACUUUUCUGUUAUCACGGUAGAUGUCUCACAAAAAAGAAGAAAUAAAUCUGUUAUGUGAUCCUGACACGAAGUGAAUAAAAAAAGAAAAAAAAAAAAAGAAAAAACAUGACAUGCACUUAUCAGGCCUUGCAAAACAGAAGCUUGGACGGUAAAGUGUUGCAUCUCAUGGUAAAGGUCCAUUUAGCAAUAAAUGUUUUCUGGGUUUUAUGGGCCUUAUAAUGUACUUCUUCAGAGUUCGGCACGUUAAUUAGUUUAAAGGCUAUUUUUCUUUCGUUUAUAAUACACACAUUUCAAUCUCUCUUUAGUACUACGAUUUUACUCAUUCGAAAAAUACAUAUCGUAACCUUUUCGGAGGAUUUUAUUUUCUGUAAAUUUAUCCAAAGGAAACAGUAUCUCCCGAUAGGAAAGCAUGUUGGAAGACAUUGAACUGAAUAAUUAUUUCUAGAUUUAUUCACAUAGUUUUAUAUUAAUCUGUAAUAUUUCCCUUUUUACGUGUGUUAAAAGAUGUACCAAAAAGUAAAGGCAUAUAUAUAAUCAACAUUCGAAUGAACUUUUUCUUUUGCAAAAAGUUAUAAAAUUAUCAGAAUUCGUAUUUCUAAAGUAAACUGUAUACAAACCUAUUAGUAAGAGGUUUAUAAUUUCGAAGGACCUUAAUUAGUUAUAUAGAAAGGAUCACUUAUUAUUUACGAUAAGAGUAAUUGCUUAGGAUACAAUAAGACAUUCUCCAAACCGUAUCAAUAAUUAGUAUAAAUUAGUACUCUUUCCGUUUCUAUAUAAGUGUUACUUUGACAUUUUCCCACAUAUUAAUAAAGUAACGGAAACAUAUGUAAAUUGUUGUUAAUUAUACCUUUUGACCAAUAGUAUUUGAGAUAAUUUUAAUUAUUUAUAAAAUCGAUACUCUUUUCAAUUAAUUUUCAAGUAAAAGUAAGUAUAAUUUGCAUUGGAAUUGUAAAGCAACACUUUUUAAUAACAAAAAAAUGGUUAAAAUGACACUUAUUAUGAAACAAAGAGAGUAUUACUUUGAUAAACCGUAUUUAUUUAUCUAAGUACUUAAGUCUACAUUAUUAUUACAUAUUUGUUACAUACUAUAAAGUUAGCUAGUUUCAAAAAAAAAAAGUUAGCUUGGUUAUCUGAACUUUGUGAAUUUUAAUGAUUAUAUACAAGGAAUGUUUUAAAUUUAUUGGAAAGAAGCUGCAGGCGUGUAACAAUAUCUUCGUAGAAUUAUAGUAUACUUCCUCCAUUUCUUAAAUAAAAUAAUUUUAACGUUUUAAUUUUAUUUUAUAAAAAGUUUCGCUUUAUAUUUUAAAUGCAAAUUUAUGAAUAAUAUUUUAUUUUUCUUCUUAUAAUCUAAUAUAUUAAUUGAAAAGUGAUUUUUUGUUAAAGUAUUAAUGAUGGAUAAAAAUAAUUUUUUAUCAAGUUAUUUAAUCCAUGUAAAAAAGUCAAAUUGAUAUUUUUUAAGAAACACAUAUAUAGGGAAUACGUAUUAUGCAUGAUAACAACGAAUUGAGCGGUGUAGAACAAACGGUACAAGUGUGAUAUAGUUCUGAUAGUAAUAAAAAUGUAUAAAUAUAUAAUGUAUGUAAAAAAAAUUUGUUACUAUUAAUUGUAGUGCGGUGCGGGGUGGAACGAACAUUCAACGCCUUCAAUAUAUUCCUAGGGUUAUUUUCUUAAGAAAAAAUAAAUGUAUGAAAUUUAAUCAUAUACCCCACCAAGUAUAAUAUACUUUAAAUAGUUUGGAAUUGAUUAUAACACUGCACAAAUACGAACCAGAUAUUAAACGUUUAAUUAUUCUUUUGUGGCCUACAUCAUUGAUAUGAUUCCACUACUAGAUCUCAAAAGUGCAUGCUCAUGUUUAUUUAUUGUAAAACUAAAUUAUGUAUCACUUUGUUAUCUCAAUUCUACGCAUUCACACACACACAACCUAUCAUUUCUUAGAUUCAUAACCUUUCUAACAAAUUCUCGCAAUAUUGUACGAAUAUUAGGCACUAACGGCCUGCUUUAAAUUUCGGAUUUUCACCGUUUAGUGCAUCCCGUUAUUUCUACAGCGUUUUCCAGUUACAAUAUAUUAGGAUUCCGAGUACGUGUGUGUUAUAAAACUAAUCUUGAAGUAAUAUCAAGGGAAUGUAUACUAUUUUUUUAUAACUAUGGUGUGAUCUCAAAGGUUUUUUAGAUUCAAUGACUAAUUACCACAAGAUCUACAGGAUCCGCGUUUUCUUACCAUUAGACUAAGACCACUUGGUUAAGAGAAUAUAUAGUACUUGUUAAAAAAUAGUACUUGUUUAAAACAUCUCCAAAAAACACUAAAAAAAAAAUUAAAAUUUCAUAUCUGAAAUUUAAAAGUAUUCUUCUCCAAAACCAAAACUUCAAACUUAACUUCAAAACUAUUUAUAUUUAUACUAUAGUCUUUGUAUUUGUCAUACUUAAUUUAAAUUCAUAAAUUUUUUAUAAAUAACUAGCACAUAUAUACCAAAACUUCAAACUUAACUUCAAAACUAUUUAUAUUUAUACUAUGGUUUUUGUAUUUGUCAUACUUAAUUUAAAUUCAUAAAACUUUUAUAAAUAACUAGCACAUAUAUAAAAUAUAAAAACUUAAAACUUAAAUUUAGAGUUUUGAGUACUCAAAACUCUAAAUUUGAAGUUUCAUCUUUUUAUUUGAAUCUUGGUCUUUAUAAUUAAUUAUACUUCAUAUUUAUGAUUCUUAAAUAUUUUCUCAUUCAUCGUUUUAAUCUUUAAAACUUUUGUAUAUUUUAAAUAUUUCAAAUUUAUGUUUAUAAAUUUAGUUUUUACAGAUAAAUUUUUAAAAAAAAAUAAAGUAAGAUUUAUAAUAUUUUAAAACUGGAAUUAGACAACAAGAAUAUUACAAAGAAUGAAUAUGAUGUUACAUAUAGUUUCGAGAAAAUAUGAUGUUACAUAUUCAUGUUAUUGCUAGUACGUAAACUACUGAAACAAGGAAAAACUGCAUUAUAAAUAUAGAACUAAAGUAAAUAUUGCAUUUUCUCUUAAUUCAUUUUAAAAUAACUCAAAACUGGGAUCCAAUCCGCGUUAAAACUAACGCAAAUAAUAUUUUGCUAUUAUGUUUAUUUUAUUAAAUCAAGACAACCAUUGUAUGUUUUUAUCUUAUGUUGAAAUUGGUUCAAAAAUUUAAUUGAAUAUAAUAUUUGUCUUUUUAGUGCUGGCCCUGUGCCCAAGCAGAUGAAGCAUGGCUUCCGCACAAAAAUAACUAUUUAAUCGGUCAUAAAAUUUCCAAAUGUGACUUUAGCGUAACGGUUCUGAGAAAAAUUUCUAUUGUGUGAGGAGUUGGAUUUGUCCCCACCUUGACGCAUAUAUAUUAUUCCGGCCUUUAUUUGAUUUUUGAUAGGACCGGCUCUGUGUCUUUUAUGUUUAUUUUAUUAAACCAAGAUAAUGAUUGUAUGUGUUUUAUCUUUAAGUGAAACAAAAUCGGGUUGUUAAUGUAUUAUGAUUCAACUAAAUUAGAUGAUAAGUAAAUGUUGAUCGUAUAUAGUCUAACAUUAAUUUUAUAUCGGUUUGUUUAAAUUUAAUUUAAUCGAUUUGGUUCUAUUAUGAUGUCGAGUUGGUUAACUAUUGUUAGGAUAUGUGAUAUAUGUCAAUUUAAAAAAAAAAGUGAGAAUAAAGAUAUCAUAAUUCAGAUUGCAUUUGACUAGUAUUCCCUGCGUUUUUAAUAUAAGUCGUCUUACAGCUAUGCACAUAGAUUAAGAAAAACCUUUUAAUCGAUUUGGUUCUAUUAUGAUGUCGAGUUGCUUAACUAUUGUUAGGAUAUGUGAUAUAUGUCAUUUUAAAAAGUGAGAAUAAAGAUAUCAUAAUUCAGAUUGCAUUUGUGUAUAGCUGUAAUUUUUCAAACACAAAGCUUUUAAUUUUUGUUUGUGUGUGGGACGGCUCAAAUAGUGAAAAGAACCUUAUUUAAAGUUUUUAAUUGCCUAUAAUUAAGCACGACGACUAUCCUUAAUUAGCAUUAAUCGCAAGGCUUCGAAUAUCACUAGACAGAGGUCAGAGGUUAUCACUGUCUUCAAAACACUCAACAUGUCUUUAUUUGUUGUUUUGGUUUCUUUUUAAUUAGAAUUAAUCAUUAUUAACGUCUCCCUUGUAUAUUCUUAAGUACACCUUUUGACUUCUUUUUUUUUAAAUUUGUCAAAUUGUUUCGCUUACUAAGGGAGUGAGGGGCCCAUUUUAUUAUUAAAAAACAAUCUAAUUAACAUUUAGCUUCACAUUCUUGUCUCUUGUCAUGAUCUAAUGCUCUUACGAGGUUACAAAGAAAAUCUUUGUUGGUGUGUGUUUGUUUAAUGUUGUCUCUACAAGCUUAUAGCUUGUCUGAAUAAACAAAGAAAAGGGGAAGGUUAUAACUUGACUUAACGUGUGUCUGAACUACUUUUCACAUGAAUUAAAUAUUAUAGAAUUAAUGAUAAUAAAAUAUAAUUUUCUUCAAAUCCACAAUAGCGGCCAAUUCCCAAUUACUAAUUUAAUCCGUGUUUACCAAAAAAAAAAUAUGUUACAUCAUUUCUAACUCAUUGAUAUUUUCACAUCUAUAAUAAUAUCUAAUAUCUAGAAAUAAAAUUGUUCCAAUCCAUUUAUAUUUCUUCUUUUAUAAUAAAGAUUACAUGCAUUUUUCUAGUUUCUUCUAUAUUUAGAAAUUGUUAUUUACAAUAAUACAUUAGGACAGAACUCUUUUUUUUUAUAUAGAUUUUUCUAUUUUAAAAGAGAAAGAGGAGAAAAUAGCAAAAUAUAUCGAAAAUAUUCUUAGUAGAAGUCAAAAUAAUUAAACACAUUCUCUUCUCAAUGUUGACUGUAUUAUCGCCUUAUCGGGAGUAGUUGUAGGCUCUAAAGUUUCUGUUAUAUAUAUUCCAUUAGAAUAUAUUUUUGCUAGUUAUAUGACUACCAAUUCCAGACUAGUUCUCUAUCACGAAUUUUCAUGCUGAAAACUAAGUGGAAAUUGAAUUUUCAAACUUUUGAAAUCGUUGCUUGCCUAAGUUUCUUUUAAAUAAUAUAACUGGCCGGUCAACCAGACCAUGUUAGGUAAGCUUAUUAUAUCGCAAUGUUUGAUAUCUACCAAGCUGUUCUCCUUGCUAAUCUUAGGGGCACGUGCUCCACAUCAAAUUUAAUUUUAUUAUGUAAUUUUUCUAACCCUAUAAUUAGCAUUAUAUAGGAUUAUAUGUGACAUGUCCCGCGUCUAAAUAUAAACCUACAUGCGCUCUUGGAAUCUCAUAGUUUGAUAUUGGUUUAAGCAUGUGUGAUCAUAAUAAACAAUACUCCUUCCAUUUUUAAUACUUGACAUUUUAUUGUCAUUUUAAAAGAAUGUAAAAUUAAUCAAUUUUAGGUUAUAUGAAUUUUUAUUAUUCUGCAGUUUAUUUUUAAUAGAUGAAUUAUAAUUAAGUAGAUAUUUAAUGACAUUUUUGUUAAGAAAAUAUAUAAAAAUAAAUAUUUUAAUUUAUGUGUAUAAAACAUCAUCUAAAAAUGAAAGAAAUAUCAUCUGUCAAGAAAGUACGUAGCAUAGUAUAGAUACAAUAUAUAGUUAGUUAACUAUAGCUCUCGUUUGGAAAUAUUAAAGAAAAGUUGGCUAUUUCUGUUUUAUAUUUUCAUAUCAACAGAAAAAAAAAUAUUUUCAUAUCAACAAAACAAAAGCAAGUUAAACUAUAGUAUGGACUCUUCAGAAAAUUAAACUCUUCAAAAUCCAUACCUUAGCAAAAGUUGGAUGCUCAUGAGUCACGAGGUAUACGAUCUUUAGACCAAAUUGCAUUCGAUUAUAAUUUAAAACUAGAUUAAAUCUGCGUCUUACGGAGGAUAAGCAUUAUAUAUAUAUAUAUUAUUUUAUGUAUUAUAUGAUUUAUAUAUUAUGAAAUAAUAAAUACAUAUUGAAUAAUUAAAAGUUAGUAACUAUCACAUAUACAAUUAAAUUAGUGCGAACAUAUAAAUCAAUUUUAAUAAUUCAAACAAUAAUUUUUUUCUAUUUGAUAGGAUAUAUAAUUAAAUUUAAAUGAUAUUAACAUAUAUACAUAAUAUAUUUUUAAUAUUAAUGUAUAUUAAAUGAUGCUUUCUACUAAUAUAGUUUUUUUUAUCAUUUAUACCAAAAACAUUAAAUUACUAAUAACAAAAAGUUUUAUUGUAGGAUUAAUAGUUUUAGUAAUUUAUAAUUUUUUUAAAAAUUAAGUUGUCAAUGUUUGUUCAAAGCUUUUAUCGAAAAAAAUAUAAUUCAAAGUAAAUUUUAAAAUUAAAAUAUUUAUGUAUUUAUAUGGUAUAUAGUUUAAUUUAAAACGAUAUAUAUAUAUAUAUAUAUAUAUAUAUAUCUUUUAAUCUUAAUAAUUAGUUAAAUUAUAUUUUUUAUUUAGAUGAUUUUUUUAAUCAUUUUUAUUUUGUCAUAACAAAAAUUUUAAACCAUGGAUUACAAAAUUUGAAUGUGAGAUUUUUAACAGUUUUAGUAAUUUAUAAUUGUUUUUAAAAUUCAAAAUAUAACAUAUACAAAAAAAUCUAAAUUUUAUUUUAUGGUUAAUGUGAUUGUUAAAUUUAUUUUAAUAAUUUAAAAUUAAACAAAUAUGAUAGAAGAUACCCUAAUUUUUAUUAAAUCUUUUAGAUUCAAAACCAUUAAUUGUCAUAUAUAUUUUAGCCACAUUAGACAAUUCUGUAACUUUUAUUUAAGAAAAUAAUAAAUAAUAUUAAUAAUGAAUUUAUGGAAAGUUUAUAAAAAAUUUAUUAUAUACCAACCUAUUUUCUAAUGAUUUUAAGAAUCAUCUUAUUGAUGAUACGUGGCUACAAAAAAAGUUGUAAUGUUUCUCAAUUAUAUGAAUGUGUUCUUACAUAGUAUAUAUGGGUUACAAGUUGAUGAGAAUUGUUGGCUAAAAAACUGUUCUUUUCCAAAAAAAAAAAAAAUUCAAUUUCAUUUAGCAUAAAAGAGGGGUCGAUGUGUUCUAAUUAAAGAAGACAUCCUUAAAAGAGAACAGUAUUUCAUUUAAGGUAUCUUCCUUUUCCAGAAAUCACCUGAAAAAUAACUCCAUGAAUAUCUAAAGCAAUUUGUAGAUAUUAGUUUUUUUUUUGACAUCUUGUAGAUAUUAUAGUUUAAUUAUGUAUCCAUUAAUCCAUAGUAAUCAUUUUCUUGUGGACGAUCCUUAGCAUGUUUGCUUUAGAUAUAACGACGAUGUAUCUUAAUAAUAAAUUUAAAAAGAAGGGAAUAAUUUUCCCGAAGAAAGGAUGUAUCAAUUCAAGCAGACAUAAUGCAUGUACGAUGUAUAUAUAUAUAUGUAUAUGUAUAUAUGUAUAUAUAUAUAUAUAUGUAUAUGUAUAUAUGUAUUUUUAACUAAAUUUCUUUUGAUCCUUUUUCGAUUGGUGUGUGUUAAGAAUAGUGCUGGGAAUAUGAAUCAUUAUCCGCGGGCUCCGUUCCAUUUGAUUCGUUGCAGGGCGGGUGCGGAUCGAGUAAUUUGAAAAUUUUGGUUCGCGGAUGUGGGUGCGGGUUGAGUGAUUUUUAUGCGGGGCGAAUGCGGAUCAGCCAAAAUUUAGUGCGGGUACCCGCCAACCCGCAAAAACUAAAAAAAGAUUUUUUUUUAAAAAUAUUAUUUUAAAAUAGAAUUUUUUUAAAAAAUUAUUUAAUUUUAAUGAUAAAUAGAUUAAUAUUUAUUAUUUUUAAUAAAAUUUAUUUAAAAUAAUAUAUUUUAUUGUUAUUUAUAAUAAAAAAUACUUAAAAUAUUAAAUUUUAUUGUUAUUUUUAAUAAAAAUAUUUAAAUUAAUAAUUUUUAUUAUUAAUAAUAUUAUCCGCGGAUCUAGCGGAUCACCGGCGGAUUUAAGCGGAACGGGUGCGGAUUUUAUAUUUUCUUCUAGCGGGUCAAGCAGGUCAAAUUUUUUGAAUAAAAAAAUCAGUUCAUCCGCGAGUUGGCGGGUCAAGCGGAGCGGGUUUGACCCGCAACCCAGCUCUAAUUAAGAACCAUGCUAAUUUUUCUCUAUAGUUCUAGUUUUUUCAGAAGUCCUCAGAAAAUAUAUAUAUAUAUAUAUAUAUAUAUAUAUACAUAUUUUAUUUUAGAAAAUAUGAUAACAACUAAAUGAUAGUGGAGGACUGGUUCCACUUUGAUUAGAUUUUGUUUUUUCGUUACACAUUAGGAAAUUACCUCUGAAAUUAAAUUUUUUUUAUCAUUUUAUAUCUGUAAACGUUUUAAGUGAUAAAAAAUUGAUUUUUAAAUUUUAAAUCUGAAUUUUGUGAAUCAUACUAAAGUUUCAGCAUGAAUAUACAGAGGCGUACCUUAAGCGCUCCAAUUUGUAUAACAUAUUUUAGGGGUUCCAUUUUUAUCUUUUUUUUCAAUUGGUUAUAUAUAUAUAAACUUCUUUUAUUUUCGGACUAAAAAAUAAUUUAUUUAUGCUAUUUAGAUUUAUUUCAUGUUAUUAGACUUCUAGAUUUAAUAUAUCAUCUAUUUUCAUAAAACUAUUAUUUUCUUUAUUUAAUUUUUAGACUUUGAAUUAUAACUUCUUUUAGCUUGUAUGAGUUUAUUUUUAUAAGCUUACCAUUCAGCAUAUCUAAAUAAGCACAUAUUUAAUAAAUAAUUAUAAAAUUUUCAUAGAAAAUUUCAAAUCUUGUAUUUUUGGUUUAAUAAACUAUGUAGUUUGUAUUCUUAUAAGAAAUAAUAUGUUCAAUUUUUCAUAUGAAUUUAUAAAUAUUAAAUACAUAAUUGUUUGUAAGGUUUUAUGUAAUAGAUAUUUAUUACUAAUAAUGGAAACGUUUUUACUCUAGCCUUUGUUUUACACUGGAUUUUAUUAUUAAGCUUUUUUGGCAAAAAAUUCUAAGCAAUAAGAACUAACAAAACAAAUAUAGAAAAUGGAUACAUCAUUAGGGAUCCAAAGUAAACUAAAACACAUCUAUUUUUCAUAUCGAUAAUUAAAUAUUUUUCAUAUAAAAGUUCUAUAUAUAUUUACUCUAGCCUUAGGCCUCAAACAUCUAGGCACGGCACUGUAAAUAUACAUCCAUAGUUAUAAAACCGAAAUAAAAUAAACUAUUAGGUUUUCUUGUACAAAACUAAAAGCCUGUAUAGUAUAAGUGUAUAAGAUUGACUUAAUUUGAAACAAUAUUUUUUCUAGUUUGCACGGCUACUUUAUAUUAACGAUAUGGUCUAAACUACGAUAUAACCAAAAAAUGUUCAUUGCCUAAGAUAUAGAUUAAUGGGUUAGCUUGUUAUCUCCCAAUGUUUGAUUUUAUUAAUAUUUUAAUACUAUUAAUUAACAAGUCUGAAUAAUAUUAUGUUUUAUAUUUGUUUAAAUAAUUCUAACAAUGAUUAUAGACCUCCCAUUAAUCGGUGCUAAAAACUAAACCACUCUUAAGUAUCGAAAACAUAUUUUGGUUAUCAAAUUUUGUUUUUAUAGGAUUUUUAUAAAUUAGGUAAGAUAUAUAUAUAUAUGCUAUUUUUACAACUAUAUAUUAUAUAAAAUCUAAAAGAAUUUAUUUUACUCAAAAAAUUAUUUUACGCGAUAAGAAAAUUAUUUAUUUAAGACAUCAAUAAUUUUAAGAAUAAUUUGAAUUGUAACAAAAUAACCCAGGCUUUUAUCUUUCAAGCUACAUGAGAUUUUUCAAACACAAUACCAAAAUGAAUUGGUUAAUAAAUAUGAAUUUGAAUUGGGUAACAAAUAAAAAAAUAUUUUCAAAUACCAAUAAAAUAAAUUAUCAUUUUAAAAAUAAUACGCAAGAAUGAAAAUCACAAAUUAACAUUUGCCAAAAUAUAUAAAUAAUAUAUCAUUACUUAUAAUAUUAUUAAUCAAAAUAUUAAAACAAAAUUUGAUUAGUGAAAAAUUUGAAGGAAAAAAAAUCGAUUUAUAGUUUAGUGUUUGGUAUUAAUAGUAAUUUCGUAUUUUUCUAUUUCAUAAAUUCUAUCUUUAUAUAUAAAAAAUUUAGUGUUAUUAAUAAGAUUUUCAGGUAAAUAUUAAUUUAUAUGUUUAAAUACAAAUGUGCUUGAGCAUGUAAAACAAGAAGUUUUUGGUUUAUUCACGCAACACCUAUUUUUUUUUUAUGUGGCUUGCAACCCAUUAAUCUAUAUCCAGUGGCGGAUGUAGAACUACUAUUAAUCGGGGGCACAAAAUUCUAAUCAACUCAUUUAAAAUAAAAAAAAAUGUUUCAUUACUAAAAACAAUUCCUUACAAAAUUAUCUUAGGAUAUUUCAUAUUUUGGAUAUCCAUUUAUUAUUUUUCUAUUUCCAGGAUCACUAGAUAAAUUUUUUAAAUCAUUUCUAGAGUUUUUUUUUUUUGAGAUGACAAAUCAUCUUUAGAGUUUUCAGACGUAAAUGCAAAAAAAAAAAAAUUUAGGCUUGAAAUAUUUUCCAUUAAAAUUUUCUAUGAAAAAAAAUUUAGUACAUUACUAUAGUUUCUACGUUCUCAUAAUUUCUUAUUACUUAAAUCACAUAAAUCAAAAUUUCAUUUAGUUUUACGGUUAAACUUUUACCUUUUAGUUUCUCUCUUGAACUCGUUAAUCUUUUUGUCUGCGGUGUUUAAAUUUUUGUGAUUAGGGAGAAGAUAUAGAAAAACGUGGGUGUAGUUAGUUCUGGGUGUAGUGUAAUUAAGUAGAUUUCAACUUCAUUAUUAUUUCCUUUAGCUUUUGAUUGAACUUUUUAAAACUGAACUUAUAUUUAUUUUGGGCUACAAUAGAUUUAUGUCAUAUAAUAAUGUGUUAUAGAUUGUUUAAGCUGAAAAUAUAAAGCUUUGUUUCUUAACCAAUUAUUACAUAACUAUAUUUAAUUAAUAUACAUAUAAUUAUUUUUUUUAAAUAGUGGGGGGCACGUGCCCCCGUAGUCACCUAUGUACAUCCGCCCCUGUCUAUAUCUUAUGCAAUGAACAAGUGACGUGAAAUUAUAUUUUUCAAGUCUAGAUCAAAUCCCACAGUUUCAAAUGAAUAUUUAUUGUCUACGAAGAAAAAUGUAACUUUGAUAACAUGGACGUGUUCAAAUAAAAAAAAAAGAUAACGGGGAGUCAGGGGACUAUACGUAGGUACAAUUUCACCCUCUGCAUUUCUUAUUGGUACAAGAUGGAGAAAAUAAAGACUCCUAAACGUUUAACUAUCAAAAAUUAUAAUGAAUUUAAGAUCGCGGGAGAUUUUUUGUCGACGAACAUGCUAACUCCAAAGUCCAAACUCACUUGAUCUUGUUAACCAAAAGAUCAAUUAACCUUGCUUUCUUUUGCUAAAAUUUUGUGAACAUCAAUUAGUCUUUGCCAUACGAAACAAAAACAAAAUUUCUCAUUAUUUUUUUAUCAUAGAUGAUUAAAACGAUUAUGUGAGGUCGUUCUCUUUAGAGUAAUUGACAACUACUUGAGAAAAGCGAUGGCUUAAAUUUUGGAAAAAUACGAAACCAGUUAACCAGGACCUGCACAAAAAAGGUAGGACCAAACUUCAUUUCAAUUUCUUUAAUUAUUAAUUAUUUUUAGUAUCUUCUUGAAACAGAUUCGAAAAAGAAAGCCAAAUAUAAAUAAAUAUUUGUUCAGCAAGUGAUUAAGACUUCAUAGUGCAUAUGAAUUAUCAGAAACGUCGUAGUGAUUUCUAAAUAAGCAAAUUCUUUAUCAAAGAACUUUAUGCAAGUUUUACUUUAAAUAAAUUAGUGGGCGUAAAGACCUAGUAGUUUGAACUAAAUUUUUUACAUCGUCUGAAAAAUAUUUUUUGAAUAUCUAUAUAUAUAUAUAUAUAUGUGUGUGUGUGUGUGUGUGUGUGUGUGUGUGUGAAAACAAAUUUUGAAAUGGAUAAAUUAAUUUUAUGAACUUUUUAUUUUAAAACUAGUUGAUGAUAAAUAAAUUAUUUAUAUUUUACAUAUAGUUCAAAAUCAUAUCUUAUUCUGUGUGGGGAAUGUUCUUCACUACAAAUAUUUCUAAAUUUAUAAAUUCAAUGAACAUUUUCCAGUUACAUUUCACAUUACCGGUAUUUAAUAGUGAUAAUAUAUUUUGUAUUAGAAGGAAGAUAAAUUUGAACAGCAUUAGAAAAUACAAAUAAAACUAUUUAUUUAAUUUUAAGUUAAAACAAUUUAAUAUGAUAUAACAAUCAAAACAAGUGAGUUCAUCCGAUCUGAAGAUUCAAUUCGAAACUUGUUUGAUCAAUCUUACUUGGUAUGUAUUAGACAAUGGAAUUAAUCUGACUUAUGUAAUAAGAAUUCAGUUGAUAUUAAUUAGUAUUUCGAAAGAAUUACUAUAUUAUAAGUCGGUGAAAAAUAUCUAACAUGGGAAGUAAAAUGAAAUAUUAGUGACAUAUAAGAUAGAUAAGCAAAUUUAUUCAUUACAAAUUAUAUUUGGAUACAAAUAUUAUAAAACUUAAGUUACAAAAAGAUCAUAAAACUUAACAAAUAAUGAAAAUAUAAUUAUUAUUUCCUGACUAAGAUAAAAUAUAAUAACUUAAUAAGUAGAUAUAAUAAAAAGAAAGAUGUAUAUAUGUAAGCAUCAUCUUAUAAAUGCGAAUAGAAAGGUCUGCGGCGGAUGGAAAUAUAUUAAAAUUUUUAUGAAAAUUGACAUUACUUCAUCUCCAUCCCACUUUUUGCUCACCGUCUUCUUUCGGAACAUACAUUUGGUGUUUCAUUUUCACCCAUAUGAUGUUUACUUUCGCCACCUUUGCUUCUUGAUUUCCAUCUCUUAUUUAUUUCCAGGCAGCUUCGUAACUUCCAUCAUGUAUUCGAUUUUGUUUUCCAAAAGCUUUAGCCAGAAAGAUAAUGAUUAAUAAAGUUAAGGAGAAGGAAAUAAUAGUGGAAGAUAUAAAAUCAAAUACGAUGUCAAAAGAGGUGGGACGGGGAAAUCUUCAUCGAUGAAUGGUGGGUCUCCCAAAUCUUACACUUGACUUGUUGCUUUUUUAAUUUUGAUUUCCUCACAAAUCUCUCUCUUCGGAGGAUUAUUCAUGAGCAGUAUCUGUGAAGAAUAUGCAUAACCACAACAUUAAAUGAUUUAUUUAACCGUCAACAUAUAUAUGCUACUUUCUAACAUAACACAACGUAGUAUUUUUCCUAGUAUGAUACUUUAGUAUUUUACUUGGGUUAUGACAAUGCGAUCGACUUAUAGCAAACACGAUUUGUAUUGCCAGUAUAGUACGUAAUAAACAGUCAAAUUAAACUGUUAGGUAUUGACUACUAUGACACAGGAAAGGUUUCUAAAAAUUUGUUUGUAAUAAAUAAAAUUAGAGAGAUUUGUUAAAUUUCAUAUCUCAGUAAUAUUAGAUUUUAACGAAAAUAUUAUAAAAUCAAUGAUUAGUUAGCAUUUUUUAGAGACAAGAAAUUUGGAUGCAGUUACAAUAUUAAAUCCAUAACACAGAAGUUCAAUAAAAAUACAAAAAAAAAUUUACAAACAAGGAUGUAACGCUAAAAUCAAGUCGACAAACAUACAUAUAACUCUUGAUCAUAUAUGUUUUGAGUUAAUAAGUAACAUAAAGAAUUCAAAUAGAAAUAUGGAGUAUUAUAUAAAAAACAUCAUCACUUCAAACAUUAAUAACUACAAUUUUCCGUAUUUAAAAAUCAUAUUUUAGACCUGUUUUGUGAUUAAAAAUUAAGUUUUAAAUUUUAUUAAUGUAUUUUAUUUUAAAAUAUAAAUAUAUUUUAAAAUGUAAAAAUAUGAAUUUUAAAAUAGUUAUAAAAAGUAAAUCAACAAAUAAAUAUAAAUUGAUAAUUUUGAAAAUAUGUUUAAUUUAUUUAGCUUUUUAACAAUACGAGUAAAUAGGAUAUGCCGGCAUUUAAUGUAUUGUUUUGAUUGAGUUCUUCGUUACAUGAAAGUGUGUUGGUUAUGAAAAUGUAUGAGAAAUUUUUGGCAAUGACGUUGACAAGUUUGCCAGAGAAUUCGGUGUUUUAAAUAGGGAUUGUUUUUUGGUGUUAAAUGAUUAUUUAAACGUCAGAUACAAAAUAAUUUUAUCUUUUUACUUCUGUUCAUAAAAUCCAAAGACGAUGUAACUUAUACAGUUAUACUCAAUAAGACAGGUUUCACGUGUAGUGCCCAUAGACCACAACUCAAAUACAUUUUUUUCGUGUUAUACUAAUAUAUCACCGAUCAGAAGAAAAAAAAAACUUAAUUAAUACGGAAACUGGAAAAUUCUAGUACAAUUAUUGAUCAACAUUUUAUAAUGAUGAAGAGAAUGCGUCGUUGAACUGACCUAGUAAUGUGAAAGAUGGAAUUGAAUCAACAUUAUUAUAUUGGUAAUGAUAUGCUCCACAAUUAUAAAUAUGCGAUAUUAGCACCAACCAUUUGGAUAAGCCAUACGCCAAAUUUGCAUGAGACCGAAACACUUGGAAUUUGUAAACCAAAGCUAAGAAUGAUAGAUGCUGAUUGAAAAGGUAUCUCAUCUUCUAAAAUGAUCCAAUAUAUUUUAAAAAACAAAUAAAAUUAAUUUUCUUAUAAAUAAAAUAACACAAGUACCCAUCACAGGUGUUUUUUUUUUUGAGAAAAAGAGAAAAAAGAGAGAGACGGCAUGUGAGAUGGGCCAGACGCUCUGAUCCGACUGGCAUGAAUGGCCUUUCGUGCGUGCGUUCUUAUCUCUUCAACUUUUUUUGUUAUGUUCAUACUGUUACUAACGAAAGAUUCAUAACUGUUGUAAUUCUUGUAAAAAAAAAAACUGAAUUUGAACCCCUUUUUUCUACAUCAACUGAUUUUGAACUUCAAGUAAAGCAAAAGUAAAUUGAAUAUUAUUCUCGUAUAGCAGCUAAAAAAGAUGUCAAGUGAUGUUGAUCAUAGACUCCUAGUAGUUGAGUUAGAGUGGUUAAAUUUUUGAAAUCUUAGCCGAAGUUAAGAGUUUGAAUUAUUUUGGAAAAGGAGUUUAAAACUCACGACUUAUAAAUCUGCAUUAUUAAUUUUUUUCACCAUAUAGAAAAUUUUAAAUAGCAAAAUAUCUACAUAUUUUGAAGGUUGGUGUGGAUUUCGUCCCAUGAUCUAGCAUGGUUAUAAGCUACUAUUAAACCAAAAAAAAUGGUUAUAAGCUACUAAAACUAUAAUGAUCAAUAUAAACUAUCUCAUUUGACUAGAUAAAUAUUUAGCUCUUCGUUCCAUACAAUCCAGUGAAACUCGCGAUAGGCUCCUAUCACCUUAUUAGUUAAACUCUUGACGAUUGUGUUAUGACUCGAGUCUUCAAGAAUCUUCAGUAAAUAUUGCACUAGUAUCUCAAGUAAAGUCAACUUCGUCCUGCAGAAGAUAAUAUACUAUUGAUUUUAAGAGCCUGCAAGCCCUGUAUGCUUAAAUGCCUGAUAUGUGGGAGAUAAAAUAUCUUAUGGAUUUACGUGUACAUGUAUAUAUACACAGUGACGCACGUGUGUGGGCGGGAGCAAAUGGUGAAUGCGUGUAGCGAUGGAACACCGCAAGUACUCUGAAAGCGACCAAUAGAAAAGCACCACUGUUUUAGUAUAUAAUGUCAUGUCCCAUCUCCAUCCAACUCAUGUAUAUACGUUUGAUCUAACGGCUGUAAUUGGUACCUUGAUUUCAUAACCUAUCAUCGUACACCGCUCCCUUCCUCUUAACUUUUCUUUCUACCUAGGGACAACCCUACACUGUGCUCUUUUUUUUCCCCUCCCCUAUCUCUAAUCCCGUUUUCCAUUUUUUAAUAGAAUUUAAAAUCUUUUUCAAUCUCCUUUUUAUUUCAAUAAUGUAGUAAAAACAUAAUUUUGCCCUCUCCAUAUGCUAUUCAUACAACUAAUACCAUCUCCCACGGUUUACUCAAAUUUUCACUCUAAAAUAAAAUAACUAUAGUAAUAGAGUUUGAGCUUGAUCUAAUAAUAUUCUAUUUUAAAGUAAAAGAUAGAGUGAUAAACAAAAAAAAAAUUAUUUUAUAUUUGAAAUAAACAUAUUUUCACUUUAUUAUAGAGUGAGAAAUAUAGUAUCAUUAGAACAUUUUAACUCUAAACUUUAUUUUAAAGUGAAAAUAGAGUAAAAUUGGAAAUAUCCUAAUACAUAUAUCAUUGAAGGAAAAAUGUAGAAAAGGAAACCCUAAAAGCGCGUCCUGCCAUUUUUAUCAGGUGAUUUCUCUGUCAACCUUACGUAUUGCUAUUCUUUCAUAUAUAAAUAAAUAUAUAUAUUCAUAACUCGCACACUUCCAUUUCACAUCACACAAUCAAAUAAUGAGGCAAAAGAAUACACCCAAUGAAAUGAAGGAGCACUUAAUUUAUGACGUACUCGCGCGCGCCACAACUAAUAACUAAUGAUAAUAACUAAGAUCUUCUUUUUUUUUUUGGAAAGGGUUUAAUAACUAAGAUCUUAGUUUAUAUUAUACACAAAUAUAAGCUUACCUAUAGAUGUUGGCAAAACAAUUUAUAUGUGGUCAUAUAGAACACUGAAACAUAUUGCUCUUUACACAGUUACAUUAUAUCUAUAUAUUUUAUUUUCUAUGUAAGUAACUAUGGCUGUUUUCUUUUCUUUUUCACUUCUUAAAAAAAACUUUUUAAUUUUUACUAAUGUCCAAGCCAAAGAAUACGGGAAAAGAGUACGUAUGUACUCCCUCUGUUCCCGAAAGAAGGAUUUUCUAGAGUAUUCGCGCAUAUAAAGAAAAUAAUUAAUUUUUUACAAUUGAAUUUAUUAUUUAUUUUACUAUACAUUUUCCAAUAAAUAUCAAACAAUAGUAUUCAACCAAUUCAAAUAUUUUCAAUUAAUGUUACUUAAAAGUAUACAACUUUUCAACAUUAACUACUAAAAGUACCUUAAACUCUUAGAAAAUCUAUUAUUUUGGAACAAAAAAUAAAUCUAAAAAAUCAUACUUUCAAGAAUCUUCUAAAUAAGCUUUAAAUGCCUUUAAUAUGGAUAUGAAAUAUAUACAUGUAUUAGUAGAGUGCUCAACAACAUGCUAUUAUGGAUUUCUAUCCUCCUCAUUUUCAUAUUUUCUUUCUGCCCAUGUCUAUUUAUAGAAGAAAAAAUGAUGAGAAAGUCGUGGAUCAAGUUUUUAGUAGUUGGAUAGAAUCAAUCUUAAAUCUACGAUCAUAAGUGACAAAAAAAAGUGACGAACCACGACAUGUUUUCAGGGAAUGUGAUGUGGUAUAUAUUUAUCAGUUAGCUUUGGCGUCGCUAGAUAAAUUUUUCUUGGUUACAGAGUUUAGAUCCGUCGCAAGAUCGUCAACGUUCUACAAAAUAAUUUGAUCAAUAAAUUAUUUUCCUAAUACAGUUUUGCUGACACCCGAAAAAUGAUUUUUUAAUAACCGAAAUAAUCAUCAAAGAACACAUUAUAUGAUAGAAAUAAUAAUCGUGACGUGAGGAAUUAACACUAAAUAUAUCUAAUCUAAUAUAAGAUACAGGAUCAUGUAUGUGUACUUAAAAUAUGCGACUGUAGUACAACGUAGUUGAUCAAUUAUCAUACACAGAGACGAGGUUGGAUGUAAGCUUAUGAUUAAAAAAAUUAAGAAAAUGAAAGUACAAUACUAGUAUAAUAUAGUUCUCAAGAAAGAAAAAAAAUACUAGAAUGUAGUUUAGGUACAUGGACGAUGCAACGAAGUUUCGAAGUCGGGAGGACACGAGCCCCCAACUGUAAUAAAAUCAGAAGUAAGGGGUAAAGUAGUAAUAUUCGUGUCCUUUGAGAAGAACAAGUUGCUUUAAAAAUGUUAAGCAAGAGCAUAAAAGACCCGCUCCGUCCGGGUACGGGUCAAAACAGCCAUUGUCGUUCUUCCUUACUUCUCAUUCAAAUAAGAGAGAGAGAGAGGAGAGAAGUUGCUUUUGAGCAGAGAAUAUAAUAAUAAUAGCAGAAGAAAGCUCCGCCACGUCGCCGCCACUUUUCUUUACCGGAGAAACCUUCCUAAACAAAAUUAAAAACAAAAAAAAAACAGUCUCUUUCUUUCUUUCUUUGUCUGAUUAUUAUUCCUUGUGUACACAUGUUGUGUAACAGUUGAGCAGUUGCAUGCCCAUCACUUUCUUUCUCAUUUCCUGAUCACAGUCCUGGGAUCUCGAUUUCUCGUAAGCUUAUAACGAAACCAAAAGCACAGCUUAAAAGAAGAAGAUCUAUUUGUACAAGGCUGAAACGACACCUUCUCCUGUCGUUUUAUUGAUAGCUCGAGAUCUGUGUUUCUUUCUUGGCUUCUGAGCUUUUGGCGGUGGUGGGUUUUCUAAGAAAAAAAAAAAAUCAAGUUGGGGGUCUUUUAUUUAUAGACACUAUUCUAAUGGGAGUUAACAGUGGGGUUACUGGAUAAAUUAACAAGUAAUGAAGGAGUUGAAGAUUCAGAGAAGCGGCUUUGAAGUCGGCCAGCUUAUUUGGCUAGAAAAAUCAAGACUUGGUUGAUGUGUGUUCUGUUCUGUCAGGAUAAGAAGGAGAAGAACUCUGUUUUUUUUUUGUCUAAGUGUUUUUGGAUUUGUGAAAAAAGAUUUGGUUGGUGAAUGAGUGGGGAGGUGGAGGGAAACAGUUAAAGAAAGUUAAUACUUUUUUGGUCUCUCCUAAGUCAUAAUUACAUUUUGGCAUCUUGGAUCUUUGAAGAAACAAAGUUUGAAAAAUUUGUUUUUAUUGUUUGCUUUUUAAGUUAUAUAUAAAAAUAAGAAGAUGAGAUUGUCUUCAGCUGGGUUUAAUCCUCAUCCUCAUCCUCAUGAAGGUAUUAUUACUUUCUCUCUCUAUUGCUUAAUACUUGCAAAUGUAGAAACUUUGUUUUUUUUUGUGUGGGAGAUUUUAACUAACUUGUGUGUGUGUUUUGUUGAAAAUAAAGUUACAGGAGAGAAGAGAGUUCUUAAUUCUGAGCUCUGGCAUGCUUGUGCUGGUCCUCUUGUCUCACUACCUCCUCUUGGAAGCAGAGUUGUUUAUUUCCCUCAAGGUCACAGUGAACAGGUUUGUGUCUCCUUCCCUUAUGCUGUUUUGGUUAUAGAUUACUCAAACAUCUACAAAUAUUUUGUGUACUUUCAGGUCGCUGCUUCAACCAAUAAAGAAGUGGAUGCCCAUACACCAAACUAUCCCAGCUUGCAACCACAGCUUAUCUGUCAGCUUCACAAUGUCACAAUGCAUGUGAGAAAUAUUCUUUUAUGAGAAUAGUGUGUUUAUUCUGUUAUGUGACUUAGUUCAGGACUUUUUUUUUCUUAAAAUUUCAGGCAGAUGUUGAAACUGAUGAAGUCUAUGCACAGAUGACUUUACAGCCGUUGAAUGCGGUAUGAGACUUCUUACAUGUAAUCCACACUUUUUACUUUUUAUGAGGAUUUUGUCGGUGUUAUGAACAGUUUUUCUUGUUUGAAUGCCAGCAAGAGCAAAAAGAUUCUUACCUUGCGGCGGAGUUAGGUGUCCCGAGUAGACAACCUACAAACUAUUUCUGUAAAACUCUGACUGCUAGUGAUACCAGCACUCAUGGAGGUUUCUCUGUGCCUCGCCGAGCUGCUGAGAAAGUUUUCCCUCCCUUGGUAAUUUUCAUUCUACUUACUCUGAAGUUUCUUUUCUUUCGAACUUAGCUAAUGAUUUUUUUUUUUUGUGUUCUUCAGGAUUACACACAGCAGCCUCCAGCUCAAGAGUUGAUGGCAAGAGAUCUGCAUGACAAUGAAUGGAAGUUCAGACAUAUUUUCCGAGGUUAGAUUUCACCCAAUUAAAGUUCAGUUUCCUUAAUUAUAAGUUUAUAACCAAUGUUGAAAAAAAUUGGUCUGAUUUUGUUAAAUCCGAUUUAUGCAACUCAAAUUGGUUUAGGCGGCAAAUCAGUCAUAGCCAAAACGAGUUCUUAAAUUCGAUUGAUUUAUGAAACUCAAAUCGGUUCAAACCGUCAUAAAUUGGUUUAAAUGGAUCUAAAUUAGUUUGAAUCAAUUUAAAUUGAUCUAAAUAUGUUAAAUUAAACAUUUUUGUUAGUGAAAAUCCACAAAUUUGUCUACUUUUUUUUUUUUUUGCAUAUGUAAUUUUAUGAUUCAUUAAAUUAAUUUUGUAAUUAAACCAUAAAACUAAAAUAUUUAAUGUAAACGUAAUAUAUAUAAAAAUUAAUCAAUAAUCUGUUAAUCCGCCUACCGAUUUUUGUAACAUUGGUUAUAAAUAACGAAUAAACAAAGAGAGUUUGUUACUGACUCUGCUUUUGUUUAUCUCCUCUCAGGCCAACCGAAAAGACACCUUCUUACUACUGGUUGGAGCGUAUUUGUGAGUGCUAAAAGGCUUGUCGCUGGUGACUCCGUUCUUUUCAUCUGGUUAGAACCCACUUCUUCAAAUAUCCAUAGUUGUGAAUGGUGGAGCUCAUGUCAUUUUUGUUUUUAUCAUCAGGAACGAUAAGAAUCAGUUACUUCUUGGUAUAAGGCGAGCACACCGGCCACAAACUGUCAUGCCUUCAUCUGUUUUAUCAAGUGACAGUAUGCAUUUAGGCCUUCUUGCCGCAGCAGCUCAUGCAGCCUCCACAAACAGUCGCUUCACCAUCUUCUAUAACCCAAGGGCGAGUCCAUCAGAGUUUGUAAUACCCUUGGCUAAGUACGUGAAAGCGGUUUAUCACACUCGUGUGUCUGUUGGCAUGAGGUUUAGGAUGCUGUUUGAAACCGAAGAAUCAAGUGUUCGUCGGUACAUGGGUACAAUAACUGGCAUUUGUGAUCUAGAUCCUGCUCGGUGGGCUAAUUCUCAUUGGCGGUCCGUUAAGGUUCAUUUCUCUAACCAAAUGUUUGCUUUCUUGUAUACAUAUAUAUAUCAUCAUCUUGAUCAUGGUGCAGGUCGGAUGGGACGAGUCCACUGCAGGAGAUAGGCAACCGAGGGUGUCCUUGUGGGAGAUUGAGCCUUUAACGACAUUCCCUAUGUAUCCAUCUCCUUUUCCUCUCAGGCUUAAACGUCCCUGGCCUUCAGGUCUCCCAUCUUUUCAUGGUAAUUGUUAAUUUCAGAACUUGAUUCAUCCCUUGAAAGUUUGUAUAUAUAUUCUAAUCUUUUAUUUAUAUAUAUACUAGGUAAGUAACCGUGCGAUAUCGCAGGGGACUCAUUUUAUAAAAAUAAAUAUACCAUUUUAUAACUUAGAUUUUUAUCCAAAAACUUCAUAAUUUUACUUUCGAGAAUGUUCUCAUUUCAAAACGUUGAAUGUAUGUGUUUAUAUUCAUUUAUAGAUAAUACUAAAAAUGUAUAUUCUAAUCUUGUCUCCUCUUCUUUUGUUUAUGUAGGUCUUAAAGAAGAUGAUAUGGGUAUGGGUAUGGGUAUGAGUUCACCGCUUAUGUGGGACCGAGGACUUCAGUCUAUGAACUUUCAAGGUAUGGGAGUGAACCCGUGGAUGCAGCCGAGGCUUGAUGCUUCAGGCUUGCUUGGUAUGCAGAAUGAUGCUUACCAAGCAAUGGCUGCAGCUGCACUUCAAGACAUGAGAGGCAUUGAUCCUGCUAAAGCCGCUGCUUCUCUUCUUCAGUUCCAAAGUCCCUCAGGUUUCUCUAUGCAACCUCCUUCCUUAGUGCAGCCGCAGAUGCUGCAGCAGCAACUUUCUCAGCAGCAGCAGCAAGUGGUGGAUAAUCAUAAUCUGUCUGCUUCCAGUGCUGCUAUGUCUCAGUCAAACACGUCUCUACUCCAGUCAAUGACACCUCUUUGUCAUCAACAAAGCUUCUCAGACACCAACGGAGGAAACAAUCCCAUCACUCAACUCCACACUCUCCUCAGUAACUUCCCUCAAGACGAGUCUUCUCAACUGCUCAACCUCACUAGAACAAACUCUGCAAUGACUUCUUCAGGUUGGCCAUCAAAGCGUCCUGCAAUUGAUUCAUCCUUCCAGCACUCUACAGCCGUUAACAACAACCAAUCAGUAAUGGAGCAGUUGGGACAGUCACACACAAGCAACGUUUCUCCAAAUGCUGUCUCGUUGCCUCCAUUCCCCAGUGGUCAAGAAGAGAACCACUCAGACCCUCACAGCCAUCUCCUCUUUGGAGUCAACAUAGAUUCAUCUUCCCUUCUGAUCCCAAACGGAAUGUCAAACCUUAGAAGCAUUGGCAUUGAAGGUGGCGACUCCACCACUCUACCCUUCACAUCAUCAACUUUCAACAACGAGUUCUCUGGUACAAUGACUACACCUUCUAGUUGUAUAGAGGAACCAGGUUUUCUACAGCCCUCAGAGAACCAACAGUCUAAUACCUUUGUGAAGGUAAAUUAAGUGUGUUUCUUGUGUUGCACGUAACUAGUGAUGACCUAAUGGAAAUGUUUUCGCAGGUGUACAAGUCAGGUUCUUUUGGAAGAUCGUUAGAUAUAACGAAGUUCAGCAGCUACAACGAGCUGCGAAGCGAGCUUGCUCGCAUGUUUGGCCUCGAAGGCCAAUUAGAAGAUCCUGUGAGAUCAGGCUGGCAGCUUGUAUUUGUCGACCGAGAGAACGAUGUUCUUCUCCUCGGCGAUGACCCUUGGCCGUAAGUUAAACUUCCCUCACUUGUCUCACAUGGCAUUGUUCCACUGAUCUAACUUUGUGCUUACACCUUCAUCGGGCACAGGGAGUUUGUGAGCAGCGUGUGGUGCAUUAAGAUACUCUCACCACAAGAAGUGCAGCAAAUGGGGAAACGAGGCCUUGAGCUUCUUAACUCCGCUCCAUCUUCCGAUAACGUCGAUAAGGUCCCGAGCAAUGGGAACUGUGAUGACUUUGGGAACCGGUCAGACCCGAGGAGUCUCGGUAAUGGUAUAGCAUCCGUUGGGGGUUCGUUCAACUACUAGAGAAGUAGAAAGUAAAACCCUUUUUCUUGGUGUUCAAGUUAUUAAGUAUUGAUCUUCUUAGUUUAAUUAGUAGCUUUUAAUCUCUCUUUAUUACUUGAGAAGAGAGCUUUGUGUUGAACUUUGUGGAAACAGGAAAAAAAAACUAUAUCUGUCGUAAUACUGUAAUUAUAAGAUCUUUUGGUCUUUUACUGAACUUUUGUUUUUACUGAACUUUUGUUAUGUCAUUUUCGUUGCUCACUACUUCUCCAAUCAACUUGAUGGUUUUGGUCUUUUGGAGCUAUUAAGACUUUUGUCUGAAAGUCACUGGUCCACAUAGAAAUGAGAAAGUGAUUUUUGUGUCCCAGUUCAUUUAUUGGUUUGUGUGAAACACCGAAAUAUUCGGACCCGCUAUUCAGGGCUUUACACUAAAACUAGAUCUCGUUUUGCGUCAGCAGUAACCUUUUUUCUUUUCUUGACACGUAUUGAUCCGUAGUUCGUACUCGUAAUACACUUUUAUUGGUACAUCAAUUAAGAUAUGCCCUAACGUUUAUAGUAUAUGGUAUUGGAGUUUACUGACCAAUCAUCAUCGGGGAUAAGCUAGAGGAUGUUUCUUCCAAGAACAUGUAGCUUCUCCUCUCAUGGCGGAAACCUUAGCGAUUCGAGCAGCUCUCGGACAUGUGGUAUCUUUUAUCCUCAACCACAUCUAGCUUUUGUACAAGCCUUUACCACGAAUUGACGAUCUAUGGAGCUUUUUGGAAUUCUAACAAACAUUCUUUUUUAGUUUUUUUUUCAAGCAUUUUUCAUUUCUAGAAUUUUCAAUGAGCCUGUCUUUGUAACAAAAUUUUCCAAGUGGACAUGGCUUCAUGCUAUAAAGCCCUCUAAAAUUUUAAUAUAAUUCAGUUGCUAAAAAAAUAGUAUAUGGUAUUGAAAACAAAAAAGCAAAAAAACAAACGUAAGACCAAUGUAGGUUUUGUUUUCACCAAACUAUAAGGAAUAUGAAACGAAAUUUGUAGAAUGGUUACAACAUAGAAACGUGAACGUGAUAUCCAGAAAUAUCUGGCAACAUAGAAGAAUUUAUGAUUAGGGUUUGUGUGUGUUUUUUUUUAAACUAUUAGGGUUUGUGUGUUGAUUGGCUAUUUAAGAGAAUAUAGUGAUCGAUUAAUAAAAAAGACAAGUCAAAUAAAUAACAAAUCUGAUAAAGAGAUAUUUGUAAGUAUAUGGUUUGAUUUGUGGUGUAUGAAUGUGAUUCACAUAUAUCUUUAGUGGUGGGACUAUGAAUUCUAAGUAAGAAAAUUGGGAAUUGUUUAAAAUAAUGUUGGGUGCAUGUGAUAGGAAAAUUUAUAGAUGACACAAGUUGGGGCACUUUCAUGAGCCCUAGUUAAACAGUGCAUGGUGACCCAUCAUUUUGAAAGUUCUCAUCUUUUUUUCUUUUUCUUUUUUACCUAUUAAAAUUAGUUUUUUUUUUUUGGUUUUAAAAACAAAAAAAACAUGCAUCAAUCCAUAACUGAUUGUACUUAUUUUAUCAUAUCAACAUAAAUUUGGAAGAAACCAAAGCCGGAAUUCGAUCUUCAAUACAAACUUUUCAAACUCUAAAGGUAUGCAAAAAAUUUCUUUUAAGUUUGCUGCUGAAGACAUUAAUUUCAUAUAGUAGAUAAAUUAGAAAUAAUAAAUGAUACAAGUAAAAAAAAAUCAAAUUUAUUUCAACAGGAGGUUCAGAGAAUCUGUAUCAAUUAGUUGUAUACAUGAUUUUUUUGAACUUUAGUUAUAUACAUGAUUGCUCUGAAAUUUUGUGAAAUAUAGACAAUUUAGUUAAAAGUAAUGUUAUUAAAAAAUUUUUACUUAAAACUGGGAAUUUUAAGUUAAUAUUUUACUUGUCUUUUUAUCAAAACCAAUCCUGAUUGCAUAUAUCUUCUAUUUAUUUUGUUCACUAAGGGGAUGAAUGGUUUUUCCGCUACUACCUGCAAACGCAGUUUUUGCGGUUGGUAACGGUUGUUGGCGUUUUACAACAAUCGCUUAAACCGAUUCAAACCGCUCUAAACCUUAUAAAUUUAAAAGCUGGUUCCAGCUAACGUUUACGGUUGCGGAAGGAUAAAAAAAAACUUUUUUUUCUAAAACAAUAUAAAUACAAAAAUAAAAAUAUUCAAUAAAAAAUUUAAAUUAGAAUUAGAUUUUUUUUUUGACAACAGAUUAGAAUUAGAUAAAUACUAAAAUAUAUCUAUUAUACUUUCAUUAAUAUUAUAAAACUUUAAAAUAAAAAUAUUUUCUAUAAUUUUUAAAAAUUUAAAACUAUACCUUUCUGAAUAUAAUUUUUAUAUGUAUUAUAAUAUUAUUGUUUCUGAUAUUUUAUAAUUAUAUAAAUAUAAAUAUUAUUAAUUUAUUAUUUAACCGUUGCUACAUUUGGUAGUUAACCAGUCAUAGGUAUUCCGCAAAUGCACCAAUUUCUAAUCGCAGAACCAGUCGUACAAAUCUCUUAGAACCGCUAGAAACUGCAACCACCCACAUCCUCUAACUCCCACAACCGCAACCACCCGCAUCCGCUAACUCCCGCAACUGCAAUCACUGCGUUUGAACCAUUCGGGUACUAAGUGAACUAGAAUUAGAUCAUGGUUUGAUUUUAUGUUAAAUGUAUGAGAUAAAGAAGAUUUUGGACCAAAAAAAAAAGAUUUCAGAAAUUGAUAAAUCAAAGUUGAUAAAAGAGCGGUACUACCGUAGUCAAAUUGAAGUAUCAUGAUUCAUGAUACAAUAUUACAAAUGAAUAUAACCAAAAUAAGCUUUUAGCGAUAAGGGUUUUGAGUGGAUAUGUAAGUUGUUACUGUGCGACUAGUUUUUCUCAUUUAUCUUCAUUUGAAACGACGAACAGAAAACGUCAAAUGAGAUAUUAUUGAUGGUCGUCGAAAUACUUUUCUGAGGCAAAGUAAAAAAGGAACUUAUAUAAAGGAAAGAACCAAUCAACCUUCGUUGUUUUUUAUGCCAUGGAGACCUACUAAUUAGUUAAUAUUAUUAUUUUUUUAAUGAAUGUAAAAUUUUAUUCAAUCAAACUUUUUUUUACAUCAAAUGUUUCCAUUGUUGAUUAGAGAAUAUAAUCCAUGAAUUAAACGAAAUAAUCAAUUCUUUUGAACUUCAAAUCUGAGAGGAAUCUUGCAUUCUUGAUCCAAACCACACACAACCCCUCCCCAAGAUUUUCAAUCGCCUUUUCCUUUAACUGGUAACAGUUUCAGGCGAAUAGUUUUGUCCACACAUUUGAUCAGAACCUUCACAUCCCUUGGCUGCUCUCCAUGGCGUCGAGCAUUCCAUUCUCUCCAUAAACUGUGUACCAUAACUUGGAAAGUGUAACGAAGUUUUAACUAAUUAAUUAAUAUUAACGAAUCCGGUUAUCAAGAAUAAUUAGAUGUAAGAAAUGAACUGAUCUAAGUUUACCAAUCUUUUACAUUUAUUUGAUGCUUUAGGGUAACCAAGUUGAAGUCACAAGUUUUAAAUCCUGAUUUUCAUUUAUUUAUAUGAAUAUUUACCAUUCAUCAAAGAAAACACACUCGAGCCCCAAUUAUGAUGAUUGAUCAUUAGGCUAACUGGACCAAAAUUACUCAUGAACUUUCUAACCAUUGGACCCAUAGCUCAAAGCCCAAAUAUAUCAGUGUAGAGGGCCACUAGUGACAGUUGUUUGGUGAGCAAGUAAACAUUAUGUGAACAUGUAACCAUAACGCCAAAACUUUUACUUCCAGUGAUUUAUACGGCCUACAAGUGGUUUCUGUUUAUAUCGGUUCAGGUUUAAAUUGUUCCUUUAGGGCCUUAGGCAAUAGCAACCCCUAACGUAAGACACAAUCUUUGCCAUUCUCUUUUGAACCUAUGCAACAAAAGAUGCAUUCCAUUUAUAUAUUACACAAAGGGAUUUGACUUUGAGAAGCAAAUCCUGAUUAACUCAAAAGACAAAAAGUCAUUCCAAUGCCUCAUGAGAACCAACCACAACAUAUCUUGUAACCUGACGCCGGUAUUCGACCAGUUUCCCUGAUAUAUUUGGCUUCAGCCACUGCCUUCUCGGCAUCACGGGCCUUUCUAGCUUCCGCGGAAGCCCGUUUCUCUUCAGACCUUUGCUUAGCCAUUGCUAUUUUCUUCACUAUCCUUGCUUCAGCUUCAGCCUUCAUCUGCUCAACUUUAGCCUACCCACAAAUGCUUUAUCAGUGACUUUCAUGUAAGUGAUCAAGCAAAAGUAUCCGAAAAACGCCUCACGUACAUACCUCAAUACGUUGCAUUUCUGCUUCGAGUUUGGCUUUCUCCUGACUUUCCCAAGCUUGGAUUCUGAUCUCCUCACGCUUAUACCUAAAGAAAAUUGAGUGUUAAAAAAGAAAUGAAAACAAGUUUUUUAGGUGUUCUACUUCUACUUUAUGUUUCUUCACUGACAAGUUUAAUAUUUGGUUCAUUAGGCUAAGAGAAUACCAGACCUUGCAUUAUGUUUUGAUUUUUCUGCUUCUUCCCAAGCACUCGCUCGUUUAUCAAACUCAAUCCUAUGUGUCUCCUCUGCGUCUACCUUGUUUUUAUUGCUCUCCUCUUCUUCUUUACUUGCCCAAGCCGCAAUGUUCAUCUUCCCUAACCGAACCCCGAGGGUUACUAUCUCUCUUCUCGUCUUCGCUUUCAUUUCCUCCUCAGAUAGUUCUCUUUUUGUGUUUGCUGACGGGUCUUGUGACUCUUCUUGUUGGCCUCCUCUAGGAGUAGAAGGCAGAGAAGAAGUUGGGCUGCGAAGAGGAGUUGUUGCACCAACUGGUGUGACUGAUCUUGAAGGUUCUUGACUCGGUAUUGGCGUCAUAUCAGUUCCCAUAUCUCUCAUACAUACAGAGCGUAUCACAGGACCAGCUUCACACAAAAAAAAAUCAAGCUGAUUCAAUAUUCAAAACUCUACUAAAAAACAAGGGCAAAUCUUCAAACUAGUACAUUUAAAGGUUUAUCCUAAAAAUAGCAUCCAUUGAUAAAAUUUCCUAAAAAUAACACUCGGUCAUUUGAAUGCUAAAUUACUCUUAACUCCUAAACUCUAGUCUCAUCUCCACCCAUAAAUACAAAACCAUAAACCCUAAUCACAAAACCUUAAACUCAAAUAGAAAAUAUAUAUUUGCUAUUUUUUAUUUUUUAGAGAUGCUAUUUUUUUACUUUUAAAUGAUGCUAUUUUUCUAAAUCCGCUUAUAUGAUAAAUUUGUCACAAAAUAUGAUUUAAUGAUAUGUGAGGGCAUUUUUCAAAAAAAAAAUAAUAAUAAUUAAUCACCAUUUUUACCUGGUGUUUCGUCACGUGAUGACUCCUUUGUUGUGUCCAAAAGAUCAUUGCUUUGUGUUGAUUGUUCGAUCAACAAGUUUCCUCCAUACCCUUGAGUUAGAAUUGGAUGUGGCACCGUGGGAACAUACCUAGGGAACUUCUCGAACCCAUCAGUUUGUAUCCUAGAUUUGUUAUACUCACAACCUGUAUUAUCGGUAAUAACUCUAACAGGCAUCCGGUUCCCUUGACCGUUCUUCCUCAUCACCAUGUUCUGUCUGCUCAUUAUCCACUUCUCAGCAUCAUUCCACUUGGAUGGCAUCUGUCUCGAAGGGUAUGCUCUUGAGACAUGAUUCUGAUUGGAACGCUCUCCACGAACACCACCGUGAAACUCGAAGCUUGAAGAGCUGGCGUUACUGUCGUAAUCAAGACUUUCAUCUUCUUGUGGCCUCAGAGCCAUACUCAAGUCAGUCUUUUUCAGUUGCUGAGGUUUCGGUUGAUUGGUUUCUCUCGUAAGACCUUCAGACCCAUGUCUCGAGGCUUGAGUGUCGCUUAGGUCCAAAACUGGCAGUUUAGCUACUCGUAUGUCCGUUGUUGAAGCCGCCACUAACAAGAACAGAGCAAAAGAGACAAACUUUAGCCAAGAGCAAAUCAAUGACAAACUCUAGCCAAGUUAAAUCGAUUUAAUUGUAACAUGGAGCAGAGAGAUAAAUCAAGAACAGAGCAAAAAGAGAAAGCUUAAGCCAAGAACAGAGCAAAGACAGAGACUUUGACCGAGAACAGAGCAAAUACAGAGACUUUAGCCAAGAACAGAGCAAACACAGAGACUUUAGCCAAGAACAGAGCAAAGACAGAGACUUCAGCCGAGAACAGAGCAAAGACGGAGACUUCAGCCGAGAACAGAGCAAAUAUAGAGACUUUAGCCAAGAACAGAGCAAAUACAGAGACUUUAGCCAAGAACAGAGCAAAUACAGAGACUUUAGUCAAGAACAGAGCAAAUAGACUUUAGCCAAGUGCAGAGCUAAGAGUAGACAGAGACUUUAGCCAAGAACAGAGCAAAAACAGAGAAGUUAGCGAUUCUAAGACAUAUUGAGAGACUAAAGACGAGAGACAAAACCAUUAUCAUCGUCGUAUGAAUCAGAAUUAGAAGCUAGCAAGCUGUUCUUGGAUAAUUCAGUGCCGUCCGAAACCUGAAGACGAACAGGAGAUGUUCUUGAAGAGUUAUUGUUAGAUCCUUCUCUCUUUUUGUUAUUGUGCGAACCCAUUAGCUUCAUUCUCAGCUUAGUCGGCGAGAGUAUGCUCUUCUGCAAGAUAUAAACCAAAACUUGUUUGCGUUUUUCAUGGCUUCAAUAGUUUAAAGGACGAACAAAUAAACCUUUUUCAGAGAAAGCAAAACUGUUUGAUUGAAGGGAGGAGAAAAAAGGAUGAAAAUUAACAGUAAACACAGAUUUAAUAAAGAAAAAGUUCAUAUCUUCCUCCCAAAAAUUCUUCAACAGAGGAAACUCACUGUAACGUAAUGGAUGUUGUACUUGAAAGAGAGAGAGAGAGAGAUGAGUUAAUUACCUGCUUCACCUUCUCAAUCCUCUCGUACUCCAUGGCCAAUGCCAAGUCUUCUCUAUCUGUUGAUGUAUAUAUAUUUCUACAGAUUAUAUAUAUGAAUGAGGUUGAAGUAAGACAAGACCAGACCAGCUUUGUCUCGCUAAUCCUCUCUCUCCUCUCGAGAAGAAGAUGAGAGACAAAUGGAUGUUUUGUAGCUGCUUUAGACCAUGAUUAUCGGCAAUCCUUAAUGGGUUUCUUAGUGCUUUAAUGACAUUUAAUUAAAUCAAAAUAAAGGAAAAGAUACAUUAUCGAUCCUUAAUGGGUGACUUUUGUGACCGAUUAUUAGAGAGUUUUUCAACCCACGUGUCACCAUUUUAGGCAAAAUAUAUUUUUUUGUUCUAUUUUCUUUUCACCAAAAUCAUUUUUUCUUCUUCUUCAUCUCUGUUUCCCCUUCGUGUUCUCCGUCACGACUGAGAAAGGAUCGAAACCGAUCCUUUACCACCAACGAUUCUCCACCACCGAUCCUCCGUCUUCGCUCUCGUCUUCUCCUCUUCUCCGUGACAGAGGAAGCAUGGAAACCCACAGAUAAGUGAUGUUUCAGUUUCUCUUCUUCGCAAGCAAAACCAAAGCAGUUCGGUUCUGUUUUUGCUCUUGACGUAAUCUACUGAUUUUGCAUUAAUACUGAAUCAAUCUCUCUCGUUUUAUCAUCUCGUUUCCAAGGUAAGAAGAAAAGAAAAGUUUUUUGUUAGUUUUGCAUUCUGACUUGGAUCAACGAUCUUUUAGCUUUUACUCUUUAUGUGUUUACUGGUUAGAUAUGUGUAUACUUUGUUUUAAUGAUCGUUUUCAAUUCAACAGGACGCCAAGGAACAUCUUUCUGUAUUGGCUUCGUCUCUACCAGACAUAAUGGUAACAAACUAACUCUUUUGUAGUCAUGUUCUUUAAGUUCAUCUCGAGAGGGAAGUGUGAGUCUUUUAAGUGAUGUUUUAGUCUUCUUGUGUUGAUAAUUUUAACAGGGUUGAGGUCGACAGUCAAUCCUCUCUAUGUUUAAUUUCAUGUUCAUGUAUGUUUCAAGUUUAUGUUAUAUUAUGUGAUCUGUUCUGUUAGCUGUUCUGUUUUAUUAAAAAGUUAUGUGAUCUUUCUGUUUUAUUAAAAAGUUGUUAGCUGUUUGUGUUUGCUGUUUCUGUUAGCUGCUCUGUUUAAUGUAUGUUUCAAGUUUACUAUGUGAGCUUUCUGUUUUAUUAAAAAGUUAUAUGUGAAAUGUUAAGUGAAAUUUAUAUUUGUUUCUGUGCAGUUACGAGACAAAGAAGUCACAAGACUUGGUCUCGGUUAUGCGAGCAAGAGAGGUCACGAGAUGGUGUCGUUACUCAAGAGAAGUCAUGAGAGUUGAUGUCGGAUUAGCUAGAGAGGUCACAGGAGUUGUUGUUGGAUUUGCAAGAGAGGUCAUGAGAUGGUGGUGUAUAUGCGUGCCUGAGAUGGUUUUGUCACGAUAUGGUUUUGUAUGUGUUGUACGUUUUGACAUGAGAUGGUUUUGUAUAAAGAAGACAAAGAGUGUUUGUGUUUUUUGUGUCACGAGAUGGUGUUUGUCAAACUCAUUGUAUCAAGUCAUCAAAACUCAUAUCUCUCUUGCUCUAUAUAAGUUAUCAAAACUCAUAUCAAGUCAUCAAAACUCAUAUCAAGUCAUCAAAAUUCAUAUCUCUCUUUUUCUAAUCUCCUUGAUCACCACAAACCCUUUCUACAAAACGCAAAACACAAACCGUACCCCUUCUACAAACCCUUUUUACAAAACACAAACCCUUUCUACAAAACACAAACCCUUUUUAAAACAGUCUCGAUUAAGAAUAUAAAAUCUAUGGCUUCUUCUUCUCGUAACACUUUUGAGGGAGUAGAUGAUGAAACUUUUGAUAAUUAUUUUGAUCAAUAUUUUGAAACAAUGGAGAAUUUGGCCAUUAAUUAUGGUGAUCAAGAAGUCGAAAGAAAUAAAAGAAAAAACCGAGUUCAUAUCGAAAGAAAGCGUGAAGAAGACGAGGGAAACAACUACUGAGCUCUGAUGUUUUUCCAAAUUAUUCUCGAUUAUUGUACUAGUCUUUAUUUUUAUGUUUUUUUCAAAAAAAAAAUCUAUGUUUUAAAUGUUAUUUUUUAAUAUGUUUGAAUUAAUAAAUAAAUUUUAUCUUUUAAAAAAAUUAAAAAAAAAUUUCUUAAGAACCCCUAAUUAAGAAACUUCCAUUGGACCGCUCCAAAUGGGAGUUUCUUAACUAUGAUUCUUAACUCCACUUAAGUACAAUUAAAAUAUUAAAUAAUUACUAAGAAACACACUUAAGGAUCAAGGGAUAAACAUGCUCUUAUCUUUAUUAGAGUUUUUGGGAAUUUUUAGAUAAUGAUUGAACAAAGAGGGAUUUUCUUUUUGUAUUUUUUGUCCGUUGUCAAGAAAGUGCAUAUGCAUUAAUUGAAUAGUAAUUCAAUGACUAGCGCCUAAAAUAUUUAAUAGACUACGUAGAUUACUAAUAUACUAAUUUUAUAAUGCACUAUACUAAACAGUAUAUUUAUAAAUAAUAAAAUAAAUAAAAAUAUUUUCAUGAAAUUUUAAAAAGUGAUAUAUUAGUUUUGAUUUAUAAAUAAUUAUUUAUUAUUUUAUUAUUAUACUUUUUAUUUCAAAAUAGUUGAUAUGCACAAAAAUUAAAAUAUAUUUUUUUUAUAUUGAAACAUUAUUAAAUGGUUUUCAUUAUUGAAACAUUAAAACUCUUCAAAACGUCAUUUAUUUUAUAAGGGAAGAAGUCAUUUUUAUAUGGUUUAGAAGAUUAUUACAAUGGUUUAAGGUGUUUUAGUUUUUUUUUUUUUGAUCAAUUGGUGUCUUAGUAUUUAGAAUCGUUUAAGUGGUUGUAUAGAACUCUUUUAAAAAUACUGAUUUUUAUAUAUAUCUGGAAUCGAUCUUGCUUUUUUUGUAUUUGCGUAAUGAAUAUUUUUUAUUUCCAUAUAGAACUAAUAAACUCAGAAAAACUUCAAUUUAUUUGUAUUGAGCAAUACUGAAAAAUAGAAUAAAAACAAAUAUAUGGUGGAGUCAUAAAGUAAAAAUGAUGUAUAGAGUUGGCAUUGUACAUAACAACAGUAUUUCAUCUGAGUAAAAAAAUCAUUGCAAUGAUUAUGAUUUUUGAGUGAAGUUCCUGUGGCAAUGAUUUUGCUUUUAGAGAUGUUAAAAGAAAAAUGUUUUGAUUUUUAGAUACAAAAUUAACAAAAUAUAAUAUACCUGAAAUACUACAUGCCAAAAAGAAAAUUUAAGAUACUAGUUUAAUUUGUUUACCUGAUAUCUGAAAAGUCUAUAAGUACAUUUGUGAAAAUCGAUUUUUUAUUUACGUCUUUCGAAUCUCGACACUCGCCAUAAUGAAUUUAAUUAGUUUGAUAAUUUUUCAUCCAAAAAAGGUUCAUAAAAAAACAAAAUAUAAUGAAAGGUAAAUGACAUUCUUUUUGUUAACUGGUAAACAGUAUAUAGACUACAUCUCAUGUAUUUUAUCGACCUAGUAAUUAUGAUAGUGGCAAAAAAAUAGAGAAACUUUAUUUUGUUUUGUUUAAAGAAGAAACCGAAGAAGUGAAGGUGUGUAGAUUAGCAAUGCAAAUGUAAAUCAGUACUGAAACGUAAGCAAUCGAACUGACACUUUCUCCACUUUAGGGCAUUACGUUUCUCUGUCACUUUGACCGUUGACUAGCUCUCUUCUUCUUCGUUCUCUUAAAUUUGUAUUUAAUAGUAUUACUGUACAUAUUUUCAUCAUGGAAAAUCUUCAUUUAUGGAUAAAAGUUCCAAUUAUACAUGUAACCAGAAUCAAAAUUUUCCGUUGACUACGUCUCUCAUACUACAUUUAACUUAGAUUCAAAAUUCAAUUGUAUCUAAAAGUUUUACCACGAAAACAAAAUUAUAUAACAUGUUUUAGCAACGUAAAUUCGAGGAGGAUCUGUACCCUACAGAGCAUGCCAAUGCCACAACUCAUUAUAUAUUAAUUUCGUUUUGGCAUGGCAGGUCCGGAGCAUAUGCAAAGAAAUUGACCGUUUAGGGCACGCCAAUUUCAAAUGAAAAUUUUAGUUGUAUAUAAAGUACAAAAUAACAAGGUCACAAAAUUUAAAUUGAGUAUAAAGCAUUAAAAAAUUUUGAAAAUGUUGGACCGGCCCUGCGUUUCACGUGAACAAUCUAUUAAAGGCUUGACCUAUGUGGAAUGGAGUAUAAACAAUCUGUGAACUUUAAUUAGAACUUUAGGUACAUUAUAGUUUUUAUCGGCUUAUAAAAUUCAUAACAUGCGAAUGAUAUAAACAAUUGGCGAGGGUGCACGUAUUGUGAGGCUCAAGCUCAGCUAGAUUCCCAUAGACUAACCUUGUUUUCCUCAAAAGAUAUCUUUUUUAAUUAGUAUUUUCUCAAUGACAUGCUUUUACACAGAAAAUAUAUUAGUGUACAUUUUUCUCACAGCGGAAAGCAAAACAUAUGAGUUUGUAAGAUAAACAAAAUUAACUUAUGUUUUCUUGUUUUGUUUAACGUGUGAUAUUACAUGCCUAUGGGAUGAUCCAUACUAAUACUCAAAUGGAAGUAAAGUCCACGAACAAACCAUCUCUUCGGAUAUAUAAAUAAACUUUAAUCAAUAGAUUUAUAUCUACGUAACCACACGAUGAAGUGUAGUAGAAUAUCUUCAAACUCAGUUAAUAAAAGUUUUUUUUUUUUUUUGAACAUUUUCUUCAGUUAAUAAAAGUUCGUCUACCACUAAACCACAAUGGUGUGAUUAAGAUUAAUUUAAGUUUUUUUUUAGGUCUAUAAUAUUAGUAAGUACGAGACUAAGAUGUAACACAUUUAAUCAUUUACUCAUGUGACUGUGCUAUAGAUUUAGUGUCAUUACAAAUGCAAAAGAACAUUACACUAAUUUAUAAUAUAAUCGUAACUUUAUAAUAUGUUUUUGUGAUAGUUAUUUGGUUCUUGGUUUUAAUAAUAUGUUUCAGCGUUGGGUCUUUUUUUGUCCUCAGUUUUAGUUGGUUUAGGAGUCGGACCAUCCCGGUCUAGAUAGGACCGAUUUUGUGGUUUAGUUUAUUUCUUUUUAUAUAAUUUUUUCAGUGGUCUCUUAUAAAAAAAAAUAGAAAUUUAAAUAUGAAAACUUUUAAAGGAAAAUAAAUAUAUAUAUAUAUGGUUCUUGGCUCUAGUUGAUGACAAACUUGAGCCAUAUGGUUGAUUUUUGUCGUUUGUCUAUGUAUGAAUUUCAGAGAAAAUGAUACUGGUUGGACUGUGGAGAUUUUUUUGCCUAAUUUACACGCAUCCAACAUUCUUUUCUACAUUCAUAAAUAGAAGAUUAUUUUCUUCUCACAAACAGUGACAUGAACAUUUAGAUAUAUUGUUCCAUACAUAUCAUCAACGUUGAUGUGAUCGUGAUGUACAUACUAGUCGCUAAUUUAUUUGAUUUUCUGAAUUGAAUAAAUAACGAAAAGCUUGUAGCCAUUUUUUUGGUCAACAGCGAAAAUAUUUGUACUCACUAAAAGAAAGUUCAAACAAACAUAUAUAAACGUAAAUGUCGAUACUUUCAUAAUGGCCUUGUUGAACUUGUGCGCCAAUGUGGUCGGUGUACGAGAUAAGCCGUCAAAGAAGCCACUAGUUAAAUUUCCUCGCACACUUUAUGACAUUUUUUCCAUUUCACAUUGCUAAUAUUAUUUAAUCAAAUAAUUUAGAACGUUUAUCUAAUUUGCAAAGGUUCAAACCCAUGAGUUUGACUACCAGAGUUGAAAACAGAUGUGGAGACACAAACCAUUCCCCACCAGUGGGUCCAUGAAGUUACUACCCAAAAAGAUAUUGCUUAAUUAGGUAGUUGGUGGAACCUAGAUUAGCUUUCUGUUGUGAGGAUUAGAUGUAGGCCAAAGCUUGUAAGCACGAAGGAAACUCAUUGAAGGUUGUGUGAUAUAUCAUUUUGUUUGCUUUCUAAAGUCAAAAAUGAAAAGAUUAUGAAGACUAAAUGAUUUUGGUCUCCAUACCUAUAGAUCAGACACUUUUCUGUGUUUCUAUGAAGUGGAAUCGUCGUACUACCUUGAGUUUCUCUUAUAAUUUAAUGUAGUAAUCAGGAAUUUCAUAUCUUUAUAAAGAGUCCAAUAUGGAGUGUGGAGAAAGGGUUUGAAUCUUAAGAAGCUGAUACAUGUUUUCCAUAUUCAAACUAGUUUGACAUGUCUUAACGGUCCCGUGAUCUCGUACGCUUAAUAUGACUUUGUCCCUGAGAGUGACCUGUGAAAUAUUCGUGCCUUAUUCCUUGAUCUUCGGACAUGAACUUUCAAUCAUUUUUUUUUUUUGGUAACACUUUCAAUCAUGUUUCAUACAGUCAAAUAAAUAACCAGUUUUGGACUUCCACAGAAGUUAAGUAGCUGUGCUAAUCUUUUCUGCAGUUUUCUAUUUAGAGAUAUGAUUGAUGAAUCAAAACAUUUCAAGCAUAAAGUAAUUUUAAGAUGAACUGUUUUCUUUUUUGACCAAAAAAAAAAAAAAAAAAAAAAAAGAUGAACUGUUUUCUUUCUUUAGUUAUUAUUUUAACAGGUAUAUCUGAAACAAAAUCAUCAAAAGAUAAUAAUCAAGGUUUGAAUCCUAAACUAUAACUUAACGAAUACACAAAAAAAAAUCCCAACUUAAGAUAACAAAACAAAAAUCGUUUAGUGAUAAUCUUGAUAUGAAGCUUUCUCUGUAUCGUAAGACAAGAAGACCCACACAAGCAUCCUCAUCUUCUAACUUAGAUGGUCAGCCUUGAGAGAUUUAAUGAACACAGAGGUGAAUCAAAUGCAAAAAAAAACUUAAUUCUCUAAAUGAGAAGGCCGAGUAAUGUUUUUUUACCUCUUCAUAGAUCAAUAGGGACUCUCAAGCCAUCAUGCGCAAGUUUUACUGAAAUCCCUUCCCUAACAAAACCAAAAAAAAAUUGCAACAAAUACAAUAAGAUAAAUCCUCUCUUCUGUGUAUGGUUUCUUCAGAUAGAUGAUGGUGUAAUUGAGAGUUCUCUACCUUUUAGACCAUUCCUCAAGAAACUCGUUGUCUUUGUGGUGAUCAAACUCGUGAGUCAUUCCGAUUAAAAGAGCCCUUUUCGGACCCAGUCUUUUGAUUGUCUCUAGUGUCUACAUAAAACAAAAGUAAGCAUACAUAGACAUAUGAAAAGAAAAAGAAAAAAAAACACCUUCAAAUUAAGCUAACCUGCGGGAAACACAAAUGGGUGUUGUGGGAUCCUGUCUGCAGGCAAAAUAAAAGAAAGAUGGAGAAAGAGUGUGGAAACAUCAGCAUACAGUAUUCAUAAAAUGUUUGAUCAUUAAGCCUAAGGAUGAUCUGUGUCACCUUAUAUAGUGUAUCCAAGAUAAGGAGAUCCAACUGUCCGCCCCCAGAUUUCGAUAUAACUGUAUAAUCCAAAACCAACAGAGUCUGAGAUAUCUUGUUUCAGAAUAUCAAAACACACACGCGCUAAGCAAUUUGUUACACCUACCAUACUCAGUGCUUGGAAGAAAGCGUGAGACAUCAGAUAUAUACGCCACUCUGGAUUUUUCUCCAAAAAGGAAACCAAGACAAACAUAGUCUUCUCCAUGCAUCACCUACAACAUAAAUAAGAUUUUUGAGUCUCUUCUCCACACAGAUUAGCAAGAAGACAUGAUUCACUACUUCUACAGAAGCUUUGAAAAAACUUACUGGAAGUGGCGUGAAUGAUAAUCCUGAAGCAACAAAAGGCUUCUCACAAUCUUCCUCUAUCACUCUCCAAUCCAGCUGUGCCACUCGCCUAACUUCUUGUCCUUCUUUAAGUUUCUUCUGAACCAAAUACGGGAACUUCACAGCAAGGCUGUUUUCACAAAAGAAGCAUGCGAUAGUUGAAACUAGAGCUUCAAAGUCUCGACAAGAUCAUAAAGAUACUGUUUUUACUACCUGUCCAUAGCAUAUUGGCUAACAAAAAUAGGAGUAGGAUCUAUAUCAUUGGUGGGACUAAACGGCUGCACGGAACGUAUAUCAUCCAGGCCAAGUACCGCAUCAGCAUGCUCAUGUGUCAAAAUGAUCUGCAGUACAUAGCAAACAUUACUUUUACGAAAACCUCAAAAGUUACGAUCAAAGACUUAGACUUUGGUUAAAGAUUAACUUACAGAAUCAACUUGAGGAAUGUUGUGAAGAGUGAACCAACGAAGGACUUGUUCCCUGAACGUCUUGCCAACGUCGAUUUGAAUGUAGUUAUGAUUGCCAUCACUUGAGCAAUAAUCAAUGAGCAGUGAAGUGUUUCCCCUGCCAACAAAGAAGAACGAGAUCUCUAGAAGUCAGAAGAGUAUCUCAAAGUCUCUAAAGGAAACAGCUAGGCAAUAGCUGCUAUAACGAUGGAUCGAAGCGCCCACACACAAUCUUAAAGCCUUCAUCAUAUGAUUCAACUCGUUCAUGGAACAAAGUAUAAUACAAUAGAGCUUACGACUAACUGAAUGUGCUACACAGAUCAAAGGAACAUCGGAGCUCGGAUUAAAGAUGACAAAUCCGAAUCUCGAAUCUAACGAAGAUCGCAUUGUAAAUCAACGGAGUGUAUGUACCUGUAGUUAGGGUUUCUCUCGGGAGGGAUCGAAAGAGACUGAGAGCAGACGUGGCAGGGAGAAUCGGACUUCUGGAUCAAGCACAUUGCGUUAGGGACCGCGCUCGAGCAUCCCGUUCCCAGGAAUAUCAGAGCCGAUCCAUCGCCAUCGGAGCCGUUCUCUGCCGGAAUCGAACCGUCUUCCAUCAUCGGAGAUAUACGAGUGUCGCCGUACGUAUAAAUCUGGAAUAUUCCGGCCAAGGAGGAACCUCGAGUAAGUAAAAACUGUUUAACAGAACGAAGCGAGGAGGAAAAAAAAAAUACAUAUAAUAGCUUUUUAUAAUUAAAUAAGUAAAUAGACAAACAAACUGAUUAUUUUAAAAAAAACACAAAUUAGUUGAAAAGGUGAAAAAAAGAGAGAGCUCAGGAUGCGGCAAUAUCAUCUCAAUAUAGAUGUGUGCGAAGGACCCAACCAACGCUAAGCGUCUAAGCGAAUGUCUUCAUAGCUCUCUGAAUGCACCAGCCGGGAAUCGAACCCGGGUCUGUACCGUGGCAGGGUACUAUUCUACCACUAGACCACUGGUGCUUCGUUGAACAUACUUAUUUAACAUAUAUUACGUUCAAACAAGUUAAAGACUCGAGUAGUGAUAAGUAUUAUUAUAACAAACGGAAACACAAAGAUUGGACAAAAUCAAGUUUCUUCUUGACUUGUAUCUUACUUUAUAGCAAGACUUGAAACUUCACAGCUCAUACAAUGCUCAGCAUGCCUCACUGUGUAUUGACCACUUUUGAUUAUUCUUAAUAAUUUCAUUAUGGAAUUUGGUGUUUUGUUGUUUGCUGCCUUCACGAUUAGAUUGCAGUAAAAGGUGCAAUUAGGUACGAAUUAUUGGUGCAAUUGAGAAAGGCGUGACUGUAACACCAAAAGUUUAGGAUACUCACUUUCUCUGAAGGUAUAUGCAAGUUAUAAUAUCAAUUAUGAGAAGAAAAAGUAAUUCUGCUGGGACAUACAGGAUUCAAUGGCUAGAAAUAGAAUCUAUGAGGCUUAUCCUUGAUGGGGUAUUGUAUCUUAGUCGUCGCUAUAUCAUUAAAGGUAUCCAUUAUUUUUCGGUGUUCAGGUAUAGUGAAGCUGAUAGCUCGCUUGUUGUUGCAUUGGAGCUCUCUGUUAUUGUUACUUUCACGAAUCUCUUGUGAAAUAUGAGUUUUGGUGAUGUGAUUUGCUGUUUUGAUGGUAAUGCUUAAAUGGUAUGUCCCGGUUUAUGACAACGAUUAUAACUGUUGUUGUCUUUAUAUGGAAGACUUUUCUACUGGAGUCUACGUUGUGUUUAUGAUACUGGACUUAGCAGUAAACCAUGCUGGAGCUUUAGCUGGUAAGAGGUUACUUGUGGAUGCCGACAAUGCGAGAACUGUUCAAUCUCUUUUGUUACUGUGCAAUGUACGGUUAUAAGUACUAAAAGAUGCUAAGUUCUUUGGCUUCUUAUGUAAGUUCUUUUGCAAACGGGUUAAGUAAAAAUGAUUAACCUCUAUGGCUAAGCAAUAGAAUCCUUCUGUUGGUUUUUUUUAAUUAGAAUCUUCCUUUUUCACAAUGCAAAUGUGUGUUUUGCAUGAUUCAGGAUAUUCUGGGUUGGUUUCAAUGGUUAUAGCCAUUCAUUCUUUGUGCUUGAAACAUAAUUUGUCUUGGCAGGUUUUUUGUUUGGUACAAUUCAUAGAUAUAUUCAUUUUUAUAAGCAUGAACUUGUUGGUACAGUGUUUGAGGCUUCAAGCAAAAAGUUUUUGAUGGAAUAUAAUGUUUAUGCAACUGUGAAGACGUGACAGUAACACCAAAAGUUUCUUUUACAUUUAAGAUGUGCUUACUUUCCGUGAAUGUAUGCAAAUUAUAAUAUCACUUAUGAAAAGAAAAAGGAAAUCUUUUGGGACAAAGAGUGAAAGAGGAUUCAGUGGCUAGAAUAGAUAGAUUAUAUGAGAAUGUGAGGCUUAAACUUGAUGGGGUGCAUAUCUUACACAUUGCAACAUCAUUAAAGGUAUUUCCAUUACCUGGGUAUAGUGAAGUUGAUAGCUUUCUUGUUUUGUUUUUUUUUUGCUAAAUUGAUAGCUUUCUUAUUGCAAUAGCUCUCCGUUUAUUGCAUAUUUGUAAUCUUGUUUAUUAUGGUUUUCUGUACUGGCGCGUAAUUAAUUUAUUGUGAUAUUGAAUGUACUGUACUUAUCUCGUGAUAAUGCAUGCAUCUUUGGCAGAUUCUGAUAAUAAGCCAAAGCUGGAAACUGUUCCUGGAAAAGUAAAAGUAAAGAAGACACCUUCCUCAGCUACUGCUUUUGAUGUAGGACUUUACACUAUUCUGCAAACAAAAGAUCAUGUCUGCUCUUCUUGUCCAGUUUGACGGUUUUCAACUGUUGCCUUCUGUUGGAACUUAGUAACUUACUGAGCUAUUCCCAAUUCGGCAUGUUGCUGUUUGUUUUUCCAUGUUAAGGUUGAGAGAACCCUUAUGAAAGAUCGUUUCUUGCUUUGCCAUCCUCUGUUACCAUAUAAACCCAUACACAAUAAUGCUUAAAGGAAAGUGUUGCUUUCAAGAAAUUUCUUGUGAAAUAGUCUUUUUGGAAAAUAUGUUUGGUGAUGUGAUUUGUUGUUUUGUUUGUAACGCUUAAAUGGUAUGGUCCCUACUCCCUAGUUUUAAUUUGUUGUUGUCUUUUAGUGGAAUUUUCUACCUUGGAUUUAUGAUAUUUACAUCAACACUUACCAGUAAAUGCUACUGGAGCUUUAGGGGUUACUUGUGGAUGCCAAUAGAGCGAGAACUGUUCAAUAUCUUAACAUUACUGUACAGUGUUUUCUGUGGUCAGUUGGCUGAUACAAUUACACUUUACAGCAAAAAUAGUUUGUAGAAACUCGAAGGCUCUUUAUGGCCAUCAUCUAGUAAGUUCUUUGGCAUCUUAUGUAUCGAGAACAUACCCUCAAAAGAGUUGGCAGAGGGUUACAAAGGAUUAACCUUUAUGGCUAAACAAUAGAAUCCUGCAGUUAAAAUUUUGUUCGAUCGUUUUUAAAUGCCAUGUGUGUUUAUCAUAUGUGAUCUAGGUUAAAAUUUAACUGUACAUUGUUUUGUCUGCGUAUGGUUACAAUCGCUUACCUCGUCGGCUUAUUACUUUGUCCUGGGAUGUAUCAAAAGAAAUUCCAUUGGUCAUGGCCAUCCAUUCUUUGUGCUUGACCUAGACUGUGUGUCUUUGAUGAUUUUGUGCUUGGUAUUAUUCAAAGGAACUUAAUGCUUUUAGUUUGCUGAAUCAUCUCCCAUGUUCUGUUACUAUUGUGUUUGUCUUCCAGUUUUCAGUAAGAUCAUUGCCUCUGCACUGUCACAUUCUUGUGGAAAUUUAUCAAAUCUAUUCAUUUCAAAUAUAUACUGCAUGGCUCUACUAGUAAUAUGUAUUUCAUGUCUUCCAGGUAACUUUACAUGUAUAUGAUGAGUCUCAUUAGUAUGCAUUGAACUCAUUUUUAUAAGUUAUCACCAUUUAAGAAUUUUUUUUAAGGGAAAUGGUAGACCACUCAGAUUUUCAACCUUUAUUAAAGGUGAUUUGAUAUUUAAACUGAUAUUUGAUAAUUUAGAGGUAACACUUUGAAACAUAGCAUCACAGCUCACACACAUGCUUGAAACAGCUAAAGAUUAAUUGAUUUUUUUAGAUCAUUGGACAUUCUUUAGUUUAUCUCUUUCAUUUUGUUUUUAAUUGAUAUAAAAUGAUCUAAGCUCGAAUCUUAAGGGAGCAAAUCUUAUAGCAAUGAAUAUUUUUUGUAACAUAUUUUAUUAUAUUGUAUUGAAAUAUUGUUAAAAUAACUAAAGUUGUCCCCUUUCAAGACCACCUGAUCUGCAAAUUUACCUGUAAUGUUCCUAUACCAUGGUCUGAAUCUGAUACGUGUUCUAAACUAAAUCAAGGCUUGUUCUAAUUUCUUUUUGUUCUUUACCUAAUUAUUAUUUCCAAAAAUAUAUAAUAAUCACCACAUAAUAUUUACCUAGUUAUUAUUUCCCAAAAUGCAAAAAAAAAAAAAAAUUGCUUACAAAUAAAGUAAAAUAAGAAGUGGGUACCACUUAUAUAAAAUCUAACAAUACUAAAAGUAGAAUAAGUUCAAAGGAGAGGCUGUCCACGUCUGCAAAAAAAUCAACCAAUCAUAACAGGUUAAUUUGCCAUGUCAUACGUUUCAGUCCAAAAACGGGUUUUUAAUUUGGGCUGUGUUUGCAUUUAUUAAAUAGCCCAAUACAAGCCCAUCUCACCUUAGAUGUCUGAAGCGUAAAGUUUUGUUCUACCUCGACCAUUUCUCUUUGCUUUCACGAUCAAAUUCUCAGCACUCGCCGUUACCAAAACCAACUCUUCAUCAAAAUAUUAUGCUGUUUAAUUCUUCUUUAAUGGUUUCGUUCCACCUCCCCCUCUUUCUCCUUCUAUACAAAGCACUCUAUAUCAUCUUCAUUCCAACCCUAAUCGAAACUCUGUAGAAACAACUAUCCACCGCCUUGAAAUCACUAGAAAGUCUGCCUUCUCCACCGGAAAAACUCAUAUAGCUGUUUCUCUCUCCAAUUGAAAAUGACAGGCUCAGAGAGUGACGAUUAGGACCAUCUCCGAGAAGGAGGAGUGAAGAAUCUAUUCCUCCGUGAGGGCAGACAGUACGAGAAGCAAUGUUAAAGGCGACAAAAAAAAAGAUUUUGAUCCAACUUCUUUUGGUAUGUCGUUUACUGUUUCAUUUGAUCAAAUUUCAAUUAAGUUUCAAGUUUUGUGUUAGAUGUGUGAUUUCGGGUUUUCAAACUAUCUCCAAAUAAGAUGAAAUCAACCCUUCUACACAAAAGUUAAGCGGCUACACUAUGGUUUAUAAAGUUUUCUGAUUUUGGCAUUGGCCUUUUUAAUUAUGUCGUCAGUUUACAAGUUGUCUACUAUUUUUUAUCUCUCAGUUUUCAAGAUAGUUUAUUUAGAUGGAUAUGGACCUCCAUCUAGACGUUUCCAACCAAACACGCGAGGAAAGGUGAGUGACGAAGAGCUUACUUACUUAGAGAAACAUUUAUCAAGCUUUACAAUUUCAUUUCAUCCUUGAUAAGUUGCAUACCUAUUUUUCAGCUAUAUUCCUCACCACUUUGUGUUUCUUCUCUAUAGCUAAGCUUCAGGAGAGUUGUGCAUAAGCAUCUUGAAGAAUUCAUGAGAGAGUGAGGUAAGUUGCUUAGACGAGUUCGUUUCACAAAAAUCAAACAGUUCGGGAGUAGGUUUACAGAUUGAGAAGAGAUAAGAUCAUGAAAUGGUUCUCAUGAUUUGUACAAGUUGCAAUAUUUGUGUUCAAAUUUUCUGCCUUUUUCUUUCACCUAUCUUUGUUCUCUUUACUUUGGUAUUAACUCAGCUAUGAUUUCUUCUGCAUUUGGCUUGAGGUUUUCUUCCUCCAGCUCCUAACAUUCUUUUCCUUUUUUCUUAAUCUGUAAAGGGAGGAACAAUGGACGCUUAAGGUGUUUCACACCCGUCCCAAACCACUUGACUUCACAACGCACAGUCCCAUUUUUUUGUACGAUCAGUACAAUCUGACUACUGGAUGCUUAAGGUGUUUCAGAGGCUGCCGGUAUAUACUUUCACAUAAUACUUUUGUAUUUUUUUUCUGAGCUAUAAACCACACAUGUCUCUAGAGAGUUACUUAGUCUUUAGAAAUGCUAAAGUCUCGAAGGCAAACAGCUUACAAAGGGACCUAUUCUUUUUUUUUUCCUUUCUUUCAGAGGAGACCUUAAGUGAAUAAGAUGACAUCUAUCAAAGAUAUCAAAUUUCUUGACAUUAAAACGUAAGAAAUGUCUCUGUUCUGACUAUACAACAAACAUGGAAUCAUUCUUUCGCAUUGGUUCAGAAUUUGAUUGUUAUAGUAUUACUUAUAUGUUUUAUUUUUUCACUCUUUCUUUACCAGGAGCAUUUAGAUCAGAUAAGAUCCAAUGUUACAUAUGGAAGCUUAGAAAUGUUUCCAUGAGCAGAUCGAGGUAAUGAUUUCACCUACAUAGCUGCUAAAAUUAAAAUUUGUCUGCUUUCUAACCAAAGAGAGUAUUAGUCCUAUAAUUUGAUGUUGUUUAAUUUAUAUGACCCAGAUACAAUGGUCCUUGCAAUUACUGUUUGAAAAACAGGGCAGUGCCUACAGAUGAUGUUUGAGAAACAACUAAAGUUACAAGAGACCAGGACCCCUUCCUCAAUCUCAUCACCAAAGCAAUGCAAUGGCACAUUUGCCGCAUCCAAAUUUGGUUUCAAAACACAAACUGUGAACCAAACUGAAUCUGCUUUGGUAUCAAAGAAAGCAAGUCCAUUCAACUUUUUUUUUUUUCAAUUCGAGUACAAUUAAUGAAAUAUUUUAUCUUGGAAAAAUAAAGAUACAUAUAUAUAUAUAUAUAAGAGAAUACAACAAAAGAGCCAAUGCAUUAGAUGUGUGUAUACUUAUAAGUGAUAUAGAUCUCAAAAGUUAAGAAUGUGUUGUACAACAAAAGCUGAAGCUGUUGCUCUGCACGUCCUACUGGGCGGAGAUUCUGAUGAUUCAUCUCGAGUCAUGCUUGGUGAAGAAAAGGGUUUCAAUAUUGAUCUGUUUAGAGGUCAAUGAAUAAACUCCGCCAAAGUUGCGCUAGCUAUGCGGUUCAAGGAUUUUGGACUGUGUUCAACGGUUAUGGACUAAGAGAUAGUAAAUGGUCGCCAUUCAUGAAGGAAUCUUGGGAUAAGAACUUGGGAAUAUCAGCUGAUCUGAUUGUUGCUCAGGCUGUCCAUCACUACAUAUUUCUGAAAAUACUGACAGAAAUGCCUCUCUGCUCAAUAGAAGUUCUCUGGAUGACAAAAAUGUUGCUUAUUCCUGUGUGAGAUUGCUGUUUUUUUUUCUCUAAUGCUACAUGUUCAUAUUUGUAUAGCAGCUAUUUUCUUAAUGUAACAUUGAACGAAUGAUGCUGAGACUUGCUUGGUUACUUGCCAUUAACAUGUUGAAGAUAUCCCUUAACAAAAUCACAAAAGAGAGAGAGAUAUGGGUUCCAAUGGUGGGAUACAAAGUAAUGGAUGCAUAUGAAUAGCUUUUGGACCGGGUGGAUAUACAAUCAACCAAAUGAAUGCAUUAUGGUGGAUUACGGUUGCUACUGAGUACUGACACUAGAAUCUUACAGCAACUACUCAUGACAUGAAAAGUAUAAAACAAAGCAAACACAAACACAUCAACCCAAAAUAUAGGAGUAUAAAAGAAAAAACAUGACUUCAAAUAUAACACAUGCAUAUAUUGUAUCCUCUUUGCAGGAUCAAUGUCCACGAAAGAGAUGUGGUAGCAAAGAAAAGAAACAAGAGAGAUAUUGUUGAGUUUGAAAACAACGAAAUUAUGCAUGAGUGUACAAGAAAUUUGAUCUUUAUCAUACGGAUUUCGGAGAAACUUAAAACAACGAAUUUACCUUUCAAUUCUGAAGAGACUUAACGGUUUUAUAACCAAAAAAUAAUACAUACAUCCAAGAGCUUCUAACAACAUCAGUUAUCAUGCCAUCAUUUUUAGCGGCAUCAAGUCAUAUAGAUUCUAAGUAAGAACUUGAUUGUUAGUAAAAAAAUUCAAUAACUAAAUUAAAAACAAAGGUUGAUCAUUUGUUCAACAAUUUUUUUCAUGAGAAUCCAUAAUAUAUAAGAUAAAAUAAUAUUUGGAUUUAUAUGUCCACAAUAUAUAUGCAUAUAUAUAUAUAUAUAUUAGAUACAAAUAUAUUUGUCCAGAACCCGGGCGUAGCCCGGAAAAAAACCUAGUGAUGAUUUAAUGAUCUGUCCAUUCGAGGACAUCAGAUGAUUAAAAAGAAAUUAACUAUCGUUUUUAUAAUUAACUGGUAUUAAUGAUAUAAGCAUGUGUUGGAAAGUAAGAAGAGUGUGGCUUUUUGGUAGGAAAGAAAGUUUAUUGACAUCAAAUUAUAGCGUGCAUUGUCCCCUCCAAAUGGUAUAUACGUAUAUGUCAUUCGUGCACCCACUUCUCUUCAAUAUCAUAAUAAUCAUAUUUUUAAUAAAUACUCUUUUCUCUAACAUAUUUGGAAUGUCUAUAGGAAUAGAGGAUUAUCAAUUUAAAAUGCUUACAUUUAAAAGUUUUCGGUGUAAUUACUAUCUCACUUAUUUAAAAUAAAUAUGUCUAGAAUGAUAAUUUCUAGACCCAAAGACUUUGGGAUCAAUUCACACCAAGGUUAUAAAAAAAUUGAUAAUUUCAAAUGCUUCCAUAUAAAAGCUCUCGGUUUAAUUACCUUCACUUGUUUACAUAAAUAUGAUGAUUACCUAAAUUAUAAGCAUGAUAUUUUAUUGGAAAACUUUUAUUGUUUCUAAAACAACAUAUAACUAUAUACAUUUUUCAGUUGUACAUCUAUAUGAACAUAAUUUUUUUUGUCAAAUAUUAAAAACAUAAUAAAAUUGAAUUAUAUAUUAUUUUUGGAUAUAAUUAUAUUUCUUUAUUAAAAGUUAACAAUUAUUUAAUAAUCAUAAUUAAUAGCUCACUAUUUAUUUUUAUUAACUAAUAAAAGCAUAUAUAUAUAUAUAUAAGGAAUUGCUUGAUAUGAUCAGUAUUAAGAAUAUAUGCUCUUCGAAAACAUAGAAAACAUAAAAUAUAUUUUUAAAUAAAUAAAACAUCUAUAUUUUGAAUGAAUGGAAUAUAUUUAUAUUUAUUAAUCUAUAAACAUUCAACGCAAAUUAUCGAGAAACAUCUCGAUCUACGUGAAUAAUUUGGCAAUGAACAGACGAAACACAUUAUACUGGAAUCAGUAGGUAGGGUGACCGUGACGUAGGGUCCAAGUUAAUAUUUUAUUAUGUAAAUUAUUGAAAUAACAGUUUAAGCUUAACAAAUGAAAUUUGUUUUUGGUUUUACACUCCACUAGGACCACUAUCACCCAAAAAAUAACUGAAAAUUUUAAAUUAUGAAAUUAUACAGCUAAACAAAAGGGAAACCAUUAAAUCAUGUCUUUCGGGGUAGGGACUCCAACUCUCCAAGUGGCAAUGGCUUAUACUCCAUUCCAUUAAUUAAUGACCACAAAAAAUCAGAAUCAAAAUUUUAUUUUACAUACAUGAUUUACAUAUUUGCUUCUAUUCAUAAUAUGUUAACAUAAUAUUACUUGUACAACAGUAUAAGUACAAAACAUUUAUCUAUAUUAUUAUUUGUGAAAUGGUUUUUCGCAUCCGAGCUCUUGUUUUAAAAGUUAAAGUCGUUGCUACCCUUAACAAAAUUAUUAUACUUAUUUAUUAUUUUGUUGAUCAUAAUUAUAGUAAAAAAAUUGAAAAAAAAAUACAUGAGACAAUAAUGUUUUGUUUGAUAUAACUAAGGGUGUUUGAUAUUAUCCAACAAUAAUCAUCACCUACUUUUAUUUUAUAAACAAAAAUAAAGAACAAAAAGAUAAGUUCAUAUAUAUAUUUAUCAACUUAACAAAAAUAGUAUUAUUAUCUCAAUUUCCUAUUUUCAAUUUUUUCUAAAUUAUCAUCUACCUUUAUUUAUUUAUUUUGAAUUUUUGAAAUUUUUGUUUGUAGUUUUAUAUAUAUUGAUGGUUUAAGUAAUUCACAGAGAUAAUAACAGUUAAAAAGAUGAAGGUUAACUUUUUACUUUACUUAUUGCAUGUUUGAUAUGUGACUCACAGUUUUACAUAUUUUAAUAAUUUUUGAAAAGACAAAAAUGUAACAGGAAAAGUAAGAAAAUGUUAUAAAAAGAAAAAUGAUUAAAAACAUAAAAUAAAUAAUUAUGAUAACAAUCUUUGUUUAAAUAUAUAUAUAUAUAUAUAAGUAUCUGUAAAAUUAUUAUGUCUGCAUGCGCCGACGAAACAAUUAAUAUAUAUAUGUUAGUAAUUUUAAACAAAUAAUAUCUCAAAUUGUUACUAAGAAAGAAAGGAUAAGAGGAAUAAUAAUUUAAUAAGACCUUUUGAAAUAUAACCAAACUAAAACGUUUUAUUUGCUUUACCUAUUUACAUAUAUAUAUAUAUAUAUAUAUAUAUAUAUAUAUAUAUAUAUAUAUAUAUAUAUAUAUGAAGUGUCUUGAGUAUAUCCUUUAAAAAUAUUAAAAAAACAUUAUUUUAACACACAAUCGGCUUUUUUCUUGAUAAAAUUAUCCAGUAAUCUAAAUGUAAGUUUUUAAUAAAAAUAAAAGUAGUUUUUUUUGUGGGCACGAGCAUGGGCGGAUCCAAAAAUAUUUUUAAUCGGGGACACUGUAUUUGAAACAACAACAAUAAAAUUUGGUGGGGGCAUUUUUUAUAGUUUUUUUGGAGUGAAUUGGCUCAAAACUCAAAAAGAAUGAUGAAAUUAGCAAAAUAUCAAUGAUAAGAUAUAUUUUGUAUCUAUCAACGAAGGCACUAUGGUGUGAAAUUUAGAGUAUUGAUUUAAUUAGCGGAAAAGUUGUGUAUAUAGGAUACAAUUUCACUUUUUUCACUGAACUUAUAAUAUCUGAUAAUUUAACUUAAACUACUAAAGAAAAGAGUAAAAAUCAGUAGGGUGCAUGUGAUCCGGUAUCGAUGUACACGUCUUUUUCUGGGCACGAAAAAUCUGUUAGAUUAAAAAUCUCCAAUAUAGUAUUUAUUUUUUCUUUUAAAAUAAAAUAAUUUUAUAAUAGAGAUAAGUUUUAUUUCAACUUUAUUCUAAGUGUUUUAAAAAAAUAUUCUAAAUGAAAAAUAGAGUUAACCAUACCAAAAAAACAAUCUUAUGUUUGAAUGAAUUAAAUUCUUGAAAGACAAAGAGAAAACAUUAUAUCUAUCAUACGUUUAUAGAAUGAAAUUUUACUAAUAUUUUAACCUGUGGAUUUUCGAGUUCGUAGAUUAACUUGUAAAAAAAAAACACAUAGAGGGUUUUUUUUUUUGCAGAAAACCCAUGAAUCAAGUAUGUGUAUAUACAAUUUUAUCCUACAUUUAAUAUGUCAGACUACAUUAAGGGUGUGACUGGUGAACAAUAGAAUGAAGAGGAACACUAUGUUCCUUAGACCAUCUCCAAUGGCUUAUUCUAUUUUAAAGUAAAAAAUAGAGUAACUCUAUAAUAGAGUUUAAAUUUGCUCAAAUGGUACUCUAUUUUAGAGUAAAAAAUAGAGUGAUGAACAAAAAAAAAAAAUUACUCUAUAUUUGGAGUAAACCUAUUUUUCACUCAAUUAGAGUGAGAAAUAGAGUAUCAUUGGAGCAUUUUUUACUCUAAACUCUAUUUUAGAGUGAAAAAUAGAAUGAGAUUGGAGAUGCUCUUAAUAUUCCUUAAACAUUUUACCAUUCAUGAGGAAUAAGUUUCCUUUUAAUUCCUUUAUUUGUAUAUAAUUAUACCAUUCACGUAGGAAUAAGUUUAACCUUCUAGUGUAACUAAAAUCUUCUCAGACAGAAAAUAAAAAAUUUCUCAGACAGGGAAAAAAAGAGUUGAAAACGAAUCAAAUCCAAAAUGAAAAUAUUUUUUCCCGUUGCCUACUAUAUAUACGUUUACGUUUGUGUACACAACACACACAUAUUCUCUCUUCACUUCCACAGUCUCUUAAGAAGUUCGACUGACCGGAGAAAGAAGACGUCACCGGCGAAAUGGACGAAUCGUGGCGUAAGAAGAUGGGUUUAAACGUUGAUCCAUUCUUCUCCGUCGCUCGACGAUCCAUGGACGCUCGAAUCGACGCGGAAGACUUCGCCGACGUCUUCGGCGGUCCGCCGCGUAGCUUCCUCGCCCGAAAAUUCUCCGGCGACUUCUCCCGUUCCGACUGUUUCUACGACGAGGUUUUCCUGCCCCCGGGAAUUUCCUCCGGCGGCACGCUUCCGUCUUCUAAAUCUCACGGCAGAAACUUAACGGCGUUUAGGAUCCCCUCCGGCGCAGAUGGAUUUUACGACGGCGUCUUCGGCGGUCGCGGUGGGGCGGCUAAGAAGCAAAGCCCGACGGCGAAGUCGAACUCCUCGUCGGUGCUCACGUCCGAGGAGGUCAGUCCUCACUAUCCGCCACCGGCGGCGACGUCCGGCGAUGACGCGGGGUUUUCUUCUUUUACUUCUAGACUCAGGUAGAUAAAAUUACUAUUCUACCCUCCACUUCUGUUUAGUUUCUGAGGAUAGCUCCGUAAUUUCGACAUGCUCUGUUUUUUCUUUGUUAGACCGUUAAACGUCCCGUCGAGAAAGCGGGAAUCUAAGAAACAGAGUUUCCCGGCGUUUCCAACAUCCGGAGAUUCGUUCUCCGGCCACGAAAGAUCAGACUUUUACUACAGAAAACCACACUUCAGCGGAUCGAGAAGAUCCUCGCCGGAGACCAUGAGCUUUGAUCCUAGCUCCUUCAGGAGAAUUGAUGAUUUCGGACCGAGCUCUCCGGCGUCUUCCCCUGUUUCUUCUUUCGUCUACGAAGAAGAAAACACUGAGAGGAAAGGAGACUGUAACGUCGACGAGGUAGAAGAAGAAGAGAUGAGCUCUUACGUGAUUGAAAUAAACUCAGAUCGUUUUGAUCGAGGAAACUCGGAUUCGAACGACAUGGAUGAAGCCAUAGCUUGGGCUAAGGAGAGAUCCCAACGGCCAGAAGCAAAGCAAACCCAAGAAGAAGACUUAAUGGAUUCAAGAAGUGAAGAAGCCAAAUCAGAAGAAGAGGUUCGUUAGUUGUAAUUAAAAAAAAAAAAAAAUCCGACAAAACCAGUAACUUAAUGUUCUCAGUUAAGUAAUGAUUGCAGAUGGAGAUGGAGAUGAAAGAUGAAGAGAUAAGAAUCUGGUUAACCGGAAAAGAGACCAACAUUAGACUCCUCCUCUCAACUCUACAUCAUGUAAGUCAGAGUUUUAAUUGGUUAAUUUGUCUCAGACCAAGUAAACCGGUCACUGAUUCUAACCAAACCGGGAAUUUUUCAUUCAGGUUCUAUGGUCAGAUAGCAACUGGCACGAGAUUCCUUUGGAAAAUCUUCGAGAUGGAUCACAAGUUAAGAAAGCUUACCAAAAAGCUCGGCUUUGUUUACAUCCAGAUAAACUUCAACAGAGAGGAGGAACUUCACCGGUUCAGAAGUCGGUCGCGAGCAGAGUGUUCUCCAUUCUUCAGGUAACUUAAACCGAGCAAGAACCGAGAUUGGUUCAACUUGUAAGCUUUGGUUCUUGUUAUGGUCACUAACUCUUAGCUGACAUUUUGGAAUUGUAGGAAGCAUGGGCUGUGUACGUAACAAAUGAAGGACUCUCAAGCUAAACCGGAAUUCAUAAAUCAUUUUCUGGUUUCUAUUAAACCGGAAAUGUUGGUUUAAAAUGUAAGAAGAAUAAGAAGAGGAAAAGCAGAGUUUGUAUCUUUUAUGAUUGUAAAAGUCAUGAACAUUCCCAUGUGUUGCAUAUGUGGCUUCCACCGUCAGUGUUCUUAUAUAUACAGAAAAUAACAAAAUGCUUGAAAACUACAUUUUUUGUCAACGUUUGAAAACUACAUUAAAGAUCAAAUUAAUGCACGAAACGAAUAGAACCUGGAUAAGGAAAAAAAAGGUUGUAAUUGUUAGUUGUUUUAAUAAUAGAUACAGUCAUACAGAGCAAACGCCUCCUUUUUUUUUGGUAAUAAUAGAUACAGAGCAAACACCUCCAUGUUCAUUGAAAUAAAACUAAAAACUCAUAAAAUCACGAAAACUAUUUUAUGACGAGUGUAUACUAAACUUUUGUUUUCAGUAUACAAAUAUGUAUACAUCCAUAAAAUUCUUUAUAUUUUUAGCUUUUAUUUCAUAUCGGAGAAGAGUGUAAUUAUAAUUUGUAAAGAUAUAACUUACAUUUAUUUUUGCACAAAAGCUAUAAAACAUUAGUUAGGUUGCCAUCUAAUCUUAGGACAACUCUCCCAGCCUAUUGUCAUCACUCUCCCAAGUCCCAACCUCCUAGCCUAUUGUGAGACUCUCGACACUAUAUAGCUUAAGAUAUCCUUUUGAAGCAGUCAUAUUAGAUUUUUUUUUUUUGAUAUUUUAUACUAUUGAGUUUUAUUUUUUUUUACAAAGAGUUUAUCUAGUGUUGGAGUUUAUUAUAAAUAAACGGUUUAGAGGAAUCAGUGAGAAAUAAUUAUAUAAGUUUUACGUAAUUUCUAAAUAAUAUUUGACAUUAAAUUGUUUAUCAUACUAACAGUUAGCUAUAUUAUUAUAAAAUAUAAAAUGAUAAAUUAUUUAUUGCAUUUUAUAAUUUAUUCACGUGUGUUGUAAAUUAGAGAAGACGAUACAUAACAUUUUAAAUCAAAUUAUAUACAUAUAUAUAUAAGGAAUUGCUAGAUAUGAUCAGUAUUUAGAACAUAUGCUCUUCAAAAACAUAAAACAUAAAACAUAUAUAUAUAUAUAUAUAUAUCUUUCAAAUAGACAUUUUUAAGUUUUUGUCACAAAAAUAGAUCACAAAAACUAAAGUGACCAAAAUAGCAUUUUUAAUUUUGAAAAUUUUAAUAUUUUUUUUAGUUUUUAAAAUUUGAAAUCUUAUUCCCAAAAUCCCACUCCUCAAUUCUAAACCCUAAACCCCACUCCCACCCCUCAACUCUAAACCCUAAUGUCUAGAUUAAUUAACCCCAAGUGUAUAUUUACUUUUUUUUUAAUAAAACAUUUAAGUCUAUUUUGGUUAAUUUUAUUUUUAAAGUCUAUAUUUGUGACAAAAACUGUUUUAGGUAUAUCAUAAGAAAGUUUAUAUUAGUUAAUAAAAAUAAAUAGUAAGCUAUUAAUUUUGUUUAUUGAAUUAUUAUUAAAUUUUAAUAAUGGCAUAUACUUAUGUACAAAAUAAUAUAUAUAAUUCAAUUUUAUUAUGUUUUAAUAUUUGGCAAAACACAAAAUACAUAUUUAAGAAACAAAGAGAGUAUAAUGUAGUUAUGUUCAUUUAGAUGUACAUCUGAGAAAUGUAUAUAGUCCUAUGUUGUUUUAGAAACAAUAAUGUUUUCCAAUAAAAUAUUAUGCUUUUAUUUUAGAUCAUUAUAUUUAUGUAAACAAGUGAAGGUAGUAAUUAAACCGAGAACUUUUAAAUGUAUGCAUUUUAAAUUGAUAUAAUUUUAGACAUAUUUAUUUUAAACAAGUGAAUACAGUAAUAAACCAAUUUUUUUUUAAAUAUAAGCAUCUUAAAUUGAUAGUCCUCACUUGACAUUCCAAAUAUGUUAGAGAAAGGAUUAUUUAUUAAAAAUGGGAUUAUUAUGAUAUUGAAGAGAAGUGGGUGCAGGAAUGAAAAAUAUACCAAUUGGAGGGGACAAUGCAUGCUAUAAUUUGAUGUCAAUAAACUUUCUUCCCUACCAAAAAGACGGUCUCUGUCAGAGACUGUGUUAUAUAAGUGUUUAGUUGAGUUUUAACUUUAACACCGCAAUAAGGGAAUCAAAAUAUCUGACCUAACAAAACCUCAUCUUCCCCACACCUGCAAAGAAUCAACCUAAUGGUUUGGCUUGGAGACUAGCAUCUCAUUGCUUGCAAUGCAUAACAAACAGCAUAUAACAAGGUUCCAAUGAUAACAGGAUAAUAAGAGAGAAUGCAAAGAGUAAAUACAUGCGAACACACAGAGAUAAACUAGUUUUCUCAACUUCAAAAGAGUAUUUCAAAAGGAUUUGGCAACACAGAUAAAGUCAUAACAUUAAAACAGAAAACAAAAUACGGUAGAGAUAGAGAGAAAAGGGUGACCAUAGCGAGUAGUCUUCUUGGCUGGCUGCUUACAGCUUGUCUUCAAAAUCAGACAAGGGAGUCAUCUGUUCCUUCAUACCCUUCCUCUUCCUGAUGUCAGUCACAAGCGUUGAAGCCUGCGAUCCUGCCUCCAAUGGGUCAGACGACAUCAUCUCCCAAUGAUCAAACACACACUGAGGGAAGGCCUGUCCUGAGGUUGCUGCUCUAAGCUGACUUGAGAAUCCAAAUGACUCGACAACUGGCAGGUACGCCUUGAUGUUGUAAAGCGGUGUUCCUGGCCUCUGCAUCUCCUCAAAGACGUGUCCACGCUUCUGAUUCAGCACGCUGUAGAUUCCUCCAAGAGCUCCCUCUGGUGCUUGGAUCUCAACCAUGUAAACCGGUUCCAAAAGCCUGGGCUUGGCAGUGAUCUGAGAGGCGUAGAUAACCCUCCUCGCUGUCGGGAUAACCUGACCACCACCUCUGUGGAUAGCAUCAGAGUGGAGCACCACAUCGCAAACCUCAAAACAGAUUCCUCUCAUGUUCUCAUCACAAAGAGGACCUUCCUUGGAAGCCCACUGGAACCCAGCAACAACAGAAUCCUUGAUCUCAUUCAGGUAUUGCACUCCCUUACACAUGUCAACAACCAUGUUGGGCCCUGUGGUUUCAGGUCCAAACGCCCAUAUCUUCUUUGCGAGAUCCUUGUCCCAGCCAAACUCCUCAGCCAAGAUCUUGGAACGUAUCUUGGGAUCAUCUCUUGGACCAAUACGGCCUUCAUCAAUCGCCUCCGCAAGACCAUCCUCCAAGGGCCUAGCCUCCAUGUACAGACGGUUGUGCUUGUUCGGGGACUUGCUCAUCACAGUACGCACAGAUCGCUCCAAAACAGUCUCACGGAAUGAGACGACAGGGUCUGACUUGACAAUCUCAGCACCACCCAUGAAAUCAUCCUGAAGAUCCUUCAAGCAAAUCUCAAGAUGCAGUUCUCCAGCACCAGCAACAAUGUGCUCGCCUGACUCCUCCAUUGUGCACACAACCAUAGGGUCAGACUUGGCCAGCCUCUUAAGUCCCUCAACAAGCUUGGGAAGAUCAGAAGCGACCUUGCACUGAACAGCAACACGUACAACAGGGGACACAGAGAACUUCAUCGCACGGAUAGGAUGAGCAUCAACUUCUUUCUCAUUCGUCAGCGUAGCAUUCUUAGUGAUGAACUGAUCAAGACCAACCAUAGCAACGGUGUUACCACAGGGAACAUCCUCAACAGUCUCUUGCCUCUUGCCCAUCCAGAUGACAGUCCUCUGAACACUCUUGACAUAAAGAUCUUUCUUCUCACCAGGAACAAAGUUGGGACCCAUGAUCCUGACCUUCAUACCGGUAGACACCUUUCCAGAGAAGACACGCCCAAAAGCAAAGAAUCUUCCCUUGUCUGAAGCGGGAAUCAUCUUAGAAACAUAGAGCAUGAGCGGACCAUUAGGAUCACAGUUUCUGAUGGCAGUGGCAUACUGAUCAUCGAGAGGACCUUCAUACAGGUUCUCAACACGGUACCUCUGGGCAGUGUGGGGAGAUGGAAGGUGAAAGAUCAUCAUCUCAAGCAAUGCAGUACUCGCAGGGAGCCAAGUCUGCAUAACACGCUUCAUCAAAGGUUUACCCAUAAGGUCCUUCUCAUCAGACUUCAUCUGGACACCAAGCUUCUGCAACAUAGGCCACAACUUAUCCUUCUGGUCGUUCAUGCAAGUGGCGAUGAUCUGCUUGAUGGGUUCAUAACAGAACUGCACAAACCCACGCUUGCAGGUAGCGGACCCAGUGUUCUUGCUGCUCCAUUUCCUGGUGGCGGGGUCAAAGAAGUUCUCACCCCACAGCCUCUCCAUCAUCUUAGUCUCGUCAACACCGAACUUGGAAGCAUACAUCUUGGCAAAGUUGGUAAGGGUGAAAGCCCAUCCGUGGAGACCAGCAGAGAAGGCGACAGUUCCCUUCUCAGGGUAAACCUGAACAUCACCAAGGAGAGGAUCCUCGUACGUUGCCAUGAUGACAUUAGCAUUCUCAAUAACCCUCUGGAAAGUCUGGUAAGCCUCCUCACCAUCAACCUGAAGCUCAAGGAAACACCUGUCCAUCUUGUUCACAGUCAGAACGGGCCUAAUCCUCUCCCCAAGAGCCUGACGUAGCACAGUCUCGGUCUGAACACACACACCCUCGAUACAAUCGACCACCACAAGCGCACCAUCGGUAAUACGGAGCGCAGCAGUGACCUCAGAGGAGAAGUCAACGUGGCCAGGAGAGUCGAUGAGAUUGAUAAGGUACUCGUUUCCAUCUCUGGCACCAGUGAAGCUCUUCAAGGAAGCAUCAGUCAUCUCGUAGUAGAGAGAGAUACCCGUGGACUUGAUAGUGAUACCACGUUCAGCCUCAUCAGCACGGGUAUCAGUCAUACGGACAUCACCAGCAACUUCUUGAGCAAUGAUACCAGCAGCAGCAACCAAGGAGUCAGUGAGUGUGGAUUUACCUGUCAAUCACAAGAUAUAUAAAAGCAUAAGAGACAAUAGAACAGAGUAGUAGGAAACUAAUUAAGUCUGAAAAUUAAAAAAAGACAGUACCAUGGUCGACAUGGGCAAUAACGGACAUGUUACGGAUGUUGUGUUUGUAAUCCAUAAUCCUCCGAAGCUCAUCGGAUGUGAACUUCACCUACAAGUUCAUUAAAAUAAACAAAUAUUUAAGCUUAGAAUCAACAAAAAUAACAACAACAACAAGGCAAAGUAAAAGAUAGUAUAAAAAAGUUAUAAGGCUUUACCAUUUUGACUAACUCUUAUUCUUCACCUACAAUAUCUCUGCAACCACAGAAACAAUAAUAAGAAUUAAUCAACUGAAAUGAAACGAUUUAAAAAAAAAAAUUAACACCAAAAUAAAAUCUCAUAAUCUUCUGAACUUGAAGCUUUUCAACACAGAAAAAUAGAAGAACAGCUCACAAUCAAAUGGUAUUUAUACAUUUCUACGAACAGAUCUAAAGAGACGAGACAGAACGAUAACCAAAAAUGAAAUUAACAACUAAGAGUCAAGGGGGAUUGGUUAAUCUAAACAUCGAAAGCUAAAACUAUGGAGAUUCAAUACGAAAACUAAGCAUCAACAAUCGGAGAUCGUAACAAGGAGGAGACGGACUAACAUUGGAGGGGAAGGAGAGAGAGAGACGAGCUUGAGAGAGCAGAGAUUGAGUGGAGGCGUUCGAUAUAUUCCCUUAUCUCUUCUAGGGUUUUCUCUCUGUUCUUUCGUGGGCCUCUUCGGCCCGAUACAAUAUUGGCCCAAUAGUGGCUAAUAUUUAAUAUUUUGGCCCAAUAUAGUUCGUGUAAGAUUUUGCUUUGAAGUUUUAUGGAAUUUGUUUUAGUUAUAAUGAGCAGUAUUACAAGUGAACAUAAUUUUGUACUAUUAUUUAAACUAAGACUUUAUGAUAGAUUUAUUAUAAAUAAACGGUUUGGAGGAAUCAAUGACGAAAUAUUAACUAUGUUUCCGGUAAUAUUCUAAACAAUAUUUGACAUAACAAUAUUAUUUUCUUUUAUUAUUAUUAUCUUUUAGACAUUAUAAUAUCGAUAUGUUGUGUAUCUGAUUCUGUAUAUGGAAUUUUAAAACCAUCCGAAUAUGUAAAGGCUUUUAAAUUACGGUUUAUCAUAUUCAAGCUUUACGCUAUUCACAACAUUCCAGUGGAAUCAAACAAACAAAAGAUUAACAAUUUAUCUUAUUAUUAAAAAAAAAUCUCCCAAAUGUAGUUUCCAAUUUACUGCUUUGCUCCACGCAUUGACGCUUCAUUUGUUCAACAACUUCAAAACCAGACUGGCAAACCCCAAAGCAACUUAUACAGAACAAUAUAAUCUCCAUUAACUUGGAGAACCGUGACAUCAUUAUUACAUACAAAAGGUUGAUCAUCAUCAGUCACUAGGAAGACUUAAACAUCAGUCGUGACUGCGAAUUAACCCUUGCGGCCUGAUUUCUCUCCUACAAGCUUCGUCUGGAUUGAAAUCAAAAGAAAAAUGGUGUAAUCAGAAAAAAUUAAAUACAAUUAUUCACAGGACGUGGGUGAAUAAGAUGCAACAGAAAAUCCAAAACCUUGUAGUUAUUUUUUCUUGACAUCAAAUCCCAUAGGUGCUGAUGCGGCCUCUAUUUUUGUGACUAUCUCAUUAGCCGGACAUUUUGAAGUAAACUGAGUUUUCCGUUUGACAAGCCCCUGAAAUUAAGCACUGAUUAUCGAAGGGAAAUAAAAAUUGUGAAAUUGGUAUUAUGAUGAACUACUUAUACCACUACUUAAAUUUUGCCUUACUUAGCAGUUUAAAGUACUUUUUGUGGAUUACGAUCCACAUUAAUCAAAUCUUAUCAUUUCAAGCAUUUUAAAUAUAUCAUAUAAUCUAAAAAAUUAUUUUAUUCUGAUUAUUUUUGAAUAAUCACAAAUAAUAAAUAGUAAAAAUUUGAUGUUAUUGGAAGAAUAUCAAGAACCACUGGAACCUUAGCAAUUAAUCUAAAUUUGUAAUGUUGGUAUACAUUCAAAACAUGGUUGAUUGUUUCUUUUGCUGCACACCUUACAUAUUAUGUAUAACACUUAUUCUCAUUAGAUUUGAUAUAACUGUAUUACAAUCCAACAUUAUUUGUCCAAUAAUCUGUCAUCAUUUUGGUGGCACUUGAAUUUCCAAAGAGUGUGGCUGCAAAUAUAUGCUUGUUUUAAUAACCCAAGCGAUUUUACAAUGUAAUGUCAUAUUUAGAAAUUUUUGUUUUUUAUGAGAAAAAAUGUGCUUCUUGCUACGAUAAUACAGUUUUGUUUUGGCUAAUCCGAAUCUUUAUUUAACUGAUCAACUACACUAUGGAGAAGCAGAUUAAUGAUAAUAAGUUUGAAAAGGGGUUGGUCGAACCAGUUUUGUCAUUCAUUAUCUUCGACGGUGAUUGGUAUCUCUCUCAAUAACGCUAUCUUACAUUUUCUCUUUGCACCAAAACAGGAUGCGUCUUUGAUUAGAACCGCAUUCAUCAUACAAUUUCAAGAUUAUACGAUGACAUUUGAAAAACAUAAAACGACCAAGAGUUAAUUAUUCUGAGCCUAUAGUUGCAAGAUAGGAUAUAUUAUGAUGAAUGCUCUUCGACAUAUAGAUGAGAUAAGCAAUGCCAUAAAGAAAAAGAGAUUUUCUGGCUUAUAAAAUACAAAAAUACAAAAACAACUCGAGGGAUCCUUUAAAAAAAAGAAAGACGGUCUCUGUGUUAUAAGUUUUUAGUAGAGUUUUAACUUCAACACCGCAAUAAGGGAAUCAAAAUAUCUGACCUAACAAAACCUCAUCUUCCCUACACCUGCAGAGCAUCAACCUAUGGUUAUGCCUUGGACACUAGCAUCUUAUUGCUUGCAAUGCAUAACAGCAUAUAACAACGUUCCAGUGAUAACAGGAUAACAAGAGUGCAAAGAGUGAACACAUAAGAAGUUUUCUCAACUUCAAGAGUGCAAAGAGUAAACACAUAAGGAUGUGGCAACACAGAUAAAGUCAUAACACCAAAACAGAGUAAACAAAAAUACGGUAGAUAUAACAACGUUCCAAUGAAAACAGGAUAACAAGAGUGCAAAAAAGAGUAAACACAAAGAUAAACCAGUUUUCAACUAAAAAAGUAAAACAUUCAAGAGGAUUGUGGCCACAGAUAAAGUGAUAUCAUAACACCAAAACAGAGCUAACAGUAAACAAAAUACGGUAGAGAUGGAGAGAAAAAGGUGACCAUAGUGAGUCUUGUUGGCUGCUGCUUAUAGCUUGUCUUCGAAGUCAGACAAGGGAGUCAUCUGUUCCUUCAUACCCUUCCUCUUCCUGAUGUCAGUCACAAGCGUUGAAGCCUGCGAUCCUGCCUCCAAUGGGUCAGACGACAUCAUCUCCCAAUGAUCAAACACACACUGAGGGAAGGCCUGUCCUGAGGUUGCUGCUCUAAGCUGACUUGAGAAUCCAAAUGACUCAACAACUGGCAGGUACGCCUUGAUGUUGUACAGCGGUGUUCCUGGCCUCUGCAUCUCCUCAAAGACGUGUCCACGCUUCUGAUUCAGCACGCUGUAGAUUCCACCAAGAGCUCCCUCUGGUGCUUGGAUCUCCACCAUGUAAACCGGUUCCAACAAUCUGG